AUGCUUUAUCUGGCUAGUGAACUACCUACCUAUGUUAUUUAAACAUUUUUGCUGCCUAUAAAUUGGGCAUCAUUUCAGCAGACCACCACAGCACCUGAGCUUGCCAUCUUUUCCUGAUCUAUCUCACUCAUUUGUCAUGUAGCUACUAGCUAAGCCACCAUAUCAUCCAUGGCUUCCGGUGCCUCCACCACGUUGAAGAUUGCCUCUAUCGCCGCUUGCAUCCUGCUGGUUCUGCUGUCCAAUGGCCACCCUACAGUGGCGACCGUUGAUUGUAUUGCGGCUUGCAAAGAGCCGUGCGAGAGCUUUUCUAAGGGAUUCUACGCGGGUGGAGCCACCAGCGGUUGUGCGACUAAGGCAGCAGCUACAGCAUGCCGCAAUUCGGUGUUCUCGUAGUGUGCGAACAACUGCUACACAGUUUGCACCGCCAGGACCAUCGCGCCUUGCGCUUGAAGAUGCAUUUGUGUUCCUACUUCCACGUUAUUGUUACUGGUGAGUGUGUGCAAGCAGGCCUGCCGUCCACGGGAGGAGGCACGCAAGCCCGCAUGAUAAGCCACUGUCGUUUUUCCACUUUAUCAUUUACUUAUUGAAGGCAAUGUACGUGCCUAGCUCCUGUGUCGUUGAGCAUGUCAUCUUGGAAUUUUGUCCAAAGUUUAACAUACCAUGUUGUAUUGUUGUGUAUGGGUAUCAAUAUAAUUUAUCAACUAUUUUUCGUUUACCAUAGACAUUUCUAUGUUUAUUUGCAAGGGUUAGGGAAAUUUGCCCUUGAUAGUGUAUUAACCGCAUCUGCCAACUGAACAGAUCAACUUUCUCAACAGCCUAUCUCCUACUUGAAAAAUAUUCGCUUUAGAAAUGGUUUAUUUCUUUUCUGUGUAGCUGUAGCACCCAUCACCGUGAGGGUUACAAAACUCGGCGCAAGGGUUCCAAGCGGUGGCGCCACAAACCACAUAAGCUGUGGCGCAAGGGUUCUAGCUGGCUGGUCACAAACAACUAUUUCAUCCCGGAUGUCUUCCAUGCCCAUGGACCUGCCGCUUUCUUGAUCGAGUAAUCUAUGCCCAUGAAAGAGUUCGGUAUUUGUCUGAUCGAUGAAGACGAGGUAGCACAUUUAUGUGAAAGCAGUACUGGCGGACAUGAUGGUCGGUGGCUAUUGAUUAUCUUCCAACUCCUUUAUGGCAUUAUCCAGAAAUCAUUUGUAGGGGUGAAGUGUUUUUCUUUUGAGGGCGGACCAAAAGGUCAGCUGUCCCCCAGGGGUGGAGCUACAGUCAACCAUCGAUGAUUUGGUGGCGAGCUCUUAUAUCCUUCCCAGGAGAACUGCCCAUAUGUUGCUACGGAUAAAAAUAAUGUAUAUAAUUACAAUAAUCGUGAUUAGUUUUUUUCAAAUGUGUGACAUAUUAUCGAAUUUACAUAUCUUUCUAUGCAUUUUCCGAACAAAGAGAUAUUUUUAUAAUAAUUUUAUCAGAUUAACAUGAGACAUAAUCUUCUAUGGUAUAUUAUGUACUCUAGUAUCUAAAUCUUUUGUUUGUUUGUGUAGUCUUCUACAUUGCUCGCUUUUUAUAAUAAAAGUCGAGAGAGGUGGGCACCUGUGAACAACAAAAACCAAAAAAUGUACACAAUAAUCAAUAUAUUAUAAUUAUUAUUUUUUCCUAGAAUAAAAAUAUGGACUCAUCGAGCCCAUGAAAAGCGCAAGGAGGUGGCCCGGCAGCCCCAUCCAUCCAUCCAUUGUUAUCCACACUUGCUAAACAACUGAAUUAAAAAUAUACUUUUAUCCACACAAGAGACGGAUGAAUUGUUUGGCACUGCACUUUCUUGGACGUUGCUGUUGCUGGAAUCGGCAUUAGGAAGGCGUCGCUCGGCCGUGCAGAGGUGCCAUUGUGGCUUCGUGGAGGUGCCCCUACGUUGUGCCGGAGCGGAGGUGCAGGCAGCGUAAGCGGCCGGGUAGCACGCCACAACAUGCUGGAGACAGCGCCGAACCUCGAGCGUUCGAUUGGGGCUGCUUAUAGCGCCAACACUGCUCUGUAUCUUGCUCAGUGGAUGGGCGGACGACAGUGAGCGGCGCCUAGGAGAACUGCAAAUGCUCCUGCACACAUGCCCCAUGGGCCGGAACUGCACACUAACCCCCGCGAACGAUGGUAGUAGGGCAACAAAGCUGGCCAUGGCGCUGCUCGUUGAGCUUUCCGUGUGCGCGAACAGGCAUUUGAUAUGUUCCCUACAAAAUUAAAGGUUGUUUGAUUCAACGGUCAAAUAGUGCGAGCAUGUUAAUUGAUGCGAGUGUAUUGUGGGAACUGCAAAAGAACUGCAGGGCAUCGAGGAAGCAGUGUUGUUGCUCGGAAGUACCAGCACUGACGCGCUUUCCGUUGUGUCUCCAGCGGGGGUGGCUGCGUCUGCCCGCUCGGCAGCAGUUUCACCCUAUUCUGGGCAUCUCCCCACGCGUCUUGGCCAUCGUUACCUCUGGCAUCGUUAAGGUAUGGCUUCCUUUCAGCCUCGGCCGUUUCUUUCUCCAAUGCGCGAGUGCCAGGGUGAGCUCUGGCAGCAUGCUGCCUCCCACGGCAAUCUUGCCCAGGGCAAUCAGGUUGUAGUGCCUUGCGGCGGCUUCAAGCGUGUCGAUCGGUAGCAGGCACUCCGAGCUCUCCUUGUGCAUUUGGGGCACCUUCGCUCACGCCACCACUGUGAGGCCUGCCAGGUGUGCCACUUCAUUGUUCACAUGGUUACAAAGGCGGUGGCGCGGAAGUGUGGUGGCACGGACGAGGAAGAAAAAAUGACAGACCACGAUGAACGCAUUAAUUUAGUGCUCCGGGCAGAUUAAGAAAAAGAUUAGGGACUUUUAUACAAAACAUGCUUGACGGUUGGAAAAAACAUAUGUCACUUUAGUAUUAGGCAAGGAUGUGAUUAUAUGAUUAUAUGGACUGAUACCGGUUAAAAGAUCAUUAUCUAAUCAACCAUUCACGUCGCCCAUAGUGUAGGAAACAGGCCAUUCUAUUGCAAUCCUCUGUCGCCUAUCGCUUCCCUUGAGAAUUUGAAGUCAGAAAUUCUUUUGUUUCAAUUUUGCUAGGUCCACUAGUUUUCUUAAAUCAGAAUCAAGUUGAAACCAGAAGAGCCUUGUUAGCUUGUUUGAUCUAUACUUCUUUGUAGCAAAUGUAAAAUGACAACUCAUCUAAUGGUUGUUUCAUAUUCGAUCUGCAAGUCUUCUUCUCAUUCACACGAUGGAUGGCCAUAGGCACAAAGAGAAUCGAAGUAGUAGACGAUAAUCACUAUAGUAAAAGCUUAAAAUCUCAAAAUAUGUCAUCAUUUAUUUUUCAUUAUGUUAUCCAUAGAACUAUAGUAUGAGUUAGAAUAUUGCAUGGACAUCAGCUACAACAUUUCCUAGCUUCGCCUUCUCCGCCCCUGCAGCAGCUAGCCCAAUCCAGGAAAUGUAUUUCCCAUGUGGGGGUGAGCAGACCCUGGAAAUAAGCUGGGGGACGGACGACCAGCACGUCAACCGUCUCUGAAAAUAGCCAUCUAUAGGAGCCCAUUUCAGAGGUGGGCAACUCCAUGGUCCGUCCUAGCAGAUUGAAUUACAGGAGCAGAUGACGCGAAGCAUCACCCUGCUGCUCAACGAAAUUUUGUAAGGACAACGCGCGAAUGAAAAGGCAAGCGAAAAGCAUAAGGUCCAUUCUGCUCCGCACAUAUAUCUUAUCUCAACCACAGCUUUCCAUGUCAUCUCCUUAGAGAAACUCCGACAGAUUGAUUUUCCACAUUCCCCUUUAUCCUCUUAUAGGGCAUUCCCUUUCACGAUUUCUGAAUUUUGAAGACUAGUGGGGCAAGAAAUUUUGUAUAGUAACAAAGAUAAUCUCAGCCCCACUUGCUACACAUACAUGCACGGUAAAUAGAAAGGGUUAUUUUCUAUGUCAAAGGCAUGCUCAGCUUCAAAGUCGUUCUGUUGUUAGCAUCGUUGUGUUGUUUCUGAUAACGUGCAGGAGGAAGCGAAAACACAGAGUAGAAAGAGGAUGAGAAAUUAAAGAAGACAAUGAAGCUCACGUUCACGUCUACAUGAGGGAGCUCUCACACAAGCAAGUCCAUUCAUCCUCUGUCUCCAUGCUGUUGAUGAUGACAUGUCACAUGUCCUUUGCCUUGACGUCGGCGGCAGGCCGGCAGCCCAAUGAACCCAUGACGAACAGCAUGAGCAUGACCAGCUAACUUCAUUGCUGAGUACGACAUGUGGUUAUCCUUGCUAUAACUAAUGUUGGUCAGAAGAAGAAGCUGCUAUAAAGUUGUUCUGAAGACGCUGAGUUGUAGGCGUACGCAAGCCCCGGUUGAUUGCCUGCGAAGUUUGGAGCUUUCGAUUCCAGGAUGGAGAUGUAAAUCUGUGAUAGACUCUCUUUAUAUCUCUUUAUGUGAUACUGUUACUGUUAUUCACUGAUGAUGUGACUAUAUGUAUGAAACUUGAUCAUGUCAUACAUACAGUUAGCACUUGGUUUUGCUGUUCUAAAAUCAGGUGUGACACCUAUGAACCCAUGACGAACAGCAUGAGCGUAACCAGCUAACUUCAUUGCUGCUGCCUUUCGUAGAUGUUGGUGAACAUGACGUGUCUUUCAUCUCCACGAUGGCGACGGAUCCAAAGAUCGAAGAACAUGCAUCAACGCGAUCCGUAUGGCGUGUUUUCUGGUAUUUCCACCCCAUGAUGUAACGCCGACCGGGUUCCAUACGAGGCCUACGGCCACUCUGUUCACUUUCAUCAUGUGCUCCGAUGAGAGUUCAUCACCGUGAUAAAAGACGGAGACGAGGGCACACAGUCGUAGCUGCAAGUAAGGCCAACAGGCUCAAGGCCAUCGCUUUACAGCCAGCAGUCUUGCCUUGCAUGCACUCACGGACUAUUACCGGACUAGCAAUUGGUACUUUGACGCACUACAUGGACCCUUACAAAAUUAAAAAAAUGAACGUCAACAAGCAAAUGAAACUGCAUGAACUGAAGUAGGGAAAUGAAGACCACGUACAGUUCUUAUUGAAGCUGAAAUGUAUGUCAUAAAAGUAUUAUUGUUAGAUUGAAGUCAAUUUAAAUAUUUAAACGAGUAACGAGGGCUCGGAUUAGUAGAAGGUGUUAGUGAGGCCCUCCAAUAGACCACUCAAUGAUUUUUAGAUCCAACUGUUUAUAUAGUAAGUUCGGAUAUUUAAUUAAUAAAUUGAAGUUGCCUUAAGAUAUGCAUAGUAAAUCACAAGACCAAAGUGGAAUAACCAUUAGACAACUAAUAAAACCAUCAUUAAGUUUUUGUCUAAUUUUAGCAAUAUUGCUUAGGUUUUCUAUUUCGUCUAAAUAUAUCUUAAGCGGCUCAUAUGUCCGAAUUACCCACACAGUGAAUAAAUGUCGUUCCAGUUCAAGGAUUCAUGUGCAGUUGUCACACACUAGUGUGAACCCAUCAAGUGUGUGUCUUGCUUCCCUUUUCAAUCAACAAGCUACCUCCCUGAUUUGAAUAUAAUAAACUUAAAUGCUUCAGUUUCUAUGGUCCAUUGUUAUGUGAUGGACAUGAAAAAUGAAAAAUAUAGCCUACAAUGUUCAAAAUGCAUCUGAAGUACUAGGGUAUAAAAUAAGCUCACUGCCAUCCAAGUACAAGGGUUAACAACUAGAAAUAUAACCUUUAUUGCUAUCUGUAAACAAAAUAUGCCUGUUGAAUUACAUGUCGGGAAAGGUGAAUGCACGGAUUCACGGCUAGUAUUAGCUAAUUUUGUUGUCUUUUUUUGUUAAUAACUAGGUUUCCAAUGCCAAACUCUGCGUAAGGGUUCAGCAACUGGCUACAUAUUGGAAAGGAGUUACUGUUGGUGGCUAGCCCUCAUAAGAGAUAACUAUUUCAUCCCUGAUGCCUUCCAUGCCUAUGGAUGUACCGCGUGCUCGAGUAAGUUAUGCUUGCAGAUGGAUCUUAAACCUGAUGUCAAAUUGUGGAUAAUUGAAAGAGUUUGCUGUUUGUCUGCUUUAGGGAAGAUGGGUAGCACGUUUAUAUGCCAUUAAUUCUCAUGAAAGAGUGCAUAUACCAUGUUUGUCGCAGCAAGAUGAGGCUGUAGAGUAGUAGACGUGUAGAACAAUGGUACAGGUUGUAUGAAUAAUUUAUUGAAGGGAAUCAUAGACGCCACAGCCACUGAAGCUGUUGGGGCAUGAUUAGCCAAUGGUCUAAUUCCUGAUAUCUCCGUAUCCUAAUUUUCUGAAGCCUUACGGACUCUACCCUCCUCACUUCAUAUAUAUUAGUGUUUAUAAUAGCGGUUUUAUAAGAAGUGCUGAAGGUAUUGGUCCUGCUAUAUCUUGCUUCCACUACCGGAUUUGUGUACGAAAUAUUAAUUCUUGAGAUUUGUCAAUGAUUUUAGGACGCAAUGAUACCUUCAACUACCGGAUUGUAUAUAUAAGUUAGUCUUAGCCAGUUAUAUAUCAGAGGAGGAAGCACGCAUUAAAUAAUAAAUAACUCAUGUUGAUUCAAUUGGCAACCUGGCCUCUAAAAAGAAAAGGACUCUGUUCUCAAAAAAUGAAAAAAAGUAGCCUGCUAAUAACAAUGUCGACACUUUACAUCUGAGCAGCUAGCUCCGUGAUGCUUUAUCUGGCUAGUGAACUACCUACCUAUGUUAUUUAAACAUUUUUGCUGCCUAUAAAUUGGGCAUCAUUUCAGCGGACCACCACAGCACCUGAGCUUGCCAUCUUUUCCUGUUCUAUCUCACUCAUUUGUCCUGUAGCUACUAGCUAAGCCACCAUAUCAUCCAUGGCUUCCGGUGCCUCCACCACGUUGAAGAUUGCCUCUAUCGCCGCUUGCAUCCUGCUGGUUCUGCUGUCCAAUGGCCACCCUACAGUGGCGACCGUUGAUUGUACUGCGGCUUGCAAAGAGCCGUGCGAGAGCUUUUCUAAGGGAUUCUGCGCGGGUGGAGCCACCAGCGGUUGUGCGACUAAGGCAGCAGCUACAGCAUGCCGCAAUUCGGCGUUCUCGCAGUGUGCGAACAACUGCUACACAGUUUGCACCGCCGGGACCAUCGCGCCUUGCGCUUGAAGAUGCAUUUGUGUUCCUACUUCCACAUUAUUGUUACUGGUGAGUGUGUGCAAGCAGGCCUGCCGUCCAUGGGAGGAGGCACGCAAGCACGCAUGAUAAGCCACUGUCGUUUUUCCACUUUAUCAUUUACAUAUUUAAGGCAAUGUACGUGCCUAGCUCCUGUGUGGUUGAGCAUGUCAUCUUGGAAUUUUGUCCAAAGUUUAACAUACCAUGUUGUAUUGUUGUGUAUGGGUAUCAAUAUAAUUUAUCAACUAUUUUUCGUUUACCAUAGACAUUUCUAUGUUUAUUUGCAAGGGUUAGGGAAAUUUGUCCUUGAUAGUGUACUAACCGCGUCUGCCAACUGAACAGAUCAACUUUCUCAACAGCCUAUCUCCUACUUGAAAAAAUAUUCGCUUUAGAAAUGGUUUGUUUCUUUUCUGUGUAGCUCUAUCACCCAUCACCGUGAGGGUUACAAAACUCGGCGCAAGGGUUCCAAGCUGUGGCGCCACAAACCACAUAAGCUGUGGCGCAAGGGUUCUAGCUGGCUAGUCACAAACAACUAUUUCAUCCCGGAUGUCUUCCAUGCCCAUGGAGCUGCCGCUUUCUUGAUCGAGUAAUCUAUGCCCAUGAAAGAGUUCGGUAUUUGUCUGAUCGAGGAAGACGAGGUAGCACAUUUAUGUGAAAGCAGUACUGGCGGACAUGAUGGUCGGUGGCCUAUUGAUUAUCUUCCAACUCCUUUAUGCCAUUAUCAGUACUACAGAAAUCAUUUGUAGGGGUGAAAUGUUUUUUUUUUAGGGUGGACCAAAAGGUCUGCCACCCCCAGGGGCGGAGCUACAGUCAACCAUCGAUGAUUUGGUCGCGAGCUCUUAUAUCCUUCCCAGGAGAACUGCCCAUACGUUGCUACGGAUAAAAAUAAUGUAUAUAAUUACAUUAAUCAUGAUUCGUUAUUUCAAAUGUGUGACAUAUUAUUGAAUUUACGUAUCUUUCUAUGCAUUUUUCGAACAAAGAGAUAUUUUUAUAAUAAUUUUAUCAGAUUAACAUGAGACAUAAUCUUCUAUGGUAUAUUAUGUACUCUAGUAUGUAAAUCUUAUGUUUGUUUGUGUAGUCUUCUACGUUGCUCGCUUUUUAUAAUAAAAGUAGAGAGAGGUGUGCGCCUAUGAACAACAAAAACCCAAAAAUGUACACAAUAAUCAAUAAAUUAUAAUUAUUAUUUUUUCCUAGAAUAAAAAUAUGGACUCAUCGAGCCCAUGAAAAGCGCAAGGAGGUGGCCCGGCAGCCCCAUCCAUCCAUCCAUUGUUAUCCAUACUUGCUAAACAAAUGAAUUAAAAACAUAAUUUUAUCCACACAAGAGACGGAUUAAUUGUUUGGUACUGAACUUUCUUGGACGUUGCUGUUGCUGGAUUCGGCAUUAGGAAGGCGUCGCUCGGCCGUGCAGACGUGCCAUUGUGGCUUUGUGGAGGCACCCCUACGUUGUGUCGGAGCGGAGCUGCAGGCAGCGUAAGCGGCCGGGUAGCACGCCACAACAUGCUAGAGACAGCGCCGAGCCUUGAGCCUUCGACUGGGGCUGCUUAUAGCGCCAACACCGCUCUGUAUCUUGCUCAGUGGAUGGGCGGACGACGGCGAGCGGCGCCUAGGAGAACUGCAAAUGCUCCUGCACACAUGCCCCAUGGGCCGGAACUGCACACUAACCCCCGCGAACGAUGGUAGUAGGGCAACAAAGCUGGCCAUGGCGCUACUCGUUGAGCUUUCCGUGUGCGCGAACAGGCAUUUGAUAUGUUCCCUACAAAAUUAAAGGUUGUUUGAUUCAAUGGUCAAAUAGUGCGAGCAUGUUAAUUGAUGCGAGUGUAUUGUGGGAACUGCCAAGGAACUGCAGGGCAUCGAGCAAGCAGUGGUGUUGCUCGGAAGUACCAGCACUAACACGCUUUCCGAUGUGUCUCCAGCGGGGGUGGCAGCGUCUACCUGCUCGGCAGCAGUAGUGUCACCCUAUUCUGGGCAUCUCCCCACGCGUCUUGGCCAUCGUUACCUCUGGCAUCGUUAAGGUAUGGCUUCCUUUCAGCCUCGGCCGUUUCUUUGUCCAGUGACCGGUUAAAAGAUCAUUAUCUAAUCAACCAUUCACGUCACCCAUAGUGUAGGCAACAGGCCAUUCUAUUGCGAUCCGCUGUCGCCUAUCGCUUCCCUUCAGAAUUUGAAGUCAGAAAUUCUUUUGUUUCAAUUUUGCUACCUCCACUAGUUUUCUUAAAUCAGAAUCAUGUUGAAACCAGAAGAGCCUUGUUAGCUUGUUUGAUCUAUACUUCGUUGUAGCAAAUGUAAAAUGACAACUGGUUGUUUCAUAUUCGAUCUGCAAGUCUUCUUCUCAUUCACACGAUGGAUGGCCAUAGGCACAAAGAGAAUUGAAGUAGUAGACCAUAAUCACUAUAGUAAAAGCUUAAAAUCUCAAAAUAUGUCAUCAUUUAUUUUUCAUUAUGUUAUCCAUAGAACUAUAGUAUGAGUUAGAAUAUUGCAUGGACAUCAGAUCAGCUACAACAUUUCCUAGCUUCGCCCUUCGCCACCCCUGCAGCAGCUAGCCCAAUCCAGGAAAUGUAUUUCCCAGGUGGGGGUGAGCAGACCCUGGAAAUAAGCUGGGGACGGACCAGCACGUCAACCGUCUCUGAAAAUAGCCCAUUUCAGAGGUGGGCAACUCCAUGGUCCGUCCUAGCAGAUUGAAUUACAGCAGCAGACGACACGAAGCAUCACCCUGCUGCUCAACGAAAUUUUGUAUGGACAACGCGCAAAUGAAAAGGCAAGUGGAAAGCAUAAGGUCCAUUCUGCUCCGCACAUAUAUCUUAUCUCAACCACAGCUUUCCAUGUCAUCUCCUUAGAGAAACUCCGACAGAUUGAUUUUCCACAUUCCCCUUUAUCCUCUUAUAGGGCAUUCCCUUUCACGAUUUCUGAAUUUUGAAGACUAGUGGGGCAAGAAAUUUUGUAUAGUAACAAAGAUAAUCUCAGCCCCACUUGCUACACAUACAUGCACGGUAAAUAGAAAGGGUUAUUUUCUAUGUCAAAGGCAUGCUCAGCUUCAAAGUCGUUCUGUUGUUAGCAUCGUUGUGUUGUUUCUGAUAACGUGCAGGAGGAAGCGAAAACACAGAGUAGAAAGAGGAUGAGAAAUUAAAGAAGACAAUGAAGCUCACGUUCACGUCUACAUGAGGGAGCUCUCACACAAGCAAGUCCAUUCAUCCUCUGUCUCCAUGCUGUUGAUGAUGACAUGUCACAUGUCCUUUGCCUUGACGUCGGCGGCAGGCCGGCAGCCCAAUGAACCCAUGACGAACAGCAUGAGCAUGACCAGCUAACUUCAUUGCUGAGUACAACAUGUGGUUAUCCUUGCUAUAACUAAUGUUGGUCAGAAGAAGAAGCUGCUAUAAAGUUGUUCUGAAGACGCUGAGUUCUAGGCGUACGCAAGCCCCGGUUGAUUGCCUGCGAAGUUUGGAACCUUCGUUUCCAGGAUUAAGCUGUAAAUCUCCGAUAGACUCUCUUUAUAUCUCUUUAUGUGAUACUGUUACUGUUAUUCACUGAUGAUGUGACUAUAUGUAUGAAACUUGAUCAUGUCAUACAUACAGUUAGCACUUGGUUUUGCUGUUCUAAAAUCAGAUGUGACACCUAUGAACCCAUGACGAACAGCAUGAGCGUAACCAGCUAACUUCAUUGCUGCUGCCUUUCGUAGAUGUUGGUGAACAUGACGUGUCUUUCAUCUCCACGAUGGCGACGGAUCCAAAGAUCGAAGAACAUGCAUCAACGCGAUCCGUAUGGCGUGUUUUCUGGUAUUUCCACCCCAUGAUGUAACGCCGACCGGGUUCCAUACGAGGCCUACGGCCACUCUGUUCACUUUCAUCAUGUGCUCCGAUGAGAGUUCAUCACCGUGAUAAAAGACGGAGACGAGGGCACACAGUCGUAGCUGCAAGUAAGGCCAACAGGCUCAAGGCCAUGGCUUUACAGCCAGCAGUCUUGCCUUGCAUGCACUCACGGACUAUUACCGGACUAGCAAUUGGUACUUUGACGCACUACAUGGACCCUUACAAAAUUAAAAAAAUGAACGUCAACAAGCAAAUGAAACUGCGUGAACUGAAGUAGGGAAAUGAAGACCACGUACAGUUCUUAUUGAAGCUGAAAUGUAUGUCAUAAAAGUAUUAUUGUUAGAUUGAAGUCAAUUUAAAUAUUUAAACGAGUAACGAGGGCUCGGAUUAGUAGAAGGUGUUAGUGAGGCCCUCCAACAGACCACUCAAUGAUUUUUAGAUCCAACUGUUUAUAUAGUAAGUUCGGAUAUUUAAUUAAUAAAUUGAAGUUGCCUUAAGAUAUGCAUAGUAAAUCACAAGACCAAAGUGGAAUAACCAUUAGACAACUAAUAAAACCAUAAUUAAGUUUUUCUCUACUUAAUUUUAGCAAUAUUGCUUAGGUUUUCUAUUUCGUCUAAAAAUAUCUUAAGCGGCUCAUAUGUCCGAAUUACCCACACAGUGAAUAAAUGUCAUUCCAGUUCAAGGAUUCAUGUGCAGUUAUCACACACUAGUGUGAACCCAUCAAGUGUGUGUCUUGCUUCCCUUUUCAAUCAACAAGCUACCUCCCUGAUUUGAAUAUAAUAAACUUAAAUGCUUCAGUUUCUAUGGUCCAUUGUUAUGUGAUGGACAUGAAAAAUGAAAAAUAUAGCCUACAAUGUUCAAAAUGCAUCUGAAAUACUAGGGUAUAAAAUAAGCUCACUGCCAUCCAAGUACAAGGGUUAACAACUAGAAAUAUAACCUUUAUUGCUAUCUGUAAAGAAAAUAUGCCUGUUGAAUUACAUGUCAGGAAAGGUGAAUGCACGGAUUGACGGCUAGUAUUAGCUAAUUUUGUUGUCUUUUUUGUUAAUAACUAGGUUUCCAAUGCCAAACUCUGCGUAAGGGUUCAGCAACUGGCUACAUAUUGGAAAGGAAUUACUGUUGGUGGCUAGCCCUCAUAAGAGAUAACUAUUUCAUCCCUGAUGCCUUCCAUGCCUAUGGAUGUACCGCGUGCUCGAGUAAGCUAUGCUUGCAGAUGGAUCUUAAACCUGAUGUCAAAUUGUGGAUAAUUGAAAGAGUUUGCUGUUUGUCUGCUUUAGGGAAGAUGGGUAGCACGUUUAUAUGCCAUUAAUUCUCAUGAAAGAGUGCAUAUACCAUGUUUGUCGCAGCAAGAUGAGGCUGUAGAGUAGUAGACGUGUAGAACAAUGGUACAGGUUGUAUGAAUAAUUUAUUGAAGGGAAUCAUAGACGCCACAGCCACUGAAGCUGUUGGGGCAUGAUUAGCCAAUGGUCUAAUUCCUGAUAUCUCCGUAUCCUAAUUUUCUGAAGCCUUACGGACUCUACCCUCCUCACUUCAUAUAUAUUAGUGUUUAUAAUAGCGGUUUUAUAAGAAGUGCUGAAGGUAUUGGUCCUGCUAUAUCUUGCUUCCACUACCGGAUUUGUGUACGAAAUAUUAAUUCUUGAGAUUUGUCAAUGAUUUAAGGACGCAAUGAUACCUUCAACUACCGGAUUGUAUAUAUAAGUUAGUCUUAGCCAGUUAUAUAUCAGAGGAGGAAGCACGCAUUAAAUAAUAAAUAACUCAUGUUGAUUCAAUUGGCAACCUGGCCUCUAAAAAGAAAAGGACUCUGUUCUCAAAAAAUGAAAAAAAGUAGCCUGCUAAUAACAAUGUCGACACUUUACAUCUGAGCAGCUAGCUCCGUGAUGCUUUAUCUGGCUAGUGAACUACCUACCUAUGUUAUUUAAACAUUUUUGCUGCCUAUAAAUUGGGCAUCAUUUCAGCGGACCACCACAGCACCUGAGCUUGCCAUCUUUUCCUGUUCUAUCUCACUCAUUUGUCCUGUAGCUACUAGCUAAGCUACCAUAUCAUCCAUGGCUUCCGGUGCCUCCACCACGUUGAAGAUUGCCUCUAUCGCCGCUUGCAUCCUGCUGGUUCUGCUGUCCAAUGGCCACCCUACAGUGGCGACCGUUGAUUGUACUGCGGCUUGCAAAGAGCCGUGCGAGAGCUUUUCUAAGGGAUUCUGCGCGGGUGGAGCCACCAGCGGUUGUGCGACUAAGGCAGCAGCUACAGCAUGCCGCAAUUCGGCGUUCUCGCAGUGUGCGAACAACUGCUACACAGUUUGCACCGCCGGGACCAUCGCGUCUUGCGCUUGAAGAUGCAUUUGUGUUCCUACUUCCACAUUAUUGUUACUGGUGAGUGUGUGCAAGCAGGCCUGCUGUCCACGGGAGGAGGCACGCAAGCACGCAUGAUAAGACACUGUCGUUUUUCCACUUUAUCAUUUACAUAUUUAAGGCAAUGUACGUGCCUAGCUCCUGUGUGGUUGAGCAUGUCAUCUUGGAAUUUUGUCCAAAGUUUAACAUACCAUGUUGUAUUGUUGUGUAUGGGUAUCAAUAUAAUUUAUCAACUAUUUUUCGUUUACCAUAGACAUUUCUAUGUUUAUUUGCAAGGGUUAGGGAAAUUUGUCCUUGAUAGUGUACUAACCGCGUCUGCCAACUGAACAGAUCAACUUUCUCAACAGCCUAUCUCCUACUUGAAAAAAUAUUCGCUUUAGAAAUGGUUUGUUUCUUUUCUGUGUAGCUCUAUCACCCAUCACCGUGAGGGUUACAAAACUCGGCGCAAGGGUUCCAAGCUGUGGCGCCACAAACCACAUAAGCUGUGGCGCAAGGGUUCUAGCUGGCUAGUCACAAACAACUAUUUCAUCCCGGAUGUCUUCCAUGCCCAUGGAGCUGCCGCUUUCUUGAUCGAGUAAUCUAUGCCCAUGAAAGAGUUCGGUAUUUGUCUGAUCGAGGAAGACGAGGUAGCACAUUUAUGUGAAAGCAGUACUGGCGGACAUGAUGGUCGGUGGCCUAUUGAUUAUCUUCCAACUCCUUUAUGCCAUUAUCAGUACUACAGAAAUCAUUUGUAGGGGUGAAGUGUUUUUUUUUAGGGUGGACCAAAAGGUCUGCCACCCCCAGGGGCGGAGCUACAGUCAACCAUCGAUGAUUUGGUCGCGAGCUCUUAUAUCCUUCCCAGGAGAACUGCCCAUACGUUGCUACGGAUAAAAAUAAUGUAUAUAAUUACAUUAAUCAUGAUUCGUUAUUUCAAAUGUGUGACAUAUUAUUGAAUUUACGUAUCUUUCUAUGCAUUUUUCGAACAAAGAGAUAUUUUUAUAAUAAUUUUAUCAGAUUAACAUGAGACAUAAUCUUCUAUGGUAUAUUAUGUACUCUAGUAUGUAAAUCUUAUGUUUGUUUGUGUAGUCUUCUACGUUGCUCGCUUUUUAUAAUAAAAGUAGAGAGAGGUGUGCGCCUAUGAACAACAAAAACCCAAAAAUGUACACAAUAAUCAAUAAAUUAUAAUUAUUAUUUUUUCCUAGAAUAAAAAUAUGGACUCAUCGAGCCCAUGAAAAGCGCAAGGAGGUGGCCCGGCAGCCCCAUCCAUCCAUCCAUUGUUAUCCAUACUUGCUAAACAAAUGAAUUAAAAACAUAAUUUUAUCCACACAAGAGACGGAUUAAUUGUUUGGUACUGAACUUUCUUGGACGUUGCUGUUGCUGGAUUCGGCAUUAGGAAGGCGUCGCUCGGCCGUGCAGACGUGCCAUUGUGGCUUUGUGGAGGCACCCCUACGUUGUGUCGGAGCGGAGCUGCAGGCAGCGUAAGGGGCCGGGUAGCACGCCACAACAUGCUAGAGACAGCGCCGAGCCUUGAGCCUUCGACUGGGGCUGCUUAUAGCGCCAACACCGCUCUGUAUCUUGCUCAGUGGAUGGGCGGACGACGGCGAGCGGCGCCUAGGAGAACUGCAAAUGCUCCUGCACACAUGCCCCAUGGGCCGGAACUGCACACUAACCCCCGCGAACGAUGGUAGUAGGGCAACAAAGCUGGCCAUGGCGCUACUCGUUGAGCUUUCCGUGUGCGCGAACAGGCAUUUGAUAUGUUCCCUACAAAAUUAAAGGUUGUUUGAUUCAAUGGUCAAAUAGUGCGAGCAUGUUAAUUGAUGCGAGUGUAUUGUGGGAACUGCCAAGGAACUGCAGGGCAUCGAGCAAGCAGUGGUGUUGCUCGGAAGUACCAGCACUAACACGCUUUCCGAUGUGUCUCCAGCGGGGGUGGCAGCGUCUACCUGCUCGGCAGCAGUAGUGUCACCCUAUUCUGGGCAUCUCCCCACGCGUCUUGGCCAUCGUUACCUCUGGCAUCGUUAAGGUAUGGCUUCCUUUCAGCCUCGGCCGUUUCUUUGUCCAGUGACCGGUUAAAAGAUCAUUAUCUAAUCAACCAUUCACGUCACCCAUAGUGUAGGCAACAGGCCAUUCUAUUGCGAUCCGCUGUCGCCUAUCGCUUCCCUUCAGAAUUUGAAGUCAGAAAUUCUUUUGUUUCAAUUUUGCUACCUCCACUAGUUUUCUUAAAUCAGAAUCAUGUUGAAACCAGAAGAGCCUUGUUAGCUUGUUUGAUCUAUACUUCGUUGUAGCAAAUGUAAAAUGACAACUGGUUGUUUCAUAUUCGAUCUGCAAGUCUUCUUCUCAUUCACACGAUGGAUGGCCAUAGGCACAAAGAGAAUUGAAGUAGUAGACCAUAAUCACUAUAGUAAAAGCUUAAAAUCUCAAAAUAUGUCAUCAUUUAUUUUUCAUUAUGUUAUCCAUAGAACUAUAGUAUGAGUUAGAAUAUUGCAUGGACAUCAGAUCAGCUACAACAUUUCCUAGCUUCGCCCUUCGCCACCCCUGCAGCAGCUAGCCCAAUCCAGGAAAUGUAUUUCCCAGGUGGGGGUGAGCAGACCCUGGAAAUAAGCUGGGGACGGACCAGCACGUCAACCGUCUCUGAAAAUAGCCCAUUUCAGAGGUGGGCAACUCCAUGGUCCGUCCUAGCAGAUUGAAUUACAGCAGCAGACGACACGAAGCAUCACCCUGCUGCUCAACGAAAUUUUGUAUGGACAACGCGCAAAUGAAAAGGCAAGCGGAAAGCAUAAGGUCCAUUCUGCUCCGCACAUAUAUCUUAUCUCAACCACAGCUUUCCAUGUCAUCUCCUUAGAGAAACUCCGACAGAUUGAUUUUCCACAUUCCCCUUUAUCCUCUUAUAGGGCAUUCCCUUUCACGAUUUCUGAAUUUUGAAGACUAGUGGGGCAAGAAAUUUUGUAUAGUAACAAAGAUAAUCUCAGCCCCACUUGCUACACAUACAUGCACGGUAAAUAGAAAGGGUUAUUUUCUAUGUCAAAGGCAUGCUCAGCUUCAAAGUCGUUCUGUUGUUAGCAUCGUUGUGUUGUUUCUGAUAACGUGCAGGAGGAAGCGAAAACACAGAGUAGAAAGAGGAUGAGAAAUUAAAGAAGACAAUGAAGCUCACGUUCACGUCUACAUGAGGGAGCUCUCACACAAGCAAGUCCAUUCAUCCUCUGUCUCCAUGCUGUUGAUGAUGACAUGUCACAUGUCCUUUGCCUUGACGUCGGCGGCAGGCCGGCAGCCCAAUGAACCCAUGACGAACAGCAUGAGCAUGACCAGCUAACUUCAUUGCUGAGUACAACAUGUGGUUAUCCUUGCUAUAACUAAUGUUGGUCAGAAGAAGAAGCUGCUAUAAAGUUGUUCUGAAGACGCUGAGUUCUAGGCGUACGCAAGCCCCGGUUGAUUGCCUGCGAAGUUUGGAACCUUCGUUUCCAGGAUUAAGCUGUAAAUCUCCGAUAGACUCUCUUUAUAUCUCUUUAUGUGAUACUGUUACUGUUAUUCACUGAUGAUGUGACUAUAUGUAUGAAACUUGAUCAUGUCAUACAUACAGUUAGCACUUGGUUUUGCUGUUCUAAAAUCAGAUGUGACACCUAUGAACCCAUGACGAACAGCAUGAGCGUAACCAGCUAACUUCAUUGCUGCUGCCUUUCGUAGAUGUUGGUGAACAUGACGUGUCUUUCAUCUCCACGAUGGCGACGGAUCCAAAGAUCGAAGAACAUGCAUCAACGCGAUCCGUAUGGCGUGUUUUCUGGUAUUUCCACCCCAUGAUGUAACGCCGACCGGGUUCCAUACGAGGCCUACGGCCACUCUGUUCACUUUCAUCAUGUGCUCCGAUGAGAGUUCAUCACCGUGAUAAAAGACGGAGACGAGGGCACACAGUCGUAGCUGCAAGUAAGGCCAACAGGCUCAAGGCCAUGGCUUUACAGCCAGCAGUCUUGCCUUGCAUGCACUCACGUACUAUUACCGGACUAGCAAUUGGUACUUUGACGCACUACAUGGACCCUUACAAAAUUAAAAAAAUGAACGUCAACAAGCAAAUGAAACUGCAUGAACUGAAGUAGGGAAAUGAAGACCACGUACAGUUCUUAUUGAAGCUGAAAUGUAUGUCAUAAAAGUAUUAUUGUUAGAUUGAAGUCAAUUUAAAUAUUUAAACGAGUAACGAGGGCUCGGAUUAGUAGAAGGUGUUAGUGAGGCCCUCCAACAGACCACUCAAUGAUUUUUAGAUCCAACUGUUUAUAUAGUAAGUUCGGAUAUUUAAUUAAUAAAUUGAAGUUGCCUUAAGAUAUGCAUAGUAAAUCACAAGACCAAAGUGGAAUAACCAUUAGACAACUAAUAAAACCAUAAUUAAGUUUUUCUCUACUUAAUUUUAGCAAUAUUGCUUAGGUUUUCUAUUUCGUCUAAAAAUAUCUUAAGCGGCUCAUAUGUCCGAAUUACCCACACAGUGAAUAAAUGUCAUUCCAGUUCAAGGAUUCAUGUGCAGUUAUCACACACUAGUGUGAACCCAUCAAGUGUGUGUCUUGCUUCCCUUUUCAAUCAACAAGCUACCUCCCUGAUUUGAAUAUAAUAAACUUAAAUGCUUCAGUUUCUAUGGUCCAUUGUUAUGUGAUGGACAUGAAAAAUGAAAAAUAUAGCCUACAAUGUUCAAAAUGCAUCUGAAGUACUAGGGUAUAAAAUAAGCUCACUGCCAUCCAAGUACAAGGGUUAACAACUAGAAAUAUAACCUUUAUUGCUAUCUGUAAAGAAAAUAUGCCUGUUGAAUUACAUGUCAGGAAAGGUGAAUGCACGGAUUGACGGCUAGUAUUAGCUAAUUUUGUUGUCUUUUUUGUUAAUAACUAGGUUUCCAAUGCCAAACUCUGCGUAAGGGUUCAGCAACUGGCUACAUAUUGGAAAGGAGUUACUGUUGGUGGCUAGCCCUCAUAAGAGAUAACUAUUUCAUCCCUGAUGCCUUCCAUGCCUAUGGAUGUACCGCGUGCUCGAGUAAGCUAUGCUUGCAGAUGGAUCUUAAACCUGAUGUCAAAUUGUGGAUAAUUGAAAGAGUUUGCUGUUUGUCUGCUUUAGGGAAGAUGGGUAGCACGUUUAUAUGCCAUUAAUUCUCAUGAAAGAGUGCAUAUACCAUGUUUGUCGCAGCAAGAUGAGGCUGUAGAGUAGUAGACGUGUAGAACAAUGGUACAGGUUGUAUGAAUAAUUUAUUGAAGGGAAUCAUAGACGCCACAGCCACUGAAGCUGUUGGGGCAUGAUUAGCCAAUGGUCUAAUUCCUGAUAUCUCCGUAUCCUAAUUUUCUGAAGCCUUACGGACUCUACCCUCCUCACUUCAUAUAUAUUAGUGUUUAUAAUAGCGGUUUUAUAAGAAGUGCUGAAGGUAUUGGUCCUGCUAUAUCUUGCUUCCACUACCGGAUUUGUGUACGAAAUAUUAAUUCUUGAGAUUUGUCAAUGAUUUUAGGACGCAAUGAUACCUUCAACUACCGGAUUGUAUAUAUAAGUUAGUCUUAGCCAGUUAUAUAUCAGAGGAGGAAGCACGCAUUAAAUAAUAAAUAACUCAUGUUGAUUCAAUUGGCAACCUGGCCUCUAAAAAGAAAAGGACUCUGUUCUCAAAAAAUGAAAAAAAGUAGCCUGCUAAUAACAAUGUCGACACUUUACAUCUGAGCAGCUAGCUCCGUGAUGCUUUAUCUGGCUAGUGAACUACCUACCUAUGUUAUUUAAACAUUUUUGCUGCCUAUAAAUUGGGCAUCAUUUCAGCGGACCACCACAGCACCUGAGCUUGCCAUCUUUUCCUGUUCUAUCUCACUCAUUUGUCCUGUAGCUACUAGCUAAGCCACCAUAUCAUCCAUGGCUUCCGGUGCCUCCACCACGUUGAAGAUUGCCUCUAUCGCCGCUUGCAUCCUGCUGGUUCUGCUGUCCAAUGGCCACCCUACAGUGGCGACCGUUGAUUGUACUGCGGCUUGCAAAGAGCCGUGCGAGAGCUUUUCUAAGGGAUUCUGCGCGGGUGGAGCCACCAGCGGUUGUGCGACUAAGGCAGCAGCUACAGCAUGCCGCAAUUCGGCGUUCUCGCAGUGUGCGAACAACUGCUACACAGUUUGCACCGCCGGGACCAUCGCGCCUUGCGCUUGAAGAUGCAUUUGUGUUCCUACUUCCACAUUAUUGUUACUGGUGAGUGUGUGCAAGCAGGCCUGCCGUCCACGGGAGGAGGCACGCAAGCCCGCAUGAUAAGCCACUGUCGUUUUUCCACUUUAUCAUUUACUUAUUGAAGGCAAUGUACGAUGCCUAGCUCCUGUGUGGUUGAGCAUGUCAUCUUGGAAUUUUGUCCAAAGUUUAACAUACCAUGUUGUAUUGUUGUGUAUGGGUAUCAAUAUAAUUUAUCAACUAUUUUUCGUUUACCAUAGACAUUUCUAUGUUUAUUUGCAAGGGUUAGGGAAAUUUGUCCUUGAUAGUGUACUAACCGCGUCUGCCAACUGAACAGAUCAACUUUCUCAACAGCCUAUCUCCUACUUGAAAAAAUAUUCGCUUUAGAAAUGGUUUGUUUCUUUUCUGUGUAGCUCUAUCACCCAUCACCGUGAGGGUUACAAAACUCGGCGCAAGGGUUCCAAGCUGUGGCGCCACAAACCACAUAAGCUGUGGCGCAAGGGUUCUAGCUGGCUAGUCACAAACAACUAUUUCAUCCCGGAUGUCUUCCAUGCCCAUGGAGCUGCCGCUUUCUUGAUCGAGUAAUCUAUGCCCAUGAAAGAGUUCGGUAUUUGUCUGAUCGAGGAAGACGAGGUAGCACAUUUAUGUGAAAGCAGUACUGGCGGACAUGAUGGUCGGUGGCCUAUUGAUUAUCUUCCAACUCCUUUAUGCCAUUAUCAGUACUACAGAAAUCAUUUGUAGGGGUGAAGUGUUUUUUUUUAGGGUGGACCAAAAGGUCUGCCACCCCCAGGGGCGGAGCUACAGUCAACCAUCGAUGAUUUGGUCGCGAGCUCUUAUAUCCUUCCCAGGAGAACUGCCCAUACGUUGCUACGGAUAAAAAUAAUGUAUAUAAUUACAUUAAUCAUGAUUCGUUAUUUCAAAUGUGUGACAUAUUAUUGAAUUUACGUAUCUUUCUAUGCAUUUUUCGAACAAAGAGAUAUUUUUAUAAUAAUUUUAUCAGAUUAACAUGAGACAUAAUCUUCUAUGGUAUAUUAUGUACUCUAGUAUGUAAAUCUUAUGUUUGUUUGUGUAGUCUUCUACGUUGCUCGCUUUUUAUAAUAAAAGUAGAGAGAGGUGUGCGCCUAUGAACAACAAAAACCCAAAAAUGUACACAAUAAUCAAUAAAUUAUAAUUAUUAUUUUUUCCUAGAAUAAAAAUAUGGACUCAUCGAGCCCAUGAAAAGCGCAAGGAGGUGGCCCGGCAGCCCCAUCCAUCCAUCCAUUGUUAUCCAUACUUGCUAAACAAAUGAAUUAAAAACAUAAUUUUAUCCACACAAGAGACGGAUUAAUUGUUUGGUACUGAACUUUCUUGGACGUUGCUGUUGCUGGAUUCGGCAUUAGGAAGGCGUCGCUCGGCCGUGCAGACGUGCCAUUGUGGCUUUGUGGAGGCACCCCUACGUUGUGUCGGAGCGGAGCUGCAGGCAGCGUAAGCGGCCGGGUAGCACGCCACAACAUGCUAGAGACAGCGCCGAGCCUUGAGCCUUCGACUGGGGCUGCUUAUAGCGCCAACACCGCUCUGUAUCUUGCUCAGUGGAUGGGCGGACGACGGCGAGCGGCGCCUAGGAGAACUGCAAAUGCUCCUGCACACAUGCCCCAUGGGCCGGAACUGCACACUAACCCCCGCGAACGAUGGUAGUAGGGCAACAAAGCUGGCCAUGGCGCUACUCGUUGAGCUUUCCGUGUGCGCGAACAGGCAUUUGAUAUGUUCCCUACAAAAUUAAAGGUUGUUUGAUUCAAUGGUCAAAUAGUGCGAGCAUGUUAAUUGAUGCGAGUGUAUUGUGGGAACUGCCAAGGAACUGCAGGGCAUCGAGCAAGCAGUGGUGUUGCUCGGAAGUACCAGCACUAACACGCUUUCCGAUGUGUCUCCAGCGGGGGUGGCAGCGUCUACCUGCUCGGCAGCAGUAGUGUCACCCUAUUCUGGGCAUCUCCCCACGCGUCUUGGCCAUCGUUACCUCUGGCAUCGUUAAGGUAUGGCUUCCUUUCAGCCUCGGCCGUUUCUUUGUCCAGUGACCGGUUAAAAGAUCAUUAUCUAAUCAACCAUUCACGUCACCCAUAGUGUAGGCAACAGGCCAUUCUAUUGCGAUCCGCUGUCGCCUAUCGCUUCCCUUCAGAAUUUGAAGUCAGAAAUUCUUUUGUUUCAAUUUUGCUACCUCCACUAGUUUUCUUAAAUCAGAAUCAUGUUGAAACCAGAAGAGCCUUGUUAGCUUGUUUGAUCUAUACUUCGUUGUAGCAAAUGUAAAAUGACAACUGGUUGUUUCAUAUUCGAUCUGCAAGUCUUCUUCUCAUUCACACGAUGGAUGGCCAUAGGCACAAAGAGAAUUGAAGUAGUAGACCAUAAUCACUAUAGUAAAAGCUUAAAAUCUCAAAAUAUGUCAUCAUUUAUUUUUCAUUAUGUUAUCCAUAGAACUAUAGUAUGAGUUAGAAUAUUGCAUGGACAUCAGAUCAGCUACAACAUUUCCUAGCUUCGCCCUUCGCCACCCCUGCAGCAGCUAGCCCAAUCCAGGAAAUGUAUUUCCCAGGUGGGGGUGAGCAGACCCUGGAAAUAAGCUGGGGACGGACCAGCACGUCAACCGUCUCUGAAAAUAGCCCAUUUCAGAGGUGGGCAACUCCAUGGUCCGUCCUAGCAGAUUGAAUUACAGCAGCAGACGACACGAAGCAUCACCCUGCUGCUCAACGAAAUUUUGUAUGGACAACGCGCAAAUGAAAAGGCAAGCGGAAAGCAUAAGGUCCAUUCUGCUCCGCACAUAUAUCUUAUCUCAACCACAGCUUUCCAUGUCAUCUCCUUAGAGAAACUCCGACAGAUUGAUUUUCCACAUUCCCCUUUAUCCUCUUAUAGGGCAUUCCCUUUCACGAUUUCUGAAUUUUGAAGACUAGUGGGGCAAGAAAUUUUGUAUAGUAACAAAGAUAAUCUCAGCCCCACUUGCUACACAUACAUGCACGGUAAAUAGAAAGGGUUAUUUUCUAUGUCAAAGGCAUGCUCAGCUUCAAAGUCGUUCUGUUGUUAGCAUCGUUGUGUUGUUUCUGAUAACGUGCAGGAGGAAGCGAAAACACAGAGUAGAAAGAGGAUGAGAAAUUAAAGAAGACAAUGAAGCUCACGUUCACGUCUACAUGAGGGAGCUCUCACACAAGCAAGUCCAUUCAUCCUCUGUCUCCAUGCUGUUGAUGAUGAUAUGUCACAUGUCCUUUGCCUUGACGUCGGCGGCAGGCCGGCAGCCCAAUGAACCCAUGACGAACAGCAUGAGCAUGACCAGCUAACUUCAUUGCUGAGUACAACAUGUGGUUAUCCUUGCUAUAACUAAUGUUGGUCAGAAGAAGAAGCUGCUAUAAAGUUGUUCUGAAGACGCUGAGUUCUAGGCGUACGCAAGCCCCGGUUGAUUGCCUGCGAAGUUUGGAACCUUCGUUUCCAGGAUUAAGCUGUAAAUCUCCGAUAGACUCUCUUUAUAUCUCUUUAUGUGAUACUGUUACUGUUAUUCACUGAUGAUGUGACUAUAUGUAUGAAACUUGAUCAUGUCAUACAUACAGUUAGCACUUGGUUUUGCUGUUCUAAAAUCAGAUGUGACACCUAUGAACCCAUGACGAACAGCAUGAGCGUAACCAGCUAACUUCAUUGCUGCUGCCUUUCGUAGAUGUUGGUGAACAUGACGUGUCUUUCAUCUCCACGAUGGCGACGGAUCCAAAGAUCGAAGAACAUGCAUCAACGCGAUCCGUAUGGCGUGUUUUCUGGUAUUUCCACCCCAUGAUGUAACGCCGACCGGGUUCCAUACGAGGCCUACGGCCACUCUGUUCACUUUCAUCAUGUGCUCCGAUGAGAGUUCAUCACCGUGAUAAAAGACGGAGACGAGGGCACACAGUCGUAGCUGCAAGUAAGGCCAACAGGCUCAAGGCCAUGGCUUUACAGCCAGCAGUCUUGCCUUGCAUGCACUCACGUACUAUUACCGGACUAGCAAUUGGUACUUUGACGCACUACAUGGACCCUUACAAAAUUAAAAAAAUGAACGUCAACAAGCAAAUGAAACUGCAUGAACUGAAGUAGGGAAAUGAAGACCACGUACAGUUCUUAUUGAAGCUGAAAUGUAUGUCAUAAAAGUAUUAUUGUUAGAUUGAAGUCAAUUUAAAUAUUUAAACGAGUAACGAGGGCUCGGAUUAGUAGAAGGUGUUAGUGAGGCCCUCCAACAGACCACUCAAUGAUUUUUAGAUCCAACUGUUUAUAUAGUAAGUUCGGAUAUUUAAUUAAUAAAUUGAAGUUGCCUUAAGAUAUGCAUAGUAAAUCACAAGACCAAAGUGGAAUAACCAUUAGACAACUAAUAAAACCAUAAUUAAGUUUUUCUCUACUUAAUUUUAGCAAUAUUGCUUAGGUUUUCUAUUUCGUCUAAAAAUAUCUUAAGCGGCUCAUAUGUCCGAAUUACCCACACAGUGAAUAAAUGUCAUUCCAGUUCAAGGAUUCAUGUGCAGUUAUCACACACUAGUGUGAACCCAUCAAGUGUGUGUCUUGCUUCCCUUUUCAAUCAACAAGCUACCUCCCUGAUUUGAAUAUAAUAAACUUAAAUGCUUCAGUUUCUAUGGUCCAUUGUUAUGUGAUGGACAUGAAAAAUGAAAAAUAUAGCCUACAAUGUUCAAAAUGCAUCUGAAGUACUAGGGUAUAAAAUAAGCUCACUGCCAUCCAAGUACAAGGGUUAACAACUAGAAAUAUAACCUUUAUUGCUAUCUGUAAAGAAAAUAUGCCUGUUGAAUUACAUGUCAGGAAAGGUGAAUGCACGGAUUGACGGCUAGUAUUAGCUAAUUUUGUUGUCUUUUUUGUUAAUAACUAGGUUUCCAAUGCCAAACUCUGCGUAAGGGUUCAGCAACUGGCUACAUAUUGGAAAGGAGUUACUGUUGGUGGCUAGCCCUCAUAAGAGAUAACUAUUUCAUCCCUGAUGCCUUCCAUGCCUAUGGAUGUACCGCGUGCUCGAGUAAGCUAUGCUUGCAGAUGGAUCUUAAACCUGAUGUCAAAUUGUGGAUAAUUGAAAGAGUUUGCUGUUUGUCUGCUUUAGGGAAGAUGGGUAGCACGUUUAUAUGCCAUUAAUUCUCAUGAAAGAGUGCAUAUACCAUGUUUGUCGCAGCAAGAUGAGGCUGUAGAGUAGUAGACGUGUAGAACAAUGGUACAGGUUGUAUGAAUAAUUUAUUGAAGGGAAUCAUAGACGCCACAGCCACUGAAGCUGUUGGGGCAUGAUUAGCCAAUGGUCUAAUUCCUGAUAUCUCCGUAUCCUAAUUUUCUGAAGCCUUACGGACUCUACCCUCCUCACUUCAUAUAUAUUAGUGUUUAUAAUAGCGGUUUUAUAAGAAGUGCUGAAGGUAUUGGUCCUGCUAUAUCUUGCUUCCACUACCGGAUUUGUGUACGAAAUAUUAAUUCUUGAGAUUUGUCAAUGAUUUUAGGACGCAAUGAUACCUUCAACUACCGGAUUGUAUAUAUAAGUUAGUCUUAGCCAGUUAUAUAUCAGAGGAGGAAGCACGCAUUAAAUAAUAAAUAACUCAUGUUGAUUCAAUUGGCAACCUGGCCUCUAAAAAGAAAAGGACUCUGUUCUCAAAAAAUGAAAAAAAGUAGCCUGCUAAUAACAAUGUCGACACUUUACAUCUGAGCAGCUAGCUCCGUGAUGCUUUAUCUGGCUAGUGAACUACCUACCUAUGUUAUUUAAACAUUUUUGCUGCCUAUAAAUUGGGCAUCAUUUCAGCGGACCACCACAGCACCUGAGCUUGCCAUCUUUUCCUGUUCUAUCUCACUCAUUUGUCCUGUAGCUACUAGCUAAGCCACCAUAUCAUCCAUGGCUUCCGGUGCCUCCACCACGUUGAAGAUUGCCUCUAUCGCCGCUUGCAUCCUGCUGGUUCUGCUGUCCAAUGGCCACCCUACAGUGGCGACCGUUGAUUGUACUGCGGCUUGCAAAGAGCCGUGCGAGAGCUUUUCUAAGGGAUUCUGCGCGGGUGGAGCCACCAGCGGUUGUGCGACUAAGGCAGCAGCUACAGCAUGCCGCAAUUCGGCGUUCUCGCAGUGUGCGAACAACUGCUACACAGUUUGCACCGCCGGGACCAUCGCGCCUUGCGCUUGAAGAUGCAUUUGUGUUCCUACUUCCACAUUAUUGUUACUGGUGAGUGUGUGCAAGCAGGCCUGCCGUCCACGGGAGGAGGCACGCAAGCCCGCAUGAUAAGCCACUGUCGUUUUUCCACUUUAUCAUUUACUUAUUGAAGGCAAUGUACGAUGCCUAGCUCCUGUGUGGUUGAGCAUGUCAUCUUGGAAUUUUGUCCAAAGUUUAACAUACCAUGUUGUAUUGUUGUGUAUGGGUAUCAAUAUAAUUUAUCAACUAUUUUUCGUUUACCAUAGACAUUUCUAUGUUUAUUUGCAAGGGUUAGGGAAAUUUGUCCUUGAUAGUGUACUAACCGCGUCUGCCAACUGAACAGAUCAACUUUCUCAACAGCCUAUCUCCUACUUGAAAAAAUAUUCGCUUUAGAAAUGGUUUGUUUCUUUUCUGUGUAGCUCUAUCACCCAUCACCGUGAGGGUUACAAAACUCGGCGCAAGGGUUCCAAGCUGUGGCGCCACAAACCACAUAAGCUGUGGCGCAAGGGUUCUAGCUGGCUAGUCACAAACAACUAUUUCAUCCCGGAUGUCUUCCAUGCCCAUGGAGCUGCCGCUUUCUUGAUCGAGUAAUCUAUGCCCAUGAAAGAGUUCGGUAUUUGUCUGAUCGAGGAAGACGAGGUAGCACAUUUAUGUGAAAGCAGUACUGGCGGACAUGAUGGUCGGUGGCCUAUUGAUUAUCUUCCAACUCCUUUAUGCCAUUAUCAGUACUACAGAAAUCAUUUGUAGGGGUGAAGUGUUUUUUUUUUAGGGUGGACCAAAAGGUCUGCCACCCCCAGGGGCGGAGCUACAGUCAACCAUCGAUGAUUUGGUCGCGAGCUCUUAUAUCCUUCCCAGGAGAACUGCCCAUACGUUGCUACGGAUAAAAAUAAUGUAUAUAAUUACAUUAAUCAUGAUUCGUUAUUUCAAAUGUGUGACAUAUUAUUGAAUUUACGUAUCUUUCUAUGCAUUUUUCGAACAAAGAGAUAUUUUUAUAAUAAUUUUAUCAGAUUAACAUGAGACAUAAUCUUCUAUGGUAUAUUAUGUACUCUAGUAUGUAAAUCUUAUGUUUGUUUGUGUAGUCUUCUACGUUGCUCGCUUUUUAUAAUAAAAGUAGAGAGAGGUGUGCGCCUAUGAACAACAAAAACCCAAAAAUGUACACAAUAAUCAAUAAAUUAUAAUUAUUAUUUUUUCCUAGAAUAAAAAUAUGGACUCAUCGAGCCCAUGAAAAGCGCAAGGAGGUGGCCCGGCAGCCCCAUCCAUCCAUCCAUUGUUAUCCAUACUUGCUAAACAAAUGAAUUAAAAACAUAAUUUUAUCCACACAAGAGACGGAUUAAUUGUUUGGUACUGAACUUUCUUGGACGUUGCUGUUGCUGGAUUCGGCAUUAGGAAGGCGUCGCUCGGCCGUGCAGACGUGCCAUUGUGGCUUUGUGGAGGCACCCCUACGUUGUGUCGGAGCGGAGCUGCAGGCAGCGUAAGCGGCCGGGUAGCACGCCACAACAUGCUAGAGACAGCGCCGAGCCUUGAGCCUUCGACUGGGGCUGCUUAUAGCGCCAACACCGCUCUGUAUCUUGCUCAGUGGAUGGGCGGACGACGGCGAGCGGCGCCUAGGAGAACUGCAAAUGCUCCUGCACACAUGCCCCAUGGGCCGGAACUGCACACUAACCCCCGCGAACGAUGGUAGUAGGGCAACAAAGCUGGCCAUGGCGCUACUCGUUGAGCUUUCCGUGUGCGCGAACAGGCAUUUGAUAUGUUCCCUACAAAAUUAAAGGUUGUUUGAUUCAAUGGUCAAAUAGUGCGAGCAUGUUAAUUGAUGCGAGUGUAUUGUGGGAACUGCCAAGGAACUGCAGGGCAUCGAGCAAGCAGUGGUGUUGCUCGGAAGUACCAGCACUAACACGCUUUCCGAUGUGUCUCCAGCGGGGGUGGCAGCGUCUACCUGCUCGGCAGCAGUAGUGUCACCCUAUUCUGGGCAUCUCCCCACGCGUCUUGGCCAUCGUUACCUCUGGCAUCGUUAAGGUAUGGCUUCCUUUCAGCCUCGGCCGUUUCUUUGUCCAGUGACCGGUUAAAAGAUCAUUAUCUAAUCAACCAUUCACGUCACCCAUAGUGUAGGCAACAGGCCAUUCUAUUGCGAUCCGCUGUCGCCUAUCGCUUCCCUUCAGAAUUUGAAGUCAGAAAUUCUUUUGUUUCAAUUUUGCUACCUCCACUAGUUUUCUUAAAUCAGAAUCAUGUUGAAACCAGAAGAGCCUUGUUAGCUUGUUUGAUCUAUACUUCGUUGUAGCAAAUGUAAAAUGACAACUGGUUGUUUCAUAUUCGAUCUGCAAGUCUUCUUCUCAUUCACACGAUGGAUGGCCAUAGGCACAAAGAGAAUUGAAGUAGUAGACCAUAAUCACUAUAGUAAAAGCUUAAAAUCUCAAAAUAUGUCAUCAUUUAUUUUUCAUUAUGUUAUCCAUAGAACUAUAGUAUGAGUUAGAAUAUUGCAUGGACAUCAGAUCAGCUACAACAUUUCCUAGCUUCGCCCUUCGCCACCCCUGCAGCAGCUAGCCCAAUCCAGGAAAUGUAUUUCCCAGGUGGGGGUGAGCAGACCCUGGAAAUAAGCUGGGGACGGACCAGCACGUCAACCGUCUCUGAAAAUAGCCCAUUUCAGAGGUGGGCAACUCCAUGGUCCGUCCUAGCAGAUUGAAUUACAGCAGCAGACGACACGAAGCAUCACCCUGCUGCUCAACGAAAUUUUGUAUGGACAACGCGCAAAUGAAAAGGCAAGCGGAAAGCAUAAGGUCCAUUCUGCUCCGCACAUAUAUCUUAUCUCAACCACAGCUUUCCAUGUCAUCUCCUUAGAGAAACUCCGACAGAUUGAUUUUCCACAUUCCCCUUUAUCCUCUUAUAGGGCAUUCCCUUUCACGAUUUCUGAAUUUUGAAGACUAGUGGGGCAAGAAAUUUUGUAUAGUAACAAAGAUAAUCUCAGCCCCACUUGCUACACAUACAUGCACGGUAAAUAGAAAGGGUUAUUUUCUAUGUCAAAGGCAUGCUCAGCUUCAAAGUCGUUCUGUUGUUAGCAUCGUUGUGUUGUUUCUGAUAACGUGCAGGAGGAAGCGAAAACACAGAGUAGAAAGAGGAUGAGAAAUUAAAGAAGACAAUGAAGCUCACGUUCACGUCUACAUGAGGGAGCUCUCACACAAGCAAGUCCAUUCAUCCUCUGUCUCCAUGCUGUUGAUGAUGACAUGUCACAUGUCCUUUGCCUUGACGUCGGCGGCAGGCCGGCAGCCCAAUGAACCCAUGACGAACAGCAUGAGCAUGACCAGCUAACUUCAUUGCUGAGUACAACAUGUGGUUAUCCUUGCUAUAACUAAUGUUGGUCAGAAGAAGAAGCUGCUAUAAAGUUGUUCUGAAGACGCUGAGUUCUAGGCGUACGCAAGCCCCGGUUGAUUGCCUGCGAAGUUUGGAACCUUCGUUUCCAGGAUUAAGCUGUAAAUCUCCGAUAGACUCUCUUUAUAUCUCUUUAUGUGAUACUGUUACUGUUAUUCACUGAUGAUGUGACUAUAUGUAUGAAACUUGAUCAUGUCAUACAUACAGUUAGCACUUGGUUUUGCUGUUCUAAAAUCAGAUGUGACACCUAUGAACCCAUGACGAACAGCAUGAGCGUAACCAGCUAACUUCAUUGCUGCUGCCUUUCGUAGAUGUUGGUGAACAUGACGUGUCUUUCAUCUCCACGAUGGCGACGGAUCCAAAGAUCGAAGAACAUGCAUCAACGCGAUCCGUAUGGCGUGUUUUCUGGUAUUUCCACCCCAUGAUGUAACGCCGACCGGGUUCCAUACGAGGCCUACGGCCACUCUGUUCACUUUCAUCAUGUGCUCCGAUGAGAGUUCAUCACCGUGAUAAAAGACGGAGACGAGGGCACACAGUCGUAGCUGCAAGUAAGGCCAACAGGCUCAAGGCCAUGGCUUUACAGCCAGCAGUCUUGCCUUGCAUGCACUCACGGACUAUUACCGGACUAGCAAUUGGUACUUUGACGCACUACAUGGACCCUUACAAAAUUAAAAAAAUGAACGUCAACAAGCAAAUGAAACUGCAUGAACUGAAGUAGGGAAAUGAAGACCACGUACAGUUCUUAUUGAAGCUGAAAUGUAUGUCAUAAAAGUAUUAUUGUUAGAUUGAAGUCAAUUUAAAUAUUUAAACGAGUAACGAGGGCUCGGAUUAGUAGAAGGUGUUAGUGAGGCCCUCCAACAGACCACUCAAUGAUUUUUAGAUCCAACUGUUUAUAUAGUAAGUUCGGAUAUUUAAUUAAUAAAUUGAAGUUGCCUUAAGAUAUGCAUAGUAAAUCACAAGACCAAAGUGGAAUAACCAUUAGACAACUAAUAAAACCAUAAUUAAGUUUUUCUCUACUUAAUUUUAGCAAUAUUGCUUAGGUUUUCUAUUUCGUCUAAAAAUAUCUUAAGCGGCUCAUAUGUCCGAAUUACCCACACAGUGAAUAAAUGUCAUUCCAGUUCAAGGAUUCAUGUGCAGUUAUCACACACUAGUGUGAACCCAUCAAGUGUGUGUCUUGCUUCCCUUUUCAAUCAACAAGCUACCUCCCUGAUUUGAAUAUAAUAAACUUAAAUGCUUCAGUUUCUAUGGUCCAUUGUUAUGUGAUGGACAUGAAAAAUGAAAAAUAUAGCCUACAAUGUUCAAAAUGCAUCUGAAGUACUAGGGUAUAAAAUAAGCUCACUGCCAUCCAAGUACAAGGGUUAACAACUAGAAAUAUAACCUUUAUUGCUAUCUGUAAAGAAAAUAUGCCUGUUGAAUUACAUGUCAGGAAAGGUGAAUGCACGGAUUGACGGCUAGUAUUAGCUAAUUUUGUUGUCUUUUUUGUUAAUAACUAGGUUUCCAAUGCCAAACUCUGCGUAAGGGUUCAGCAACUGGCUACAUAUUGGAAAGGAGUUACUGUUGGUGGCUAGCCCUCAUAAGAGAUAACUAUUUCAUCCCUGAUGCCUUCCAUGCCUAUGGAUGUACCGCGUGCUCGAGUAAGUUAUGCUUGCAGAUGGAUCUUAAACCUGAUGUCAAAUUGUGGAUAAUUGAAAGAGUUUGCUGUUUGUCUGCUUUAGGGAAGAUGGGUAGCACGUUUAUAUGCCAUUAAUUCUCAUGAAAGAGUGCAUAUACCAUGUUUGUCGCAGCAAGAUGAGGCUGUAGAGUAGUAGACGUGUAGAACAAUGGUACAGGUUGUAUGAAUAAUUUAUUGAAGGGAAUCAUAGACGCCACAGCCACUGAAGCUGUUGGGGCAUGAUUAGCCAAUGGUCUAAUUCCUGAUAUCUCCGUAUCCUAAUUUUCUGAAGCCUUACGGACUCUACCCUCCUCACUUCAUAUAUAUUAGUGUUUAUAAUAGCGGUUUUAUAAGAAGUGCUGAAGGUAUUGGUCCUGCUAUAUCUUGCUUCCACUACCGGAUUUGUGUACGAAAUAUUAAUUCUUGAGAUUUGUCAAUGAUUUUAGGACGCAAUGAUACCUUCAACUACCGGAUUGUAUAUAUAAGUUAGUCUUAGCCAGUUAUAUAUCAGAGGAGGAAGCACGCAUUAAAUAAUAAAUAACUCAUGUUGAUUCAAUUGGCAACCUGGCCUCUAAAAAGAAAAGGACUCUGUUCUCAAAAAAUGAAAAAAAGUAGCCUGCUAAUAACAAUGUCGACACUUUACAUCUGAGCAGCUAGCUCCGUGAUGCUUUAUCUGGCUAGUGAACUACCUACCUAUGUUAUUUAAACAUUUUUGCUGCCUAUAAAUUGGGCAUCAUUUCAGCGGACCACCACAGCACCUGAGCUUGCCAUCUUUUCCUGUUCUAUCUCACUCAUUUGUCCUGUAGCUACUAGCUAAGCCACCAUAUCAUCCAUGGCUUCCGGUGCCUCCACCACGUUGAAGAUUGCCUCUAUCGCCGCUUGCAUCCUGCUGGUUCUGCUGUCCAAUGGCCACCCUACAGUGGCGACCGUUGAUUGUACUGCGGCUUGCAAAGAGCCGUGCGAGAGCUUUUCUAAGGGAUUCUGCGCGGGUGGAGCCACCAGCGGUUGUGCGACUAAGGCAGCAGCUACAGCAUGCCGCAAUUCGGCGUUCUCGCAGUGUGCGAACAACUGCUACACAGUUUGCACCGCCGGGACCAUCGCGCCUUGCGCUUGAAGAUGCAUUUGUGUUCCUACUUCCACAUUAUUGUUACUGGUGAGUGUGUGCAAGCAGGCCUGCCGUCCACGGGAGGAGGCACGCAAGCACGCAUGAUAAGCCACUGUCGUUUUUCCACUUUAUCAUUUACUUAUUGAAGGCAAUGUACGAUGCCUAGCUCCUGUGUGGUUGAGCAUGUCGUCUUGGAAUUUUGUCCAAAGUUUAACAUACCAUGUUGUAUUGUUGUGUAUGCGUAUCAAUAUAAUUUAUCAACUAUUUUUCGUUUACCAUAGACAUUUCUAGUUUAUUUGCAAGGGUUAGGGAAAUUUGUCCUUGAUAGUGUAUUAACCGCAUCUGCCAACUGAACAGAUCAACUUUCUCAACAGCCUAUCUCCUACUUGAAAAAUAUUCGCUUUAGAAAAGGUUUGUUUCUUUUCUGUGUAGCUGUAGCCACCGUGAGGGUUACAAAACUCGGCGCAAGGGUUCCAAGCUGUGGCACCACAAACCACAUAAGCUGUGGCACAAGGGUUCUAGCUGGGUGGUCACAAACAACUAUUUCAUCCCGGAUGUCUUCCAUGCCCAUGGACCUCACUACGGGAAACAGAACCUUUGCCGAGUGCCCCAGGCACUCGGCAAAGGCAUAAAAACACUCGGCAAAGCCUUUGCCGAGUGUAACACUCGGCAAAGAGCACACGGCAAAUGUUGUGUCGGCAAAGCAUAGUUCGCCGAGUGUCAAAACUCGGACACUCGGCAAACUUGUCACCGACGGCCAAAAAACACUCGGCGAAAAGAUGUACUCGGCGAAUUGCGGACUGACGGCGUCGGGUAACGGCGGGUUUGCCGAGUGCCAAACGGGAGGCACUCGGCAAACACCGGGUCUUUGCUGAGUGCCAACACUCGGCAAAGACCAGGAGUUUGCCGAGUGCCACGCGCCUGGCACUCAGCAAACACGGUCCCUUUGCCGAGUGCCGGCUCCCGGGCACUCGGCAAAGCCGGCUCCCUUUGCCAAGUGCCCUGACAUUAGCACUCGGCAAACCGGCCCCCUUUGCCGAGUGCCUUGACCAGAGCACUCGGCAAAGGACCUUUCCUACACCUGGGAAAUGCCCCUUUGCCGAGUGCUAUGGUCAAUGCACUCGGCAAAGGACCCUCUUUGCCGAGUGUUACACUCGGCAAAGUGACCAGAACCGCCCUUUUUUCGAUAUUUUGCCAUGUAUAACGGACCCCUCUCAAUUCACAAUACACAUAUCACAGGCAUUUGUAAUAAACAACCACAUGGAUAAUUCACAACCACAGGCAUAAUUCAUAAACACCACAGGCAUAGUUCAACAUAAGCACGAAAUAAUCCAUAAAACCAAGUUCUUCUCACAAUUUAGUUUCCACAUUGUUCACAAUCAAGUCUACUUCCGUGGAGGCCAAGGAGACCACUGCGACAAAUCUUGAUCUUCAUUAUUCAAAGCCGCCGAUUGAUUCUGCACAUAGGAUAGGACAUUCUGAGGUAACAUCUAAAGUUGUCAAAUUUAAACUAUUGAAACUUAAGCACAAUGUGUCAAGUGACUCACAGGAGUAGUCGUGGGUGGCUGAGGCGGAGGGAACAUCAUCGGCGGUGGCGGAGGCAAAGACUGUCCCAUGCUCGUAGCAAAGUUCUGCAUGUACUGGAACAUCUGCUCCAUCCUAAUCCGGUUUUCCUCCUCCAUCCUCCGCCGCAUUUCCUCCAUCUGCGACUUAAUCUCCUCUUGUGCCUUCCUUGAUUCUUCCACCUGGGCCUACAAUAUUUCAUUGCAAUGUUAUAAUGCAAAGCUAAAGUAUAACAACAAACGAACGAUGAAUGGAAGAGAAAGAACCUGUAGAGCCUCCAUCUGGAACUGUGCAGCGGUGGGUCGUGGGCGUACCGCCGGGCUCGAGUCCGUGCUCCUAGCUCGGAUCUGGGAGAGAGUGGGAGUAGAGGCCGUGUCGAUGACGCCGUCGCCAAUCCAAUAACGGCCAUGCUUCUUGCCUCCUCCCACCCUCAUCACGAUUUCUCCAUCAAUGUCCUCGGAGCUCGGAUCGAAGUCUGGCCCGUGAACUUCCCUAGCCACCUUUGUAUACUUGCUGACGCGGCUGUAUAUGCUAGGGUGGCUGUACGCCUCCGACGGGUCGUCUGGGUUGAAAUCUAUAUCGGACGUCGCCUUGCCCUUUUUGGAGAGGACCCAUGCCUUGAGCUGGGAGCAAGGUCGGCCAUCAUGUGACGCCGACUGCGGCAAAAAACAAAAUCAUUAAAAAUUACAUAGAACUGAACGUUACAAUAAAGAAUUGAAGUUGCGUACCCAUUUUUCUCUAUAUUCAUCAAGGCUUAGGCUACCUUGAUGGUGUGAUGCAGUCGGCAUCUGCAAACGCCGCUGCCGGCAAGAAAGGUGGGUCUCCAACCACCCGGGCUCCAACCACACGUCGACCAUCCUCUCCCAGCACGGCAUAUGCGCACGACACCACCACGGAGGCACCUACAUCAUCAAGCGUGUGACGUAUGAAAAAGAAAAUGAGCCUAAUUAAUCAUAAAUAGUAAGCAUCAACAUUCUAUACUUACCCUCAUGAAUUGAUCCUUAGUCAUGUUCAUUGUUCUUGCCUCCUCUUUUCUAACCUUCGUACGAUUGUAUUGAGCGUUGAAUUCUAUGAUGGCCUGGAUGCGCGCCUCGUAAUGCAUGUCCCUCACGAGCUUCUUGGCGGCUACAUCACAGAUGGCCUUCGCCUUGGCCUCGAACCCCUCCUGGCAUCUAUAGAAGUCUUGCAUAUACACGCGUAAACAGUUAUUAUUUCAAGAAUGUCGAAAGUAGCUGAUGUAUUGAGCAAUUUAGUACGAGGAGUACUUACCCACAGCUCGGCCUUGACCCGCUCCGCUAUGUUGGGGAAUCUUCUCUGUUGACGAUCAGGGACGUCGGGGGCAGCGACGUAGUGGUCCCACGUGUAGGCCGGCUGCAGCUGUCCGGCGUACACCACCAAGCCAGGGAAGUGAACCCUGCACAAAAGGCCAAGGAUCCCGUUGGCCUUACGGUUGUGGUCACCCCCGCUGAGCUUAACUCAACUCCUGCACAAGUAAUUAAUAUGAAUUAUUAGUUUUUGUAACUUACAACAUAAGAACAAUUUUAAGAAUAUUUAAAGUUACUUACUUGGUCCCAACCGGUUUAAUGAGCGAGCGUAAAUGCUCAGGUAUCGGCCGCUUCGGGAGGGAUGAGGGACCUCGCAACCAUAUCUUGGCCUGGGUAUCCCCUGCCUCCCCGUCCCCCUCCUGCUCCUGCUGCUCCUGCUCCUCCUCCUCCGCCUCCUCGUCCCCAGAGGAGUGUGCGGAAGGUACCUCCUCCUCCUCCUCCUCCUCCUCCUCCUCGUCCUCCUCCACCUCAGGUUCAGGCGACGGGGGCCUCGCCGCUUUACCCUUCCCUCGAGGCCUCUGGACCACCUCCUGCUCCUCCUCCUCCUCCUCCUCCUCAACCCUACGUCGAGGCCUGCCUCGACGCCUCCCUCGACCGCUCCCUGAACGUGACCCUGACCCUGAACGAGUCCCUGCCGCGGCCAGUCUCUCGCAAAUUGACAUGAGCUUCCUGAUACCGCCCACCAUUGCUUAAUGACCUGCAAUUAAAAAGAGUACACGAGUCAGCAUAGGCAAACAAAACAUAAUUACAAAUAUAUACAAAUUAUAAUUAAAUUAUAGCUAAAUUAUUACGAAUCAUACAUGUAUUAGAAAUAAUCAUCAUGAUCGGGAUUAGCUGGAUCAUAAGUCUCAUCAUCACUAUCACGCGUGUCGAUAUAGUCAAGCUCGUGCUCCAAAGAAGGAAUGUCGUCAUCACUGUCAUUAUCUAACUGUAAUCGUUGAAGUAAUUCUAAGUCCUUCACAUUCUGAACCUUGUCUCCACCGUCCUCUACAGCAACCCUCUCGUUGUCUACUUCCAUUCCGAUCGCUUCGGUUAAAUCUAUCACAAAACUCCCUUCGAGCCCAUCUUCUUGGAAUAACUCUCCUUCGUACGUGUCGGGGUCUAUAUUGUAAUCUUCAUUGUUUGGUACAGGUAGUUUACCGUGUGGCGAUACCUUGUACACAACAUCCCAACCCUUAAGACGGCUGUCGGUUUGGCACGGGUAUGACAAAUAAUAAACUUGCGUGGCCUAUUGAGCCACAAUAUAGACAUCGUCUCCUGGUAACUUCGAGCCCAUUCGUGCUUCAUACGGGAGGUGUAGAAUCAUAUGCUGCAUUGGAUUGAAGAAGCCUGGAGGAAAGAUCUUCUCCAACUUACAGAGCAACACAGGCGCCAUUGUUUCCAUUUCUGCAACCACGGUACGAGAUAACUCCUUCGCACAAAGCCGGCGGAAGAAAUUGCUCAACUCCGCUAGCACCUGCCACACAUGCUCAGGGACAUAGCCUCGAACCAUCACCGGAAGGAGGCGCUCAAGCCAUAUAUGGUAAUCAUGACUCUUGAGCCCGUUGAUUCGCAUAGUUGCUAAAUUCACUCCCCUCUUCAAGUUCGCUGCAUAGCCAUCAGGGAACAUUAAAGUUUGGAACCAUUCUAGAACCUCCCUCCUUUGGGCCCUCGUCAGAAUGAAAUCGGCCUUAGGCUUCCUCCACGACUUGCCAGCUCUUGGAGGCGCCAUGUUUAGCUGUGGUCUGUUGCACAAUGUCGCUUGAUCCACUCUAGCCUUAACGUUAUCCUUUGUCUUGUCAGGAAUGUCCAUUAUUGUACCAAAAAUUGCCUCGGCGAUAUUUUUUUCCGUGUGCAUUACAUCAAUGUUAUGUGGAACAAGGAGAUCCUCAAAAUAUGGAAGCUUCCACAAGCACGACUUCUGCGUCCAAGCAUGUUGCUCGCCAUAUCCCAAAAAACCACCUUCUUCAUUAUUGAACUCAAGAGCGUCUAACUGAGCACGAACUGCGGCCCCUGUCAUCAUCGGCGGUGCGGGGGCUGUAACUACAACAUCUUUGGUAAAGUUCUUCAUGUCUCGUCUAAAUGGAUGGUCAGGAGGGAGGAAUUGUCGAUGUUUGUCGAACGAGGAAUAUUUGCCCCCUUUCGACAACCAAAUGAACUUCAAAGAUGCUUUACAUACUGGGCAUGGGAACUUCCCGUGAACACACCAUCCGGAGAAAAUCCCAUAUGCUGGCAAGUCAUGCAGUGAGUACUGGUACCAAACAUGCAUCUUGAAGUUUGUCUUUGUGGAUCGGUCAUAGGUCCAUACCCCUUCCUCCCAAGCACGGAGCAAAUCAUCAAUCAAAGGCUCCAUAUACACACUCAUAUUAUUCCCCGGAUGCUCUGGAAUUAUCAACGACAAGAAUAUAUUAUGUCGUUGAAAUAGGACGCCGGGUGGGAGAUUCAGUGGGAUAACGAAAAUGGGCCAACAGGUGUACGGGGCGGCCACCAUUCCAUAGGGAUUGAACCCAUCAGUUGCCAACGCAACGCGUACGUUACGGGCUCUAGAGCUUUUGCAGGAUAAAUCGCAUCAAAGCUUCUCCAGGCUUCAACAUCGGAUGGGUGUACCAGCUUCUCUGGAUUAUAGCGACGGCCAUUUUUGUGCCAUGUCAUCUGUUUCGCGGAUUCUUCAGUCAUGAAAAGCCGUUGGAUCCUCGGUAUGAAAGGAAGAUACCGUAGAACCUUCACAGGAAUUGCGAGCUGCUUUUUCUGACCGUCACCAUAGUCAACCUCCAGAAAUCUAGACGAUUCACACUUCACACAGUAUUUUGCUUCCGCAUACUCUUUCCUAAAUAAGAUGCAUCCCUUCGGGCAAGCAUGUAUAUGCUCGUAUGGCAUCUUAAGUGCACGAAGGAGUUUCUGUGCCUCAUACAUGCUCUUUGGCAAGAUGUGACCAACCGGGAGCAGGCUUCCAAAAACUGUCAACAUAAUAUCAAACGCGUCUCGACUCAAACUAAACUGAGACUUCACAGCCAUUAGGCGUGCAAUGGCAUCUAGCUGAGAAACCUUGGUAUGGCCGUGAAGGGGAUGCUGUGCCGCAGACAACAUUUCGUAAUAAGCCUUAGCGGUAGCCUCUGGCUCCUCCUCCCUACGUGCCUCUUCGAAGUGUGCUUCAUGAAAGUCAUUUAACAUGUCUCCCACCCCGGCAUCAUCAUCAAAUUCCUCGAUUCGUUGUCUCAAGACCUCCUCUCUCCCACGGUCAGAUUCACCAUGGUAGAUCCACCUGGUGUAGUCUGACGUAAAUCCGUUCUUCACCAGAUGUUUGCCCAUCUCCAGCUUGGUUUGCCGACGCAUGUUUCCACAUUUGCUGCAAGGACACCAAGUCGAUCGAGCUCCAUUGACACUUGCAAAUGCCCGUUCCAAGAAAGCAUCAGUCUUGUCAAGCCAUUCAUUGGUCAACGUAUUCUGACUAGUGCGACCCGUGUACAUCCACUGACGAUCCUCCAUCCUCUACCAUUUAAAUAAGUAAUACAAAAUUCACAUUGCAUAUACACGCUCCUAUAUUGUCUACUAGGUAAAGAUAGGUCCUAAUCCCACCCGAGGAUGUGUAGGUGGGUUUAGUAUCCAUGGUCUACUCCGACCCGAGAUAAAAUUUCGGCAGCACCUCCCCGCUGUUCUCCAAAUACACGUCCUUGAUAGGAGAUUGUGUAUCUAGAGAACAACAGGGAGGUGCUGCCGAAAUUUUAUCUCGGGUCGGAGUAGACCAUGGAUACUAAACCCACCUACACAUCCUUGGGCUGUCCAAAAAACGUGGACAAUUCGAAACAGAUACGAUUAUAGAUAUGCAAAGAUCUGCAUAUUUCCAACCGUAUCUCUUUCGAACGGGAGACGCCUAACUAGGUUACGUGAUAUACGAACAUUAUACGGAAAGAGAGGUGUAGCAUGCCUCACCUUGCUAUCCUGCAAAGUGAUGAGUCGAGGACAGUCCUUGUAAGCCUCUCCUGCAACAAAAGAAACAAAACACUGUUUAAGUCAAAAUUCCGGCAGCAUCUCCCCUGCACGGGGAGGUUUCCAAAACCUGCAACAUAAUAAACGGCACGAUGGCCGACAACCACAAUCUCACCAAAGAGUUGGCACGAUGGCCAACAACCACAACCACACCUCUAUUCUUUUCAACCUUUUGUAAUUUCUACUAUUCCUUCUUCUCGAAUUUUCUAAAUCCAUACCUCUAAUUUAUAAAAUAAAUGCUACCUCUCUAGUAUUUUCAACAUUUAAUUUCUAAUUUCCAAUUUUCAUGCAUACUCUAAUUUACGAUGUGUAGCGGCAACAUAAACUUACCGGAGGGGUGACGGAGGAGCGGGCACGGGGCGGCGGCGGGGGUGCGGCCUGGCGGCGACGGCGCGGGGUGGCCGAGGGUUGGGGCCGGGGGUCGGGGCCGGCUGGCGCGGGGCGGCUAGGGGCGGCCGGGGCCGGCGGCGGGCGUGUGCGGGGCAGGCCGGCAGCGGGACGCCCGGGGCCGGCGUUGGGCGGCCGGGGCAGGCCGCGGGCGGCGCGGGCCGGGGACGGCCGGGGCCGGCCGCGGGCGGCGCGGGCCGGGGGCGGCGUCGGGCGUCCGGAGCGGCGUCGGGCCGGGGCGGCGCGGGCGGCGUCGGGGCGGCGUCGGGCGGCGCGCGUGGCGGCGGGGCGGGCGGCGCGCGGCGGCGGCGUGGGGCGGGCGGCGCGGGCGGCGGCGUCGGGCGGCGGCGGUGGCGUGGGGCGGGCGGCGCGGGCGGCGGCGUGGGGCAGGCGGCGGCGUGGGGCGGGCGGCGCGGGCGGCGGCGUGGGGCAGGCGGCGGCGGCGGGCGGCGCGGGCGGUCAGCGGGACGGGCGGCCGGGGCGGCGCGUGCGUGUAUGUGUGGUUGUGUGCGUGAGGACUUAGCCGAUUGGGAUUGGGUGGAUAUCCGAAAACUUUGCCGAGUGCCCGUGAUGUAGCACUCGGCACACCCUUUGCCGAGUGCUAGAUCAGGGGCACUCGGCAAAGUGUAUUUUUUUCCCCGAAAUUCGUACUGAGGCUUACACGUGGACCCGGUGUCACCUUUGCCGAGUGCCCUUGAUCUAGCACUCGGCAUACCCUUUGCCGAGUGCUAGAUCCGGGGCACUCGGCAAAGUGUAUUUUUUUCCCCGAAUUUCGUACUGACACUGUGACGUGGACCCGGGGUGACUUUGCCGAGUGCCCUAUUUAUGACACUCGGCAAACCAUGCCUUUGCCGAGUGCCCUACUUAGCACUCGGCAAACACCUACCUAUAUUGCAUGUGCAACAACACUUUUAGUAAUUAAAAGUAUGUAAACUUUGUGUAAACCUAGUCAAAUUCACUAAACAUUGCGUAUUCCAUUUUUUUAAGUAAUAUUGUACCAUUAUUUCAUGGAUUUAUAGCUCAUAUUAAAUUUAUAUCUAUUAAAUUCAUAUACGUGCAAUUAAUGAAUAAAAAUUACCAAACGGAUCUGAAAAUUUCCCAAAAUUUGACAUGAACCUAUCUAUGUUCUCUAUAGCCUAUAAAAAAAAAUUUGGACUAAAUGAGAAUUACAUUUAUCGAUUCAUCUCAAAAUCUUACCGGAUCCUUUGAACUUCUACGAAUCUUCUCCGGAGAUGCUUCGAAUUCUAAACAUCAUAUGUCAAAACUUGUGCGAAACCUUGUCAAUUUUUUACCACAGCCUCUGCAUACGAAAUCAUAGCAUCUUGCAAAAUCUCAUGAUUUUCAAACUUCGUUUGUAUUUUUGAGAAUUAAACAAUCAUUUGGCCACACGUUCGUAGUCGUGUUUCCUUAGCAAAAUGUUCGAAAUUUCUUUUCAUUUUCUGGGUGAGACCUCAAUUUAGACUCACUAACAUGAAUAUCAUUUUUCCACUCAUAUUAUUCCAUUAUUCCAACCACCUGCAGUUCAAAUUUGACUUAAAUCAAAAAAUUACUCUAAAUGAAAUUAAUUGAUUAAAUAUAGCAAACAAAACAAAAAAUAGUCCAUCUUCUACCAUGCAGUGACAAAUGCCAUACAUGUGGAGUGUAAAAAGUUUGGGGGGUGGAGGAGGGGAAAAAAAUUAUUUUUGCCGAGUGUGUCAAAAGACACUCGGCAAAGACUAUAGUUUGCCGAGUGUCCCAUCAUGACACUCGGCAAACUAGUGCCUUUGCCGAGUGUGUCAAAAGACACUCGGCAAAGACUAUAGUUUGCCGAGUGUCCCAUCAUGACACUCGGCAAACUAGUGCCUUUGCCGAGUGCCCCAUCAUGACACUCGGCAAAGACUAACGUCCGUCACGGAGUGGCGCCGCCGGCAGCACGGGGAAGUCACGUGGGCGUCAGUUUGCCGAGUGUGAAAGUUUGCCGAGUGCCUGUUGGGUGUUUGCCGAGUGUUUUUUGGGUGGCACUCGGCAAACCGGUCUUUCGCCGAGUGUUUUAUUUUUGCCGUGUGUUUUUGAUGUUACACUCGGCAAAACGGUACUUCGCCGAGUGCCCGAAAAAAAGCACUCGGCGAAGUAAUUACACUCGGCGACAUUAAGCUUUCCCGUAGUGCCUGCCGCUUUCUUGAUCGAGUAAUCUAUGCCCAUGAAAGAGUUCGGUAUUUGUCUGAUCGAGGAAGACGAGGUAGCACAUUUAUGUGAAAGCAGUACUGGCGGACAUGAUGGUCGGUGGCUAUUGAUUAUCUUCCAACUCCUUUAUGCCGUUAUCAGUACUACAAAAAUCAUUUGUAGGGGUGAAGUGUUUUUUUUUAGGGUGGACCAAAAGGUCUGCCGCCCCCAGGGGCGGAGCUACAGUCAACCAUCGAUGAUUUGGUCGCGAGCUCUUAUAUCCUUCCUAGGAGAACUGCCCAUACGUUGCUACGGAUAAAAAUAAUGUUUAUAAUUACAUUAAUCAUGAUUCGUUAUUUCAAAUGUGUGACAUAUUAUCGAAUUUACGUAUCUUUCUAUGCAUUUUUCGAACAAAGAGAUAUUUUUAUAAUAAUUUUAUCAGAUUAACAUGAGACAUAAUCUUCUAUGGUAUAUUAUGUACUCUACUAUGUAAAUUUUAUGUUUGUUUGUGUAGUCUUCUACGUUGCUCGCUUUUUAUAAUAAAAGUAGAGAGAGGUGGGCGCCUGUGAACAACAAAAACCCAAAAAUGUACACAAUAAUCAAUAUAUUAUAAUUAUUAUUUUUUCCUAGAAUAAAAAUAUGGACUCAUCGAGCCCAUGAAAAGCGCAAGGAGGUGGCCCGGCAGCCCCAUCCAUCCAUCCAUUGUUAUCCACACUUGCUAAACAACUGAAUUAAAAAUAUACUUUUAUCCACACAAGAGACGGAUGAAUUGUUUGGCACUGCACUUUCUUGGACGUUGCUGUUGCUGGAAUUGGCAUUAGGAAGGCGUCGCUCGGCCGUGCAGAGGUGCCAUUGUGGCUUUGUGGAGGUGCCCCUACGUUGUGCCGGAGCGGAGCUGCAGGCAGCGUAAGCGGCCGGGUAGCACGCCACAACAUGCUGGAGACAGCGCCGAACCUCGAGCGUUCAACUGGGGCUGCUUAUAGCGCCAACAGUGCUCUGUAUCUUGCUCAGUGGAUGGGAGGACGACGGUGAGCGGCGCCUUGGAGAACUGCAAAUGCUCCUGCACACAUGCCCCAUGGGCCGGAACUGCACACUAACCCCCGCGAACGAUGGUAGUAGGGCAACAAAGCUGGCCAUGGCGCUGCUCGUUGAGCUUUCCGUGUGCGCGAACAGGCAUUUGCUAUGUUCCCUACAAAAUUAAAGGUUGUUUGAUUCAACGGUCAAAUAGUGCGAGCAUGUUAAUUGAUGCGAGUGUAUCGUGGGAACUGCAAAAGAACUACAGGGCAUCGAGGAAGCAGUGUUGUUGCUCGGAAGUACCAGCACUGACGCGCUUUCCGAUGUGUCUCCAGCUUGAGUGGCUGCGUCUGCCCGCUCGGCAGCAGUUUCACCCUAUUCUGGGCAUCUCCCCACGCGUCUUGGCCAUCGUUACCUCUGGCAUCGUUAAGGUAUGGCUUCCUUUCAGCCUCGGCCGUUUCUUUCUCCAAUGCGCGAGUGCGAGGGCGAGCUCUGGCAGCAUGCUGCCUCCCACGGCAAUCUUGCCCAGGGCGAUCAGGUUGCACUGCCUUGCGGCGGCUUCAAGCGUGUCGAUCGGUAGCAGGCACUCCGAGCUCUCCUUGUGCAUAUGGGGCACCUUCACUCACGCCACCACUGUGAGGCCUGCCAGGUGUGCCACUUCAUUGUUCACAUGGUUACAAAGGCGGUGGCGUGGAAGUGUGGUGGCACGGACGAGGAAGAAAAAAUGACAGACCACGAUGAACGCAUUAAUUUAGUCCUCCGGGCAGAUUAAGAAAAAGAUUAGGGACUUUUAUACAAAACAUGCUUGACGGUUGGAAAAAACAUAUGUCACUUUAGUAUUAGGCAAGGAUGUGAUUAUAUGAUUAUAUGGACUGAUACCGGUUAAAAGAUCAUUAUCUAAUCAACCAUUCACGUCGCCCAUAGUGUAGGCAACAGGCCAUUCUAUUGCGAUCCUCUGUCGCCUAUCGCUUCCCUUGACAAUUGAAUUUGAAGUCAGAAAUUCUUUUGUUUCAAUUUUGCUAGGUCCACUAGUUUUCUUAAAUCAGAAUCAAGUUGAAACCAGAAGAGCCUUGUUAGCUUGUUUGAUCUAUACUUCUUUGUAGCAAAUGUAAAAUCACAACUCAUAUAAUGGUUGUUUCAUAUUCGAUCUGCAAGUCUUCUUCUCAUUCACACGAUGGAUGGCCAUAGGCACAAAGAGAAUCGAAGUAGUAGACCAUAAUCACUAUAGUAAAAGCUUAAAAUCUCAAAAUAUGUCAUCAUUUAUUUUUCAUUAUGUUAUCCAUAUAACUAUAGUAUGAGUUAGAAUAUUGCAUGGACAUCAGAUCAGCUACAACAUUUCCUAGCUUCGCCCUUCGCCGCCCCUGCAGCAGCUAGCCCAAUCCAGGAAAUGUAUUUCCCAGGUGGGGGUGAGCAGACCCUGGAAAUAAGCUGGGGACGGACCAGCACGUCAACCGUCUCUGAAAAUAGCCCAUUUCAGAGGUGGGCAACUCCAUGGUCCGUCCUAGCAGAUUGAAUUACAGGAGCUGACGACACGAAGCAACACCCUGCUGCUCAACCAAAUUUUGUAUGGACAAGGCGCAAAUGAAAAGGCAAGCGGAAAGCAUAAGGUCCAUUCUGCUCCGCACAUAUAUCUUAUCUCAACCACAGCUUUCCAUGUCAUCUCCUUAGAGAAACUCCGACAGAUUGAUUUUCCACAUUCCCCUUUAUCCUCUUAUAGGGCAUUCCCUUUCACGAUUUCUGAAUUUUGAAGACUAGUGGGGCAAGAAAUUUUGUAUAGUAACAAAGAUAAUCUCAGCCCCACUUGCUACACAUACAUGCACGGUAAAUAGAAAGGGUUAUUUUCUAUGUCAAAGGCAUGCUCAGCUUCAAAGUCGUUCUGUUGUUAGCAUCGUUGUGUUGUUUCUGAUAACGUGCAGGAGGAAGCGAAAACACAGAGUAGAAAGAGGAUGAGAAAUUAAAGAAGACAAUGAAGCUCACGUUCACGUCUACAUGAGGGAGCUCUCACACAAGCAAGUCCAUUCAUCCUCUGUCUCCAUGCUGUUGAUGAUGACAUGUCACAUGUCCUUUGCCUUGACGUCGGCGGCAGGCCGGCAGCCCAAUGAACCCAUGACGAACAGCAUGAGCAUGACCAGCUAACUUCAUUGCUGAGUACGACAUGUGGUUAUCCUUGCUAUAACUAAUGUUGGUCAGAAGAAGAAGCUGCUAUAAAGUUGUUCUGAAGACGCUGAGUUCUAGGCGUACGCAAGCCCCGGUUGAUUGCCUGCGAAGUUUGGAACCUUCGUUUCCAGGAUUAAGCUGUAAAUCUCCGAUAGACUCUCUUUAUAUCUCUUUAUGUGAUACUGUUACUGUUAUUCACUGAUGAUGUGACUAUAUGUAUGAAACUUGAUCAUGUCAUACAUACAGUUAGCACUUGGUUUUGCUGUUCUAAAAUCAGAUGUGACACCUACGAACCCAUGACGAACAGCAUGAGCGUAACCAGCUAACUUCAUUGCUGCUGCCUUUCGUAGAUGUUGGUGAACAUGACGUGUCUUUCAUCUCCACGAUGGCGACGGAUCCAAAGAUCAAAGAACAUGCAUCAACGCGAUCCGUAUGGCGUGUUUUCUGGUAUUUCCACCCCAUGAUGUAACGCCGACCGGGUUCCAUACGAGGCCUACGGCCAGUCUGUUCACUUUCAUCAUGUGCUCCGAUGAGAGUUCAUCACCGUGAUAAAAGACGGAGACGAGGGCACACAGUCGUAGCUGCAAGUAAGGCCAACAGGCUCAAGGCCAUGGCUUUACAGCCAGCAGUCUUGCCUUGCAUGCACUCACGGACUAUUACCGGACUAGCAAUUGGUACUUUGACGCACUACAUGGACCCUUACAAAAUUAAAAAAAUGAACGUCAACAAGCAAAUGAAACUGCAUGAACUGAAGUAAGCUAUUUCAUCCCUGAUGCCUUCCAUGCCUAUGGAUGUACCGCGUGCUCGAGUAAGCUAUGCUUGCAGAUGGAUCUUAAACCUGAUGUCAAAUUGUGGAUAAUUGAAAGAGUUUGCUGUUUGUCUGCUUUAGGGAAGAUGGGUAGCACGUUUAUAUGCCAUUAAUUCUCAUGAAAGAGUGCAUAUACCAUGUUUGUCGCAGCAAGAUGAGGCUGUAGAGUAGUAGACGUGUAGAACAAUGGUACAGGUUGUAUGAAUAAUUUAUUGAAGGGAAUCAUAGACGCCACAGCCACUGAAGCUGUUGGGGCAUGAUUAGCCAAUGGUCUAAUUCCUGAUAUCUCCGUAUCCUAAUUUUCUGAAGCCUUACGGACUCUACCCUCCUCACUUCAUAUAUAUUAGUGUUUAUAAUAGCGGUUUUAUAAGAAGUGCUGAAGGUAUUGGUCCUGCUAUAUCUUGCUUCCACUACCGGAUUUGUGUACGAAAUAUUAAUUCUUGAGAUUUGUCAAUGAUUUUAGGACGCAAUGAUACCUUCAACUACCGGAUUGUAUAUAUAAGUUAGUCUUAGCCAGUUAUAUAUUCGAGGAGGAAGCACGCAUUAAAUAAUAAAUAACUCAUGUUGAUUCAAUUGGCAACCUGGCCUCUAAAAAGAAAAGGACUCUGUUCUCAAAAAAUGAAAAAAAGUAGCCUGCUAAUAACAAUGUCGACACUUUACAUCUGAGCAGCUAGCUCCGUGAUGCUUUAUCUGGCUAGUGAACUACCUACCUAUAUUAUUUAAACAUUUUUGCUGCCUAUAAAUUGGGCAUCAUUUCAGCGGACCACCACAGCACCUGAGCUUGCCAUCUUUUCCUGUUCUAUCUCACUCAUUUGUCCUGUAGCUACUAGCUAAGCCACCAUAUCAUCCAUGGCUUCCGGUGCCUCCACCACGUUGAAGAUUGCCUCUAUCGCCGCUUGCAUCCUGCUGGUUCUGCUGUCCAAUGGCCACCCUACAGUGGCAACCGUUGAUUGUACUGCGGCUUGCAAAGAGCCGUGCGAGAGCUUUUCUAAGGGAUUCUGCGCGGGUGGAGCCACCAGCGGUUGUGCGACUAAGGCAGCAGCUACAGCAUGCCGCAAUUCGGCGUUCUCGCAGUGUGCGAACAACUGCUACACAGUUUGCACCGCCGGGACCAUCGCGCCUUGCGCUUGAAGAUGCAUUUGUGUUCCUACUUCCACAUUAUUGUUACUAGUGAGUGUGUGCAAGCAGGCCUGCCGUCCACGGGAGGAGGCACGCAAGCACGCAUGAUAAGCCACUGUCGUUUUUCCACUUUAUCAUUUACUUAUUGAAGGCAAUGUACGUGCCUAGCUCCUGUGUGGUUGAGCAUGUCAUCUUGGAAUUUUGUCCAAAGUUUAACAUACCAUGUUGUAUUGUUGUGUAUGGGUAUCAAUAUAAUUUAUCAACUAUUUUUCGUUUACCAUAGACAUUUCUAUGUUUAUUUGCAAGGGUUAGGGAAAUUUGUCCUUGAUAGUGUACUAACCGCGUCUGCCAACUGAACAGAUCAACUUUCUCAACAGCCUAUCUCCUACUUGAAAAAAUAUUCGCUUUAGAAAUGGUUUGUUUCUUUUCUGUGUAGCUCUAUCACCCAUCACCGUGAGGGUUACAAAACUCGGCGCAAGGGUUCCAAGCUGUGGCGCCACAAACCACAUAAGCUGUGGCGCAAGGGUUCUAGCUGGCUAGUCACAAACAACUAUUUCAUCCCGGAUGUCUUCCAUGCCCAUGGAGCUGCCGCUUUCUUGAUCGAGUAAUCUAUGCGCAUGAACGAGUUCGGUAUUUGUCUGAUCGAGGAAGACGAGGUAGCACAUUUAUGUGAAAGCAGUACUGGCGGACAUGAUGGUCGGUGGCCUAUUGAUUAUCUUCCAACUCCUUUAUGCCAUUAUCAGUACUACAGAAAUCAUUUGUAGGGGUGAAGUGUUUUUUUUUAGGGUGGACCAAAAGGUCUGCCGCCCCCAGGGGCGGAGCUAUAGUCAACCAUCGAUGAUUUGGUCGCGAGCUCUUAUAUCCUUCCCAGGAGCCCAUACGUUGCUACGGAUGAAAAUAAUGUAUAUAAUUACAUUAAUCAUGAUUCGUUAUUUCAAAUGUGUGACAUAUUAUCGAAUUUACGUAUCUUUCUAUGCAUUUUUCGAACAAAGAGAUAUUUUUAUAAUAAUUUUAUCAGAGUAACAUUAGACAUAAUCUUCUAUGGUAUAUUAUGUACUCUAGUAUGUAAAUCUUAUGUUUGUUUGUGUAGUCUUCUACGUUGCUCGCUUUUUAUAAUAAAAGUAGAGAGAGGUGUGCGCCUGUGAACAACAAAAACCCCAAAAUGUAGACAAUAAUAAAUAUAUUAUAUUUAUUAUUUUUUCCUAGAAUAAAAAUAUGGACUCAUCGAGCCCAUGACAAGCGCAAGGAGGUGGUCCGGCAGCCCCAUCCAUCCAUCCAUUGUUAUCCACACUUGCUAAACAAAUGAAUUAAAAACAUAAUUUUAUCCACACAAGAGACGGAUGAAUUGUUUGGUACUGCACUUUCUUAGACGUUGCUGUUGCUGGAUUGGGCAUUAGGAAGGCGUCGCUCGGCUGUGCAGAGGUGCCAUUGGGGCUUUGUGGAGGCACCCCUACGUUGUGUCGGAGCGGAGCUACAGGCAGCGUAAGCGGCCGGGUAGCACGCCACAACAUGCUAGAGACAGCGCCGAGCCUUGAGCCUUCGACUGGGGCUGCUUAUAGCGCCAACACCGCUCUGUAUCUUGCUCAGUGGAUGGGCGGACGACGGCGAGCGGCGCCUAGGAGAACUGCAAAUGCUCCUGCACACAUGCCCCAUGGGCCGGAACUGCACACUAACCCCCGCGAACGAUGGUAGUAGGGCAACAAAGCUGGCCAUGGCGCUGCUCGUUGAGCUUUCCGUGUGCGCGAACAGGCAUUUGAUAUAUUCCCUACAAAAUUAAAGGUUGUUUGAUUCAACGGUCAAAUAGUGCGAGCAUGUUAAUUGAUGCGAGUGUAUUGUGGGAACUGCCAAGGAACUGCAGGGCAUCGAGCAAGCAGUGGUGUUGCUCGGAAGUACCAGCACUGACGCGCUUUCUGAUGUGUCUCCAGCGGGGGUGGCAGCGUCUGCCUGCUCGGCAGCAGUUUCACCCUAUUCUGGGCAUCUCCCCACGCGUCUUGGCCAUCAUUACCUCUGGCAUUGUUAAGGUAUGGCUUCCUUUCAGCGUCGGCCGUUUCUUUCUCCAAUGACCGGUUAAAAGAUCAUUAUCUAAUCAACCAUUCACGUCGCCCAUAGUGUAGGCAACAGGCUAUUCUAUUGCGAUCCGCUGUCGCCUAUCGCUUCCCUUCAGAAUUUGAAGUCAGAAAUUCUUUUGUUUCAAUUUUGCUAGCUCCACUAGUUUUCUUAAAUCAGAAUCAAGUUGAAACCAGAAGAGCCUUGUUAGCUUGUUUGAUCUAUACUUCGUUGUAGCAAAUGUAAAAUGACAACUCAUAUAAUGGUUGUUUCAUAUUCUAUCUGCAAGUCUUCUUCUCAUUCACACGAUGGAUGGCCAUAGGCACAAAGAGAAUUGAAGUAGUAGACCAUAAUCAAUAUAGUAAAAGCUUAAAAUCUCAAAAUAUGUCAUCAUUUAUUUUUCAUUAUGUUAUCCAUAGAACUAUAGUAUGAGUUAGAAUAUUGCAUGGACAUCAGAUCAGCUACAACAUUUCCUAGCUUCGCCCUUCGCCGCCCCUGCAGCAGCUAGCCCAAUCCAGGAAAUGUAUUUCCCAGGUGGGGGUGAGCUGGAAAUAAGCUGGGGACGGACCAGCACGUCAACCGUCUCUGAAAAUAGCCCAUUUCAGAGGUGGGCAACUCCAUGGUCCGUCCUAGCAGAUUGAAUUACAGGAGCAGACGACACGAAGCAUCACCCUGCUGCUCAACCAAAUUUUGUAUGGACAACGCGCAAAUGAAAAGGCAAGCGGAAAGCAUAAGGUCCAUUCUGCUCCGCACAUAUAUCUUAUCUCAACCACAGCUUUCCAUGUCAUCUCCUUAGAGAAACUCCGACAGAUUGAUUUUCCACAUUCCCCUUUAUCCUCUUAUAGGGCAUUCCCUUUCACGAUUUCUGAAUUUUGAAGACUAGUGCGGCAAGAAAUUUUGUAUAGUAACAAAGAUAAUCUCAGCCCCACUUGCUACACAUACAUGCACGGUAAAUAGAAAUGGUCAUUUUCUAUGUCUAAGGCAUGCUCAGCUUCAAAGUCGUUCUGUUGUUAGCAUCGUUGUGUUGUUUCUGAUAACGUGCAGGAGGAAGCCAAAACACAGAGUAGAAAGAGGAUGAGAAAUUAAAGAAGACAAUGAAGCUCACGUUCACGUCUACAUGAGGGAGCUCUCACACAAGCAAGUCCAUUCAUCCUCUGUCUCCAUGCUGUUGAUGAUGACAUGUCACAUGUCCUUUGCCUUGACGUCGGCGGCAGGCCGGCAGCCCAAUGAACCCAUGACGAACAGCAUGAGCAUGACCAGCUAACUUCAUUGCUGAGUACGACAUGUGGUUAUCCUUGCUAUAACUAAUGUUGGUCAGAAGAAGAAGCUGCUAUAAAGUUGUUCUGAAGACGCUGAGUUCUAGGCGUACGCAAGCCCCGGUUGAUUGCCUGCGAAGUUUGGAACCUUCGUUUCCAGGAUUAAGCUGUAAAUCUCCGAUAGACUCUCUUUAUAUCUCUUUAUGUGAUACUGUUACUGUUAUUCACUGAUGAUGUGACUAUAUGUAUGAAACUUGAUCAUGUCAUACAUACAGUUAGCACUUGGUUUUGCUGUUCUAAAAUCAGAUGUGACACCUACGAACCCAUGACGAACAGCAUGAGCGUAACCAGCUAACUUCAUUGCUGCUGCCUUUCGUAGAUGUUGGUGAACAUGACGUGUCUUUCAUCUCCACGAUGGCGACGGAUCCAAAGAUCAAAGAACAUGCAUCAACGCGAUCCGUAUGGCGUGUUUUCUGGUAUUUCCACCCCAUGAUGUAACGCCGACCGGGUUCCAUACGAGGCCUACGGCCAGUCUGUUCACUUUCAUCAUGUGCUCCGAUGAGAGUUCAUCACCGUGAUAAAAGACGGAGACGAGGGCACACAGUCGUAGCUGCAAGUAAGGCCAACAGGCUCAAGGCCAUGGCUUUACAGCCAGCAGUCUUGCCUUGCAUGCACUCACGGACUAUUACCGGACUAGCAAUUGGUACUUUGACGCACUACAUGGACCCUUACAAAAUUAAAAAAAUGAACGUCAACAAGCAAAUGAAACUGCAUGAACUGAAGUAAGCUAUUUCAUCCCUGAUGCCUUCCAUGCCUAUGGAUGUACCGCGUGCUCGAGUAAGCUAUGCUUGCAGAUGGAUCUUAAACCUGAUGUCAAAUUGUGGAUAAUUGAAAGAGUUUGCUGUUUGUCUGCUUUAGGGAAGAUGGGUAGCACGUUUAUAUGCCAUUAAUUCUCAUGAAAGAGUGCAUAUACCAUGUUUGUCGCAGCAAGAUGAGGCUGUAGAGUAGUAGACGUGUAGAACAAUGGUACAGGUUGUAUGAAUAAUUUAUUGAAGGGAAUCAUAGACGCCACAGCCACUGAAGCUGUUGGGGCAUGAUUAGCCAAUGGUCUAAUUCCUGAUAUCUCCGUAUCCUAAUUUUCUGAAGCCUUACGGACUCUACCCUCCUCACUUCAUAUAUAUUAGUGUUUAUAAUAGCGGUUUUAUAAGAAGUGCUGAAGGUAUUGGUCCUGCUAUAUCUUGCUUCCACUACCGGAUUUGUGUACGAAAUAUUAAUUCUUGAGAUUUGUCAAUGAUUUUAGGACGCAAUGAUACCUUCAACUACCGGAUUGUAUAUAUAAGUUAGUCUUAGCCAGUUAUAUAUUCGAGGAGGAAGCACGCAUUAAAUAAUAAAUAACUCAUGUUGAUUCAAUUGGCAACCUGGCCUCUAAAAAGAAAAGGACUCUGUUCUCAAAAAAUGAAAAAAAGUAGCCUGCUAAUAACAAUGUCGACACUUUACAUCUGAGCAGCUAGCUCCGUGAUGCUUUAUCUGGCUAGUGAACUACCUACCUAUAUUAUUUAAACAUUUUUGCUGCCUAUAAAUUGGGCAUCAUUUCAGCGGACCACCACAGCACCUGAGCUUGCCAUCUUUUCCUGUUCUAUCUCACUCAUUUGUCCUGUAGCUACUAGCUAAGCCACCAUAUCAUCCAUGGCUUCCGGUGCCUCCACCACGUUGAAGAUUGCCUCUAUCGCCGCUUGCAUCCUGCUGGUUCUGCUGUCCAAUGGCCACCCUACAGUGGCAACCGUUGAUUGUACUGCGGCUUGCAAAGAGCCGUGCGAGAGCUUUUCUAAGGGAUUCUGCGCGGGUGGAGCCACCAGCGGUUGUGCGACUAAGGCAGCAGCUACAGCAUGCCGCAAUUCGGCGUUCUCGCAGUGUGCGAACAACUGCUACACAGUUUGCACCGCCGGGACCAUCGCGCCUUGCGCUUGAAGAUGCAUUUGUGUUCCUACUUCCACAUUAUUGUUACUGGUGAGUGUGUGCAAGCAGGCCUGCCGUCCACGGGAGGAGGCACGCAAGCACGCAUGAUAAGCCACUGUCGUUUUUCCACUUUAUCAUUUACUUAUUGAAGGCAAUGUACGUGCCUAGCUCCUGUGUGGUUGAGCAUGUCAUCUUGGAAUUUUGUCCAAAGUUUAACAUACCAUGUUGUAUUGUUGUGUAUGGGUAUCAAUAUAAUUUAUCAACUAUUUUUCGUUUACCAUAGACAUUUCUAUGUUUAUUUGCAAGGGUUAGGGAAAUUUGUCCUUGAUAGUGUACUAACCGCGUCUGCCAACUGAACAGAUCAACUUUCUCAACAGCCUAUCUCCUACUUGAAAAAAUAUUCGCUUUAGAAAUGGUUUGUUUCUUUUCUGUGUAGCUCUAUCACCCAUCACCGUGAGGGUUACAAAACUCGGCGCAAGGGUUCCAAGCUGUGGCGCCACAAACCACAUAAGCUGUGGCGCAAGGGUUCUAGCUGGCUAGUCACAAACAACUAUUUCAUCCCGGAUGUCUUCCAUGCCCAUGGAGCUGCCGCUUUCUUGAUCGAGUAAUCUAUGCGCAUGAACGAGUUCGGUAUUUGUCUGAUCGAGGAAGACGAGGUAGCACAUUUAUGUGAAAGCAGUACUGGCGGACAUGAUGGUCGGUGGCCUAUUGAUUAUCUUCCAACUCCUUUAUGCCAUUAUCAGUACUACAGAAAUCAUUUGUAGGGGUGAAGUGUUUUUUUUUAGGGUGGACCAAAAGGUCUGCCGCCCCCAGGGGCGGAGCUACAGUCAACCAUCGAUGAUUUGGUCGCGAGCUCUUAUAUCCUUCCCAGGAGCCCAUACGUUGCUACGGAUGAAAAUAAUGUAUAUAAUUACAUUAAUCAUGAUUCGUUAUUUCAAAUGUGUGACAUAUUAUCGAAUUUACGUAUCUUUCUAUGCAUUUUUCGAACAAAGAGAUAUUUUUAUAAUAAUUUUAUCAGAGUAACAUUAGACAUAAUCUUCUAUGGUAUAUUAUGUACUCUAGUAUGUAAAUCUUAUGUUUGUUUGUGUAGUCUUCUACGUUGCUCGCUUUUUAUAAUAAAAGUAGAGAGAGGUGUGCGCCUGUGAACAACAAAAACCCCAAAAUGUAGACAAUAAUAAAUAUAUUAUAUUUAUUAUUUUUUCCUAGAAUAAAAAUAUGGACUCAUCGAGCCCAUGACAAGCGCAAGGAGGUGGUCCGGCAGCCCCAUCCAUCCAUCCAUUGUUAUCCACACUUGCUAAACAAAUGAAUUAAAAACAUAAUUUUAUCCACACAAGAGACGGAUGAAUUGUUUGGUACUGCACUUUCUUAGACGUUGCUGUUGCUGGAUUGGGCAUUAGGAAGGCGUCGCUCGGCUGUGCAGAGGUGCCAUUGGGGCUUUGUGGAGGCACCCCUACGUUGUGUCGGAGCGGAGCUACAGGCAGCGUAAGCGGCCGGGUAGCACGCCACAACAUGCUAGAGACAGCGCCGAGCCUUGAGCCUUCGACUGGGGCUGCUUAUAGCGCCAACACCGCUCUGUAUCUUGCUCAGUGGAUGGGCGGACGACGGCGAGCGGCGCCUAGGAGAACUGCAAAUGCUCCUGCACACAUGCCCCAUGGGCCGGAACUGCACACUAACCCCCGCGAACGAUGGUAGUAGGGCAACAAAGCUGGCCAUGGCGCUGCUCGUUGAGCUUUCCGUGUGCGCGAACAGGCAUUUGAUAUAUUCCCUACAAAAUUAAAGGUUGUUUGAUUCAACGGUCAAAUAGUGCGAGCAUGUUAAUUGAUGCGAGUGUAUUGUGGGAACUGCCAAGGAACUGCAGGGCAUCGAGCAAGCAGUGGUGUUGCUCGGAAGUACCAGCACUGACGCGCUUUCUGAUGUGUCUCCAGCGGGGGUGGCAGCGUCUGCCUGCUCGGCAGCAGUUUCACCCUAUUCUGGGCAUCUCCCCACGCGUCUUGGCCAUCAUUACCUCUGGCAUUGUUAAGGUAUGGCUUCCUUUCAGCGUCGGCCGUUUCUUUCUCCAAUGACCGGUUAAAAGAUCAUUAUCUAAUCAACCAUUCACGUCGCCCAUAGUGUAGGCAACAGGCUAUUCUAUUGCGAUCCGCUGUCGCCUAUCGCUUCCCUUCAGAAUUUGAAGUCAGAAAUUCUUUUGUUUCAAUUUUGCUAGCUCCACUAGUUUUCUUAAAUCAGAAUCAAGUUGAAACCAGAAGAGCCUUGUUAGCUUGUUUGAUCUAUACUUCGUUGUAGCAAAUGUAAAAUGACAACUCAUAUAAUGGUUGUUUCAUAUUCUAUCUGCAAGUCUUCUUCUCAUUCACACGAUGGAUGGCCAUAGGCACAAAGAGAAUUGAAGUAGUAGACCAUAAUCAAUAUAGUAAAAGCUUAAAAUCUCAAAAUAUGUCAUCAUUUAUUUUUCAUUAUGUUAUCCAUAGAACUAUAGUAUGAGUUAGAAUAUUGCAUGGACAUCAGAUCAGCUACAACAUUUCCUAGCUUCGCCCUUCGCCGCCCCUGCAGCAGCUAGCCCAAUCCAGGAAAUGUAUUUCCCAGGUGGGGGUGAGCAGACCCUGGAAAUAAGCUGGGGACGGACCAGCACGUCAACCGUCUCUGAAAAUAGCCCAUUUCAGAGGUGGGCAACUCCAUGGUCCGUCCUAGCAGAUUGAAUUACAGGAGCAGACGACACGAAGCAUCACCCUGCUGCUCAACCAAAUUUUGUAUGGACAACGCGCAAAUGAAAAGGCAAGCGGAAAGCAUAAGGUCCAUUCUGCUCCGCACAUAUAUCUUAUCUCAACCACAGCUUUCCAUGUCAUCUCCUUAGAGAAACUCCGACAGAUUGAUUUUCCACAUUCCCCUUUAUCCUCUUAUAGGGCAUUCCCUUUCACGAUUUCUGAAUUUUGAAGACUAGUGCGGCAAGAAAUUUUGUAUAGUAACAAAGAUAAUCUCAGGCCCACUUGCUACACAUACAUGCACGGUAAAUAGAAAUGGUCAUUUUCUAUGUCUAAGGCAUGCUCAGCUUCAAAGUCGUUCUGUUGUUAGCAUCGUUGUGUUGUUUCUGAUAACGUGCAGGAGGAAGCCAAAACACAGAGUAGAAAGAGGAUGAGAAAUUAAAGAAGACAAUGAAGCUCACGUUCACGUCUACAUGAGGGAGCUCUCACACAAGCAAGUCCAUUCAUCCUCUGUCUCCAUGCUGUUGAUGAUAACAUAUCACAUGUCCUUUGCCUUGACGUCGGCGGCAGGCUGGCAGCCCAAUGAACCCAUGACGAACAGCAUGAGCAUGACCAGCUAACUUCAUUGCUGAGUACGACAUGUGGUUAUCCUUGCUAUAACUAAUGUUGGUCAGAAGAAGAAGCUGCUAUAAAGUUGUUCUGAAGACGCUGAGUUCUAGGCGUACGCAAGCCCCGGUUGAUUGCCUGCGAGGUUUGGAACCUUCGUUUCCAGGAUAAAGCUGUAAAUCUCUGAUAGACUCUCUUUAUAUCUCUUUAUGUGAUACUAUUACUGUUAUUCACUGAUGAUGUGACUAUAUGUAUGAAACUUGAUCAUGUCAUACAUACAGUUAGCACUUGGUUUUGCUGUUCUAAAAUCAGAUGUGACACCUACGAACCCAUGACGAACAGCAUGAGCGUAACCAGCUAACUUCAUUGCUGCUGCCUUUCGUAGAUGUUGGUGAACAUGACGUGUCUUUCAUCUCCACGAUGGCGACGGAUCCAAAGAUCGAAGAACAUGCAUCAACGCGAUCCGUAUGGCGUGUUUUCUGGUAUUUCCACCCCAUGAUGUAACGCCGACCAGGUUCCAUACGAGGCCUACGGCCACUCUGUUCACUUUCAUCACGUGCUCCGAUGAGAGUUCAUCACCGUGAUAAAAGACGGAGAUGAGGGCACACAGUCGUAGCUGCAAGUAAGGCCAACAGGCUCAAGGCCAUGGCUUUACAGCCAGCAGUCUUGCCUUGCAUGCACUCACGGACUAUUACCGGACUAGCAAUUGGUACUUUGACGCACUACAUGGACCCUUACAAAUUAAAAAAAUGAACGUCAACAAGCAAAUGAAACUGCAUGAACUGAAGUAGGGAAAUGAAGACCACGUACAGUUCUUAUUGAAGCUGAAAUGUAUGUCAUAAAAGUAUUAUUGUUAGAUUAAAGUCAAUUUAAAUAUUUAAACGAGUAACGAGGGCUCUGAUUAGUAGCAGGUGUAGUGAGGCCCUCCAAUAGACCAAUCAACGAUUUUUAGUUCCAACUGUUUAUAUGGUAAGUUCGGAUAUUUAAUUAAUAAAUUGAAGUUGCCUUAAAAUAUGCAUAGUAAAUCACAAGACCAAAGUGGAAUAACCAUUAGACAACUAAUAAAACCAUCUUUAAGUUUUUCUCUACUUUUAGCAAUAUUGCUUAGGUUUUCUAUUUCGUCUAAAUAUAUCUUAAGCGGCUCAUAUGUCCGAAUUACCCACACAGUGAAUAAAUGUCAUUCCAGUUCAAGGAUUCAUGUGCAGUUGUCACACACUAGUGUGAACCCAUCAAGUGUGUGUCUUGCUUCCCUUUUCAAUCAACAAGCUACCUCCCUGAUUUGAAUAUAAUAAACUUAAAUGCUUCAGUUUCUAUGGUCCAUUGUUAUGUGAUGGAUAUGAAAAAUGAAAAAUAUAGCCUACAAUGUUCAAAAUGCAUCUGAAGUACUAGGGUAUAAAAUAAGCUCACUGCCAUCCAAGUACAAGGGUUAACAACUAGAAAUAUAACCUUUAUUGCUAUCUGUAAAGAAAAUAUGCCUGUUGAAUUACAUGUUCGGGAAAGGUGAAUGCACGGAUUGAUGGCUACUAUUAGCUAAUGUUGUUGUCUUUUUUGUUAAUAACUAGGUUUCCAAUGCCAAACUCUGCGUAAGGGUUCAGCAACUGGCUACAUAUUGGAAAGGAGUUAGUGUUGGUGGCUAGCCCUCAUUAGAGAUAACUAUUUCAUCCCUGAUGCCUUCCAUGCCUAUGGAUGUACCGCGUGCUCGAGUAAGCUAUGCUUGCAGAUGGAUCUUAAACCUGGUGUCAAAUUGUGGAUAAUUGAAAGAGUUUGCUGUUUGCCUGCUUUAGGGAAGAUGGGUAGCACGUUUAUAUGCCAUUAUUUCUCAUGAAAGCGUGCAUAUACCAUGUUUGUCGGAGCAAGAUGAGGCUGUAGAGUAGUAGACGUGUAGAACAAUGAUACAGGUUGUAUGAAUAAUUUAUCGAAGGGGAUCAUAGACGCCACAGCCACUGAAGCUGUUGAGGCAUGAUUAGUCAAUGGUCUAAUUCCUGAUAUCUCCGUAUCCUGAUUCUCUGAAGCCUUACGGACUCUACCCUCAUCACUUCAUGUAUAUUAGUGUUUAUAAUAGCGGUUUUAUAACAAGUGCUGAAGGUAUUGGUCCUGCUAUAUCUUGCUUCCACUACCGGAUUUGUGUACAAAAUAUUAAUUCUUGAGAUUUGUCAAUGAUUUUAGGAAGCAAUGAUACCUUCAACUACCGGAUUGCAUAUAUAAGUUAGUCUUAGCCAGUUAUAUAUCAGAGGAGGAAGCACGCAUUAAAUAAUAAAUAACUCAUGUUGAUUCAACUGGUAACCUGGCCUAUGUCACUCGGAUACACCGUUUCUCUGAGGUGUUCCAGGAGGCAUAAGUUGUGGAACAAUUCCGCAACUCUUUAGAUGAUUGCUAAACUCAUCAGAUCGUAAGGCCUUAAUUUUUUUGCGAUGCUGAUUUUCAACUUCAUUCUGAAAUUCCUUGAACUUUUCAAAGGUUUCGGACUUGUACCUCAUCAAGUAGACAUAGCCAUAUCUACUAAAAUCAUCAGUGAAAGUUAUGAAGUAUUGGAAUCCUCCUCUAACCUUCGUGCUCAUUGGUCCGCAUACAUCACUAUGUACGAGUUUCAACAAGUCUACUGCUCUCUCAGGAAAUCUUGUGAAAGGUGUCUUGGUCAUCUUGCCUAGCAAGCAAGCCUCACAUAUCUCGUAUGAUUCAAAAUCAAACGAAGUUAGAAGUCCAUCAGAAUGGAGCUUUUUCAUGCGCUUUUCACUUAUAUGACCCAAAUGACAAUGCCACAAGUAGGUAGGACUCAAAUCAUUAGGCCGAGGCCUUUUAGCACUUACGUUACAGACAGGUGAACCAUGAAGAUUUAAAACAAAUAAUCCAUUCACAAUGGGCGCAAAAGCCAUAAACAUAUCAUUCUUAGAGAUCACACAACCAUUGUUUUCACUCGCAAAUCAAUAACCAUCCUUCAUCAAGCAUGAAGGAGACAAAAUGUUUCGACUUAAGCUAGGAAUGAAAUAACAAUUAUUCAACUCCAUAAUAAAUCCUGACAGGAGGUGGAGUUGCAUCGUCCCGACGGUCAACGCAGCAACUUCUUGCAUUAUUGCCCACGCGGAAAUCAACUUCUCCUCUUUCCACACUUCUACUUCUUAUCAUUCCCUGCAUCGAAUUGCAAAUAUGAGCAACCGAUCUGGUAUCAAAUACCCAAGAAUUAAUAAUUAUCUAUAACAUUAACAACAAGCGUACCUGAGGUAGAAGUAUUCUUACUUCCACCAUUCUUCAACGAAGCUAGGUAUUGCUUGCAGUUUCUCUUCCAGUGACCAGGUUCGUGACAAUAAAAGCACUCUUUGUCUGGAGUAGGCCCAGCUUUAGCCUUGGGCGCUGGGUUUGGCUUAGACACUCCAGCCUUACCCUUCUUCUUCCAAAAAUUGCCCUUCUUAUUGAAGGUAGGCUUGUUCUGUACAGCCAUCACAUGGUUGGUACUAGCGCUUUUCUUAAUGUCUACCUCUGCUGUCUUGAGCAUACCAUAUAGUAUAUUCAGACCCUUCUCCGUCCCAUGCAUAUGGUAGUUCGAGAUGAAGUUCCCAUAGCUAGGCGGAAGAGAUGAAAGAAUGAAGUCAGUGGCCAACUCUUUGCCCAUUGGGAAGCCCAUCUUCUCCAAUCGCUGAGUGUAACCAACCAUCUUGAUUACAUUUGGUCCUACUGCUGCGCCUUCUGCUAGCUUGCACUCCAGAAAGGCUUUGGACACAUUGAACCUUUCAGUCCUAGCCUGUGUCUAGAACAUGUCCUUGAGCGCCACGAUCAUAUCGUGUGCCUCAUGAUUUGUUUCGAACUGCAUCUGCAGCUCGGGUUCCAUGCAAGCAAGCAUAAGGCAGCUUACCUCAAGAUUAGCAUCAAAUGCCUUCUUGUAAGCAGCCUUAACGGCAGCAGAUGAAUCAUCAGCAGGUACUGGUGGUAGUGGGGUGUCUAGAACAUCUUCCUUUUUAUCGGCCCUGAGAACAAUUCUCAGGUUACGGAUCCAAUCCGAGUAGUUUGUUCCAUUCAACUUGUCCUCUCAAGGACCGAACGCAAAGCAAAUGGUGUGGUGUUGCUAGGUGCCAUUUAAUCUACAACAAAAGUAAUGCAAAAUACACUAAGACAAACAUAUCCAUGAUAGAGCAAAUCACAUUAAACUAUGUUAACAGAAUCUACUCCCACUAAAAUCAAUAUCCCUCUAUUGAUACUUAGUGAUUCAGGAUCCACAACUAACAAGUCUACUAGUGAGCUUUAGCAUCACCGCUAGCAAACAAAGUAGAUCGGUAAGCAACUUUUCCUAAUCAUAUCACAUAUGACUCCUGUUGUUGGGUGACAUCUCCAUGUCUCGGCGCCCAACCUUUAUGCCCCAAGGUCCUUAAACGUUAAGUUAACCUUGUUAAGCAAACCAACCCUUAUGCAUGUAAGUGUGCGACACAAACCCGUCUAAUCAAGAAAAACUAGUGGCACCCUAAUUUCAUAGACCCACCACUAAUUGUACAAGACAUGGGACGGUGCAAGUUUUAGUUGGGAGGGCAUACUAACUUAAACUUUGUGAGGGAUCGUUCUACUUCUAACAUCACAGCAUGCAGAAAGUAAAACAUAAACAGAAUAGCAUUCACACAGUUGUGACACAGUAUGGCCCGUUUUCUUAUGGUGAUCUUCAUCUCCAUAGAACCUGUUCACCAUGGUGAUCUCCAUCUCCAUGUUCCAUGUGCGCCAUCCUCUUGGUGAUGAGUCCUCCAAGAACUAGAACAUGCUAUUACGCCUAAUAGCUAGUAAAAAGCUAGUAAUGAAGAUUACAUAGUUGGUUGGAUCAUCACAGAUUGGUACGCAGACCAUUAAAUACAUUAAGGUGACAACACAUAUGGCUCCUGCCGUGUUGCCGUACGCACGACACGCAGGUCACGAAUGAGUUACACACAUGCAUCACAUACACAAAGGGGCCAUACUGAUCACAAGAUACAUACAUCUUGCAAAACAGAGUUAAGCGUCCUAACGUUCCAAACUUUGGAGGCCCGAAACUCCAUCUUCCAAGACAAAUUUGGGAAAUCUAAUUUCGCCGAAAAUGGCGAAGCGGUCGAAUUUCAUGUGUAACUUUUUCUGUAGAUCAAUUUUUAUAUAAAAUUCGCCCCGAUCCGAGAUCGUAUCGAAAAGUUACGGCUGAUUUACCGAAGCAUACGCACACGGCAAAAUCCCGACCCCGGCAGUAGAUCCCAUCUACUAUUGCACAUCUCAUGUGCCUGGCGUAUGAACCUAGAUUUCGAUUCGACCAAUCACAUUGAUCUUCGCACACUGCAACUGGAAUUACGUGUAUCACCUAACUCCGAUGGUGGAAACCCGACCGGUAGGAGUAUGUCGUUACACUACCAUAGCAGCAAGAACAGGAAACCAGGACAGAGAUCAAAUUGAAAACUCGCAUAUCUCCAUAUGCACACAUCCCGAAUCCAAAACUAAACAGCUACGGCUCUGAUACCACUGUCGGGAUACGAGGUAGGCUACACUAGCGCAAAUCAAAAAUUUUCUACCGCGUAAACCAGGGAAACUGCCGUAUAAGGAUCACGGGAUUACCACUCGACGCACUACUAGUGCGGAAGAUGUAGAUUCACGUCGAUGCAGCGAAGUCGAUCAACGUAGUCGUACGUAGUCGAUCACGUCGACGUCCAACAGCUCCUCAGCAGCUCGUCCACGUGCAGCAAGAUCUCCCUCGUGCCGCGGCUUGUCGGCGGCUCGUCACGGCUCGUCGGCGGCUCGUCCAAGUGCUGCAGGCGCAACACCUCCAAGGUAUCCACACGUGCAGGGAGGAAGCGUCACAAGCCGGACUGCUAGAUCCGUGAGUUGCAACAGGCGUGGGAGGCGCGGCUGAUGAGUUUCGUCAAAAAGGUGUAAACCUUAGGGCGCCCCCACCCCUCUAUUUAUAGAGGUUCCUAACGGGCCUCUGGGUCCAAGGCCCAUUAGUACUUCUAAACCUAAUCCAACUCGGAUCACAUCCGAAUUGGGCUUCCAGCCCCUUAAGUGUGUGACCCUAUGGGUUCGGAUACGUAUAGACAUGGCCCGAGUACUCUUACUCGGCCCAAUAGUCGGUAGCGGCCUCUAGCAAGACGUGCCAACUCCUAUAUGCACACGAAGAUCAUAUCAGACGAACCAUCACAACAUUAUAUACAUGCUAUUCCCUUUGCCUCACAAUAUUUGGUCUAGCUUCAAGCCGACCGCUCUUUCUCGAUCCUAUGAUUCGGAAUCCCUUUGUAGGUUAACUCUUAACCGUACGUAGCAUGGCCAUGCAUUUUUGGAUCCGAUCACUCGAGGGGCCCAGAGAUAUCACUCUCAAUCAGAGAGGGGAAAAUCCCAUCUUGAUUAACCAUGUCUCAUAGCAUGCUUCUUGACAAACCCGAAAGCUACCUUUAUAACUACCCUGUUACGGCGUAGCGUUUGAUAGCCUCUAAGUAGGUCGAUCCACAUCUUGAAUACAUGCGACAAUCUCAGGUCUAAGGACAAAGCGUAUAUGAUGUUUAAAGAGAGAACUACUUCUCAUGUUGGGUCAGUCCUAGCACAUGUCUCCACAUGAACCCACAUUAUUAGUUCAACAUCUCCAUGUCCAUGACUUGUGAAACAUAGUCAUCAACUAAUACAUGUGCUAGUCUAAUAUUCAUGUGUGUCCUCACAUGAACUCCGACUAGGGACAACUUUAGAAUAACCAUACAAGUAAAGAGUUUCACACACAAUUCAUGUAAUUGCAAAUCAAUUCAAGUAGUCUUUAAUGGAUAUUCAAGGAACACAAAAUAAAUCAUGGAUACAAAUGGAAUAUCAUCAUCUCUAUGAUUGCCUCUAGGGCAUACCUCCAACAAUUUGCAGGGUCAUGCACCAUGCGUGCGGCGACCCAUCCAUCGGACAGCGCAUGGCAUUGCACAAGACGUACUGGGAGGAUAUGCAGUGGAAUGAGCCAGACAGGUACUACGCCCUCCUCGCUCUGCUAGUUGGUGUGGGGAACCUGGAGGCCUGCACCAUCAAAGGGAUUGUAGAUUUCUUCGCCGUCCCCCGGCCAUCCCUCCAAAAGCUUUCCCGCACCACACCGGGUGGGCAUGAUAUGAGGGCCUAUCUUUACGCCCUGAUGAUAUACAGGAACAACAGUGCAAUCAUGGACGAUGACAUUGCGAAGAGAUAAAUCUACCACGUCGAAUGCAAGGAUGGUUCGGCAGUGAGCGGGAGCACAAGCUCAAAGAAGCUGCGCAACGAUGCCUGUCAGGUGUGCCGCGAGGAGGCCGCCUACCUAGUCAAUAGAGUUACAUGGGGCGGGCAUGGUGAUCCGCUUUCACCGGCACCAGUUUGAGGCGACUUCCCUUGCAUUGGAGGCGACUGCGGCAAGGUUAAGGGCUGGGAACAAGCUACGCUUUAUUGCAACGAGGACUAUAGGAUACGCCAUGAAAUUGUAGCGUUCAAAAGGAGAAUGGAGAUCGAUAACUAAUUGUAGGAUUUCUUUUGCUUUUGCCUAAUGUUGUCCAUGACUCGUUGGCUGAACUUGUAGUGCUGGAACUAUGUUUGUGGUUAAUUUGGCUCAACUUGUAGUCACUACAAGGUUUUGUCUAUCCAAUGGAGUUGUAUUUUCGCAAUGUGUUUUUGUGUCUAAGCACACCUUACACCUCCCUACAUAUAGGUGUUAUGAUGCACAUAUAAAAAGAACCCACACUUGGGUACCUUCAUUUGUCCUUGGAUUUCAAUUGUGGGACCCACUACAUCCCGCUAGGUUGUGCCUCAAAUUUUUAGUACUAGUGCAAUGUUUCCUCCAUUCUUUUUUUCCUAAACCCUCAAAUAUAUCUCAGCCUCUACCCCACUUGCCCCCAAAACUGCGCUGGCUGCGUUAGGGGGGGCAACGGUUCCUCUCUGCCCAAGCGACUCCAUCCAUGGCAACUCCUCCUUCCAUGGCGACUCCUUCCAUGGCCGGCGAUGGAGAACCCAGCACACGACCAAGUACGGUCAGAGUCGAGGAAGCCGAUAUUGAAAACAAAUGUUACAGGUUCGCAUCCACCUUUAACGCCUUCUAGGUUAGGGCAGAAAAUUUCUACACAUUAAUUGCGUACAAUCGAUUUGAUGCUGCCUCAUUGGCGCAUGCUUUUAUAAAUCACAGAUCUGAUUACUACUGAUUAGUUUUUCGCAUAGCACUAGUAGUACUACAUCUUCAUUCAUUGAUGCAAGGGUUUUGAUAUCUAUGUGCACAUACAGAUCAGAGGAGUUGACAGGCUAGAUGGAUGUGGCAGGUAAUGGUACAGUGCCUGGGGGCAGAAGGACAAGAUGUGCGCCUGGUUAAGGUAAUAUUGAUAGCGCACAAUUAGACUUUGUCAGCUUGUGGGAUUACAAAGAUCAACUUCGAUAUGGUGCGUGGGACUACUACUACUACAAGAAGAGAAUAGGAAAUGCUGAUGCAUCUGUUCAGUCAAUUGGUUACCCCAAAGAUGUAGAGUGUAUGUUUCAGUACAUGGAUUCAUCUGAAGAAAGGAAACUAAGGUUGAUACUAUCAAAACAAGAAUUGGUUGGAGCUGUCAACAUUACACCCCUGAAACAACCAAGGGUGAAUGAGUCUGAUGAUGUUACUGAUGCUGAUACUAGUAAUGAUGAAUCACUUGAUGAAUACAAAGAUUGUCUUCAAGACCAAGACCUAGAUUGUGGUAUGUAUGCUGUUUGUACUACACUAUGCACAUGUGUCUAUAACUGUACAAUGUACUCACAUAGUUGUGUUGGUAACUUGCAGAUCUAUACGAUAACUACAGGGAAGAAAUAGUAAAAACAUACUCUAAAUGGUUAAGGCAGAAAGGCCUUAUGAGAGAUAUUUGUAAAUCCUUUUUCCUCUGAACUAAUUCUUAUUUUUGAUGAAAAUUGUACAAUCCUCUAAGUGCACUUGUUUUUUAUUUGUUCAGUGGCUUAUAAUAGAGGUCAAGCAAAGCUUACAGAAGUACGUGAUGAGAGCAAUAGUAGUAGCGCCACGCCACCAUCACAAUGGCCAGCACAUGCUAGGAAACCAAAGCAGACAACAGGUUCUAAAAGCUUCACACCUUCUGCAGUUUUUUAUGCUCUUAUUGUGCACGACUUAAUGUAAGUUUCUAUUUUUUGAUUGUAAGUAAGUGGCAAGAAAAUGGACCGAGGAUGCUUGAAAGGGCUAGCUGUGGUGGCCAAGAGAUCGAAGUCUGGCUCAUAGAAACUGAAAAUCAAAUUUUCCAAAAAUGUGGGUGGUCCCUGUGGAGAUAACAGACGUACCUUUGUGGAUGAGGUUGUUCUGUUUAUAAAGUAGAAGGCUCCAUUAAUUGGAGUUAGAAAUUGGAAAGAUGUGUGUCAGCAUGUCAAGGAUGAUAUCGUAGAAUCUGUAAUGGUAUGUCAAUGGCCACCUCAUCCUUCAUUAUAAUGUUACAUAUUAGUCUUGUUCCCUCUAUUUUCUUGGAAACAUAUAUUUUGAAUGUAGCAUACAUAACAAGUUUUCUUUCCCACUAGGAUCAUUGGGACCUUGAGACCACUGAGAGUCCGAACAAAAAGAUAUGGAAGGUUGCCAAUGAACGCUACAAAAGUUGGCGAUCUGUUUUGCAUUCUACAUACAAGGCAUACAACAAUUAUGAUGAGAGAAGGAGACAUAAGCCUGAAGACAUAGACAUUGUGAAGUGGCACUAUUUGAACAUGUACUUUGGAACUAAGGACUUCAAGGUACGCCCUCUUUUGUAAGUAAAAGAACACAAUCAUGAGUUCAACUUUUCAUCGCUAACCAUUACUUUACGGGAUGACUGUGUAGAGUAGGAGCAGCAUGAACUCUUUGAAUCGUAGCCAACUGAGAACAAAUCACUCGGGGGGUUCCAAACCUUUCUCGUAGUGGAGUUGGGAAAAGGUAAAGAUUUGUUUACUUAUUCUCAACUUUCAGUACAUUACACAAUGAUAUAUUAAUAGCGUUUAAUGUUGUAAUCAUAGAGAGAUCCAGUAACUGGCGAUGAGCCACCCCUUUUGGAACUUUGGAAGACUACUCAUACUAGGGAAGAAAGAUGGACAAAUCACCUAGCUGAAAGUAUUUAUGUGUGUACUGAGUGCUAAUUUGAUCAUAACAUUGAUUCGGCAUUACAAGCUAUUUUUUGGUAUGAAAACAUGACCAAAUUAAUGUUACAAUUAAUUGUUUCUUGCCAUCAGACAUGUACAUCUAGAAAAUUAUCUCAACACAAUCAGAUGAAGAAGACCAACAAGUCAUACUUCUGGACUUGCUAAGGAAGACCAAGUUUUCUAGGAAACGUACAGGGAAACAACAGGAGCCAAAUAUAGAAGGUCACGUGGCCAUGGUUACUUGUCGAAUCCAAAACGAAAGCAAGAAGCCCUUCAGGAGAGAAUGAUUCAGGAGAGAAUAGAGAGGCCCGAAGAACAAGAAUGUCAGUUACAGGAAAAAAUGCAAAAGCAUGAAGCUAAAAAGGAAGCAGAGAUAGAACAACUUAAAGUUGCACUUAGCCAAGAAUUGAUGGGGGAAGUUGCUAGAAUGAUCGCGCCUUAUCGUCAGGCUUUACUGCAAGAGGUAACCAGAAUAUAAUUUGUGCAUGUUGAUUUAUAUUGUGUUCUAAAUUUUCAUAAUGUCACUAAUGUCUAGCCUCCCCUCUUUUAAAAUCCGCAGCGUACCCCAGCAAACAACAAUAAUACAACUGAAGUUGAUGCUAGGACCACCGAGGAUAACAUUGAUGCAAGGCCAGUACUGGACAGCCAAGAAAUAAGGAACCAUGUAUCGACAAUAAUUGGUUGUGAUUGAAAAUAUAUAUACAUAUGUCGCUAAUCUCUUGCCUACCCGCUUUUAAAUUGUGCAGCAUACCCCUCAAACCAACAAUAAAACAACUGAUGAUGAAGCUGGGAGCACUGAGGAAAACCUUGCUGCAACACAAGUAGUGCAUAGUCAAGAAACAUCAAACCAGGUAACAAUAUCGAACAAGCAUUCCAAUCAUGAUGGUUUUUUGCAUUAAAUUUCAGCUAAAAUUGUUCCAAAAACUUUAUUAUGAUCCAGAAUGCUCCAAGAACGAUUGUCACAACUGAAAAAAGCACUUUGGCACCAACCAGAAAUGCUAAAACUGCCAACGUUGCAAAGAGUCUGUUCAAUGAGAAUCACGGUAAAGGUGUAGGAGCUGUUGCAGGAUCCAGAUUCAUUAGUACACAUCAGCUUAUAUCUGGUGCUAAAACUCGAGCAGGCAAAAAGAAAGUACAACAAGUACAAACUGGAAGUGUGCUUUCAAUAUUGCUGCAUAUUGAUUCCAAGACAAAGUAGCUUCAUAAGUUUUAAUUCACUUGUUUGUUUCUCUUUGCUUCAGCAGGCUAGUGAAGCUACGGAGGGGCAAUAAGACUCAAGGUUGCCUACAGGUUACAAGCAGAACUUCAAGCAAAGUUGAUCAUCAUGAAUGCUGGGAGUGAUCAAGAUUAUAGAUGUGUACGAAUAAUAUAGGUGUUCUACAUACUUUAUUAUUGGGAGUCAUGUGGAUGAAUGGACAAGAAUAUUUUCCGUUGUAUUAAAAAAUAUGACGACGACAUAUUUCCCGUUGCAAUAUCCAUUGAGCGUAUAACCACGACCCGUAUUGUGUUGCACUAUCCUGUACGCAUAUAACCACGACAUAUUUUGAUGCGAUAUGGUUGAUGCAUAUAACGACGGCACAUACCUCGUUGUGAUACCUCGUGAGCAUAUUACAACGCUUUCUCAUCAUUGCGAUAUCCAUUGAGCGUAUAACCAUGACCCGUAUUGUGUUGCAAUAUCCUGUAUGCAUAUAACCAUGAUAUAUUUUGUUGCGAUAUGGUUGAAGCAUAUAACGACAGCACAUACCUCGUUGCGAUACCUUGUAAGCAUAUUACAAUGCUUUCUCGUCGUUGCGAUAUAAUUUAAGCAUAUAACGAUGACCCAUAUUUCGUUGCGAUACCCUUUAAGCAUGUUGCAAUGCCAUAUUUUGUUGGAAUAUGGUUGACGCAUAUAGCCAUGACUAGUAUUUCGUUGAGAUAUCCUCUUAGCAUAUUGCAAUAGGAUAAGUCUUGUAUUGCAACAACAUUCUUGUGUUGCAUUAACGCUUGUUUGCAACAGCGCAAUGUCAUUGCAACAGCCACUAUAGCAACGACGCCUGCCGUUGCAAUUAACAAAAUUGCAACGACAAUGGACGUUGUAAUAUCCACUUAUUACUACGACACACAUCGUUGCAACAACUCACCCUUAUGCCCAAGGCUUCCUGUGUCAUUGUAAUACCCUAUUACAACGCAAGUUUACGCAACGACAUGAAUUUUAAGGCAACGACACAAAAUUAUCGCAAUAGCUCGCUAUUGCAAUGAAAUGACCCCUAUUGCAAUGAUUUCGUGCUGUGGUGCUAGUGACAAGACCUUGUAGUGAAUGAUUUGGCUGCUAGCGUCACUUGACCUACCCAACUCCCUCCGGGUUGGACGGUUGAGUGGGAUUCCUCCUCAGACGGCGAGGAUAGGGGUCAUUGAUGUCAUGAUCGGCUUCGUCAUGAUAUCGUGUAUCGACGUUUAGUUUCCGCAUGUUUUACUUCUUUGUUGUUUGAAACCGUGCAAACUCUGAUCUAAUAAAUUAUUGAUCUUUCUAUAAUAUGAACGGAAUGUUUUAAUCUCUGUAAGCACUAACCUUUGUGUGAGCAAUGCUUAUCGAUCCUGUAUAUGUGGUUUAUCAGAGGAAAUCCAACGGUCGACUAAGUUGACUUGUUUAAGGUGCUUGAUCGCGUGUUAGGUGACUUAAGUGCACUUUAGCCAGGUUAAUUUUAGGCCAUUCCGCCACAACAUGGAUACUUUUUCCUCUUGGUUGCAUCAACACCUUAUAGGUAACUCUGAGAUUCACCCACAGCUCGCUUGGUUAGCUAAGGGACCUUCUAGCAGAAUCGUGAAAUUCCAAGGCUACAAGAUAAAUGAUUAUACAUUUUACACGAGAGCCCAAGACCAAAAAAGCACGAACCAAAAUAGUGGUGUCCGCAUAGAUGUCAUUCACAGCACCGGUAGCAAGGACUCCUAUUAUGGUUUCAUAGAGGAGAUAUGGGAACUCGAAUACAGACCGCUGAACAUCCCUCUGUUUUGUUGCUAAUGGGUGAAGCUAACUGGCGUAACCAAAGAUCAGCAUGGAAUGACAAUAGUGGACCUGACCAAGACUGGAUACAAUGAUGAACCAUUCAUACUUGCCAAUGAUGUGCAUCAAAUUUUCUAUGUGAAGGACAUGUCUAGCAAACCAAAAAAAAUUCAGAAGAGCCAUGGAAGCCAAAGCGCCACAUAGUGCUUCUAGGUAAGAGAAAAAUCAUGGGAGUCAAAGAACAAAAUAGAGCAAUCAGAUCAUUAUGAUUAGUUUGAUGGCAUGCCUCCAUUCUCUAUUGAAGUUGACCCAAGCAUCAUGCCAAAGAAGAGGCUCCGUACUUACGCCAUGAUCAUGACCAAGGAACUUUCAUGAAGAAGUUUCUUAACGUUACAUUGUAAUGCACUAAAUAUGCUUCACCUUUAUGUAAAGUUACAUUGUAAAGUUCUAUGAUUUCAUGUACUACUUGAUACAAUUUUUAAUUUAAUGUAUCUAUGAUUUCAUGUGUGUUUAAAUUAGGUGAGGUGAAGAAUUAUUCAAGAUAUGUUUUUUGAUAUAUUUUUGCAUGUUUGAAAAAUAUAAAGUUUUUAUGUUUUUCUAUAACAAAGCCAGUUCAAAACAUAUAUUAAUUUGUAUGUUUAAAUUAGUUGAGGUAAAGAUUUAUUCGAUCAAUAUGAACAAUGUUAACCACAUACAUCAAUUGAAUUUUUCACACGUUGAAAUUAUUUAAUUGAAUAAUUUCUUGAUGAUAGUGAUGUAGUAAAAUAAUUAUUUUAUAAACUAAAAGAACUAGUAUAGAAUUAAUGACUCAUUCAAACUUAUUGUUAAUAUACUUGCUAAUUUAAUAUAGUUUUGCAUGUUCCAAAUAUAUAAAGUUCUUAUUUUUUCCUUCCUAAAAUCCAGUGAAAACAUAUAUAAAAUCUAUUUGCAAAAAACAGGCGAGAACUGAAAAAUGGAAAACGAAUCUUUUGUCCUAGAUGCAAAUUGCAUCUAGGACAAAAUGUCCCCCCUUUAGGCCCGGUUGCAAUUUGCAACUAGGAUAAAAGGGUAAUUUUCGCCUCCCACGCGAACGUACCCUUUUGUCCUGGUUGUAAAUUGCAACCGGGACUAAAGGGGGGGCCUUUUGUCCGGUUGCAAUUGGCACCCAGGACAAAAGGACCCUUUAGUCCAGGUUGCAAUUUGCAACCGGGAUAAAAAGGGUCGUAAAAGUAACAUUCAUCUUCUCCCCCCUCCACCCUUCAACACUUAGCGAAAUUUUCACCACUCUCCAAGAUCUACCGCGCCCGUCCGCCUCUGAUGCCGCCAGUCUCUCAUCCCCGCCCGUCCGCCUCCAUCGCCGGCCGCCGUGCUACUCAUCACCCGCCUCCAUCCCACCGUCGCCCAGCGCCUCGGCCGCUGUCGCCUGCGCCACGACUGCCGCCUCCUCCAUCGCCCGACCCGCCACCGCCUCCUCCGUCGCACCCUCUCGUCGCCGCCGCCUCCGGUGCGCCCCCUCAUUGUCACCUCCCUCUGCGCCGCCUCUGUGGUGAAACCGCCCAACUUAAGCUGGUUUAAGUGCACCUAAUCGCUGUCGGGACAACAAUUAUUCGAAACACACCUAAAACAGCAUAAGUCCAGUAGUCCGUCGAGUGUCCCUAGGACUCCUCGAAAGAUCCACGACGUGUCUCAUAGCCAUACACCAGGAUCGCUUCCUCGAUGGGAAGGCAUCAACAAACAUUACAUUUUUACAUACAUACCGGGGUACGAAUUAUUACAUACCAUAGUUUGAAACAAACUUCAUAGUGCAGGUUAGCGCGGUUCUAAGAGUUCAAAACAUGAACCAGUCUAGGUGAAAGAUAAACAUUUAAGUUUUAUUUCUAGGGUAUUUCGAGACUCGUAAAAUACCCUAGUUCUUCGGAGCUUCUUCCUCAGCGGACUCCUGUUGUGGCUCUGAAAUAGCAACGAGGGAUAACCCUGAGUAUAGGGUACUCAGCAAGACUAACCCGACUAACCAAUAUAAUAGCUUUUCUGGAAUUGCAUGAAAGCCUUUCAGUGUACUGGCUGACUCAUAGUUUUGCCAAAAGAGCUUACUAAAGUGAAACCUUAACUUUGUCUUUUACUUCAAUUGAGUUAUUACCUAUCCAAUCUAGAUAAUGAAAAAGAAAUACUUUUGCAAACAGUAGGAAAUUAAGUCAUACAACAAAUUAAUUGGAAAGACAUUGCAUUCAUGAGAUUACACUACGAUGCUUAACAGCGAUCUAGUGCAUUCAUAACCGAGAAUUGUGGCGAUCCGGAUCAAUUACAUCCUGUAGGAGAGCACCCUGAUCACCAGCUAUGUACAACUGUCCGGGUCGUACAUAACGACCUUUCGAUUAGCAUACCCAAAGAUUGGGAAUAAGACUACCCGAACCCAGGGAUGCACCCCCACAUGGGACCCCCUGUCUGGCCCGAUCUCCAUGUGAGUUUUUAGGCUAUGCCCCUGCCAAUCUCCAGCACGUCAAGCACGGGUACGAAAUAUUCCGGAUCAGAGAGUUUACUAAACUACCGGGCUUUACUGGUCCCAUACCCAGUAAGCAACCAGGUGACAUUCACUUGAUCAAAGGUUAAGACAACGAUCGGGCCUUAACCAAAUUAAUCUAGCAGACAGAACUAACAUCUCUAGCUUCUAUCGGAUUUCCAAAUUUCCAAGCUAACUUUCCAUAUCUAGCAUGUAUGACCCAACAAUUUACCUUAAGGUUCGGUAACCAAGUUACUUUCAGUAUCUAAGCAUUGCUAAAGCAUGGGUUAAUUACUAAUUAUUGAACAAGUGGCAAAGAUGUCCUUAAAACAAGGCAGGAUCAUGCACAAGAAUAGGUUUCAAUCAACUCCUAGACUUAAUGCAUUGAUAAAAGAAAUAACCAAUAAUUGAACACAUGAAAUAAUAACUCCAAAACAGAUAGGUAUAGAUGCACCGGGGUUUGCCUGGGAUCAACAAAUGUUAGUUCUUCGGAAAACCCCUUUAGUAAAAGAGGCACUUCAACAUUUCUCGGACUCUGUCAAUCUUCAGAUGAAUUCCACGAAUUCCACUUCAGAAGCUUCGAUGUCUAUGAUUUAGUACAUGCAGGAGUUAGAGACGCAAACUUUUGAAUACAUGACUAUACAACUUUCCUUCAUGAUAAAGUUGCAAGCCAACAAGUGACUAUACAACCUAUCUUCACAAUAAAGUUGCAAGCCAACACUAAUCUACCCAUAACAUCUAACCCACGAUUUUUUAAUCUCUUAACUAACCUGCCUUAAGCCCUUUCUUUUAUUUUAGAAAAGCAUUACAAAUAUUUUCUAAUCUCAAAAGUUAUUUCCUAUGAUUUAAUAAUAAUUUGUGAAUAAGAAAACAUUAUUCAAUAUUUUAUGCAUUUAAUAAAGGUUAAGCAUUUAUUUAAAUACCUUAAUGAAAAGGCAUUAAAUAAAUACCUAAAUUUUAUUAUUUUUCCUAGGGUAUAAAAAUUUGAAUGCAUAAAGGAAAAUAAAAUAAUCCUAACAAAAUUGGUCUCACUAAUUUUGGACACUCCUAGAAAUUUCUGUGAUUUAAACGGUGUAAACCGAAUUUUAAUGUUCUUUAUCUAUAAAAGGAAAACCUAAUGUUUAUCCAAAUAACCCCGGCCUAACCUUUCUCACUCGUACUAGGCCCGUUAAGCUGGCCCACCUACUCCCGGUCUCUACCUUAUUCUACUCGCCGGCCCAACGAGCGCCCAAACUCUAACGAGCCUCCUUACGACCGGCCUGCUCUCCGCACAGGCCAACAGCCCAACUUCCUCCUCCCUACCCAUGCCUGACGCAAGGGCCUUUUUUUUUUGGGGCCAGCCCACCCCGUUUCUUUCCCCCUUCACUUCCACCUGGGCCUCCAACCGACAAGCCCCUCUCCUCCUCUCAACUCCCCUGGCGCAUAGGCCAGAACAGGGGCGCGACAGGCAGGGGGCGGGGCUCGCCGACGGUGCCUCCCCGGCGGCGUGGCCGGGCUGGGGGCAUCCUGAAACCGGGGCGCACCCACGGGCGGUGGCGGCCCUCCAGGAGGCGGCCUGUGCCGAGCCCUCCACGGUGGCGGCGGCAAAGGCCGGCUGCCGGCCGGCGCAAAGCCCGACGGUGGCGCAAAAACGGCCUUCGGUGCCCCCCCCUAUGGACCCUAUUCGACUCAGCAAGCUCUGCAACCCAAGGAAUCGAGCAAAAGGGGCAUCACAGAGAGGCUCACCAAAGAACUAUGGUGGCGGCUGGCGGAUUAAAAUGGUGGCGAUUCGGAGCUUUGACGAUGAGGAAACAGAAAUCGGAGGGGCGUGGGCGUUGCGGUGGGGCUAGCGAAGCGUCUGGCGGGCGGAUUCGCGAAGAGAAGUGACGGAGCGAGGGUGUUGGCCAGCGGCGGCGUUGCUUUCCCGAGCUUUGGCUCGCAUGGCAGUAGAAAUGGCAAAGGGUUAAAUGGGAUGAGGGUGAGGUGGUAAAGAUACAUAACUUUUACCGUGCAUGUGUGCCACCUCGAUGACCUGCAGGCCUGCGUGGGCGCGGACGUGGUUGUUGCGCUGGUCGACGAGCAGAGGUGCCGGCGGCGGCACGGCUCUGUCCCCUAUUUCUUCUUUCUCUUCUUCGAAAUUCAGACCUCCACAUCGACCAAUUUCAAAUCCAAUCUCUCGAAGAUCCCUUCAGCAGUCUUGUAGAGUAAUCCAUGUACUUCAAUUGAUAGAUUGGCCGCUACCUGAAAUGAGCACCCUAACACCGAGAUUUUGAAGCUCAAAGUUUGACCAGAACCUUCUGUAACUGAACCUCGGUCAUUCAGUCUCGUCAAGGUCCAAAAUAGCAACUUCUUCCCUACUUUGAGCUCAAUUUAAAUUGCUUAAACUCCUUCCAUACAGCUUGAACCUUGCCUAUCCUUGUUCUACUACUGUUGGUGCUAGAAAUCGGCUGAUCGAAUUCCCAGCGUCGGACACACGACCCGGGAGAAUCUGCUUAGCUCCUGUUCGAGUGAUCACCCUGGUGCGGUUCGUGCAGCGUGCCAGCCAAUCUGACCUGUUGAUUGGCAAGGAAAGAAACGUGUCAGAUCCCAGAGGUUGCGAUCGGCUAAGGUUCCGAUCUCGAGAUAGCUUAUCAGUGAAUCGGCCGAUUUGCUGUAAUAAGGAAAUCGGCUAUAAUGCAGCCGAUUACCGGGCAGCGUUAAUAAAGAAGACUGCUGGAGUAAUCUAAACAAUGCUUAUAGUAACAACACUAGGAAUAGAUCUAAAUCGGCUAUGCGUAAAAUAAUAGAUUGAAUAACAAGGCACAGGAAAGCCGAAAGUUCCAAUUCCUAGCUGGAUAACUGGUGAUAAAACUAGAACUACAGGUAAAACCUAGAAUUCUAGUGGAUAUCGAUAACUGGUGAAUAAAUCUAAAUGAAACGACAGCGAUGCGCCCGAAGUUAAAGCUUAGAUAUUACUCGGUAAACGAAACUUACAGAAUCAGCCGGAGGUCAAGUUGAUGCAGCCUAGCCAACUCGUAUGAACUCGUGAAAAAGAAGAAAAGUAUUGGCGAAAUCGCCUGCUUGAAAGUAAGUGUGAGGAAAUAGUAGUUUGUUGUAUUGAUUUGAUGAUGAUUACAGAUCUACAAGGGUGGCUAUUUAUAGCCUGUUACAAAUGACUUCUUAACCGACUAGAACUCUAUCUCUAAUUUUAAACAAAAAAUGAAUAUUUACAAGUACGACUCGUACUGGGUCAAUCAUCAUGCUGUCAUGGGCUGACUCCCUUUUUACCUUCAUAAUCCACUUCAAGCCCACACCGGCCCAAUUCCUCCAGCCUCCUAAUCGGCCGAUUUCUACCAACUCCAUCGGCAAGGGACAGCCGAUUACGGCCCACAUGUCGGGGGUUCUGACUACUCCGACCCUGGGACCUAAGGUCGGGCGAGGUGGAGUCCCUCCCUUAGAGGGUCGGGCGCAUCCGACCCCAGGACUCAGGGGUCGGGCGAGGCGGAGUUGCACCCUUAAAGGGCAAUUGGCCAAUCCUUGACUGUAGCACCAAUCGGCCGAUUUCCAACCGUGACCUCUGUGUCUUGCCGCAUCUCCUGAGUUCUUCCUUUCCUGACGCCGAUUUCAUACGUGUCAAAAUAUGGCGUCAACAACUACUAACAAAGAUUCCAUUUUGCGCAUGAACUCAUAUACCUUUUACAUUGGAUUUUUCUUAAAUUUGCUCCAAACAUUGCUAAUCAAUGCCGUUUUUCAGACAACAUUAUUUCGGCAAGAAGCCUGAAAUCUGUGCAUUUGCUGAAUUUUGGGCUUCGCUUUAAAUUCGAACCUUCCACUUUCUCUGGCCAACAACAUUUCAUUUACCUUCUCUAUAGUCCAUAUUUCACUAAUGUCCAAAAACAUCUGCUCACUUACAAGAACAAUUCUCCAGAAAUUGGCUCCAAAGUUGUGUACUCAAUAUUAAUUUCAGAGUUACGCGUUUUCGGAUGACUAAGUGACUUUGUUGAUUCCAUAUUCGAUUGUAUUUAUGAGAGCUUUAUAACUUGAUUUAGACUUCAGAUUCAUUCCUUUGAGUUCUGAAUACUCUCAAGACUCUAUUUCCUAUUUUUGCCAAAUUUAUCCAAAUUUGAAACUCCAAAUUGCAAAUUUGGUUGAACUCGGCUCAAAUUCGAUUUUGGCUCAAAUUACCUUCCUUUAAUCCAACUUCACCAUUAGCUUCUUAAUGUGAUACUUAAGUUGUCAUUAACACUGGGUGUUACAGCCUCCUUGUCGCCCACCUCCGUCCCCGCCGCCUCCGUGCCCGCCAUCGCCCGCCGCUCUAGCCGCCGUUGCCUGCCGCCCUGGCCUACCGCCACCUCCUCCGUCGCGCCCCCUCAUUGCCACCUCCCUCUGCGCUGCCUCCUCAUCGCCGCCUCUCCAUCGCCACCUCCGUCGUCUGUGCCAGCUCCGACCCCGCUGCCACCGGCAUGCGCCGCCCCGACCUCCUCGUCUUCUGCAUUGCCACUCCAUCGCCCCGUCCGCCGUAGCUCGCCGCCAAGCCUCUGCCACCUGCCACCCCGGUGACGUGCGGCGCCACCCCCAUCGCGACCCCCGGCCCUCUCCACACGUACAAUGGGGCCCUUGCUGACGCUAGGGCCCUUUUUUAUUUUUUUAGUUAGAAAAUCAGUAUGAUUAGUACAAAAUCAGUAGGAAAUUACUAUUAUUAGAUGAAAAUCAGUAGGAAAUUACAAUAAUUUAGUUCAGAUGCUUAGUAUAAUUUUGUAUACAUUUUGUAUAACUUUGAGAAAUUACUACCUUUUAUUAUAAAUGAUUCGAAAAUUAGUAGAAAUUUGUAGCAAUGCUUAAGAUUUAUUCAGGAUAAGUUCUUAGUAUGAUUUUGUACACAUUUAGUAUAAUUUUUAGUACAUUAAUAUUAUUUAGUACAAAUGCUUCAAAAAUUAGUAAAAAUUAGUAGAAAUUUGGUAGAAAUUCUUAGAAAUCAGUAGAAGUUUGUAGAAAUUUGGUAGACAUUCUUAGAAAUCAUUAGAAAUUUGUAGAUACACUUCAAAUUUGGUACAAAUUCUUAGAAAUUAGUAGAAAUUUGAAGAAACACUUCAAAUUUGGUAGAAUUGCUUAAAAUUAGUAGGAAUUAGUAGAAAUUUGGUAGAAAUUCUUAGAAAUUAGUAGAAACACUUCAUGUAGGAUUCGUUCAAGACAUUUCAUGUAAGUUUCAUUCAAGACUUUCAUGUAACUUUCUUGUAAGUUUUCAUGUAAGUUUCAUUAAAGACAUUUCAUGUAUGUUUCAUUCAAGAUAUUCAUGUAAAUUUCUUGUAGGUUUUCAUGUAAGUUUCAUUAAAGACAUUUUAUGUAAGUUUCAUUCAAGACAUUCAUGUAAAUUUCUUGUAAGUUUCAUGUAAGUUUCAUUUCGUGUAUGGUUUCAUGUGUAGAUUUCAAUCAGUUUGUUUUUUUUUCAUGGUUGUUCUAUGAUUUCAUGUAUAUACCUUAACGUACAUGUAACUAUGAUUUCAUGUGUGUUUAACGUAGUUGAGAUGGCAGACGACAAGACCGCAAGCUAUCUAAUGGAGCAGAUUAUUGCUGAUGGUAGUGGCUCCAACCUUCCCGUAACGUACAUCGAUAAAGAGGGUACCUAGGCGAACAUGUUCCUCAACAUGUCUAGCGAUGGCAAUGAAGAGCCUCAGCCCUAGCAAAACCUUAUCGUGAUGGAAGGUUCCAGCGAGGUAUAUAUCAUUUCCAUUGUUUUACCCCAUCUAUAAUGUCUUAUUCAUUAUUAUUAUAUACUAAUUAACGAAUCUUGAACUGUUAGCCCUCUGGAUCGAUGAACCGUCAUAAGCCCCGAGGCCGUACAAAGGUGAUGGAUGGAGGGCUUAUCAUCAUGGAAGUCACAGAAGAGGGCAAGCCGGUUGCUCCCGAAAACAUGGCAAAAAAGUACGUGAGCCAGAUCGAGGCAAUCGUAAGGGACAACGUGCCCAUCAACAUCAUGGAAUGGAGGGGUGAAAGUACUAAUGCAUACGCGCUCUCGGAUACAGAAAAGGAAAUGUUGUGGUUAGAUGUUAAGAAACAUUUCACAUUUUCCCGAAGGAUGUAAUGAAGAUUAUGUGAAAUCGUGGAUGCUGAAGAAGAUGGCCACACAAGAAGGGCUGAUGUCCACAAUUCAAUGAGUGGUGAGGGACCACUGGGAGUCAUUUGUUGAAUACAAGACGAGCGAAACGGUGCGAACAAGGUUCGCACCAACUUUGUAAAUGCUGGCAAGAAGGAGUACCAUCAUUGUCUAGGGCGAGGUGGUUACAACACUACAAUUUCUAGAUGGCGCAAGAUGGAACAAGACCUGAUUGAUUGGGGUAUCCUACCAGCAACUCUUGAAUAUCCUGAUCGAUCGAAAAAUUGGUAUUACGCUCAUGGAGGCAACAUGAGCCAAGAGGAUGGGACACUGAUCUUCAAUGAGACAAUAUGUCAGAAGGCCAAAAGGCUUAUCAAGAACAUUGAAGAUGACACGGCUGGGAGUUGAAGGUGGACCGAGAGAAUAAUGAGCUAACAUUGGCCCAAGAAUCCCGAGCACCUAGGAUAUUGCCGAGGGUACGGGGUCAUUCUGUGGAAGUUCGCUUUUCGAGGCGACAUGUACUCAUACAGAAGCCGCAAGCGAAGAAAGGAAUAGCAAGAGGAGAGCUGGCGGCGCAUGUUAGAAUCCAAAGUGCAUUCACAUGAAGUAAGAAUGCAGGAGGAAAUCAAUCAUCGAGUGGCCCUAGCAGUUGCGAAGUUGGCCCAAUCUAGAGCACUACCGGAUCCAAACGUUAGAUGAGCAACGGUUCUUUGUGGCUGUGAUCACGCAACGCACCUCAUGUGAAUGGCAUAAACUGGUCGGCAACGUCACCAUUAAGGUAUACUUAUACAUAAUAAUUAUGCAAUCUUCUCAAUCCAUCCACGCCUCGGGAGUUUAAUAACUUCUUUAUUUCUACUAUAUGUACAAGUGGCAUACGAGAGUGCCUUACCAAUCCUGCCAGGGUAGACAAGCGAUGCCAUGGAGGUUCUACCUGGCUACGCUAGCGUCAGCCUAGAGCUGCUCGUUGAUAGCCAAUAUGAAGGCCUAGAGCUCGACCUCCCGGGAGGCGAUAGGGAAAGGACACUAGGAGAUGCGCUUCACGGGAUCAUUCUAUGGUGCAAAUGUUACAUCAUCAUCCCCGGCAUGGAGGCAUCAUUGCUCCCCGUAGAUCCCCAGCAGCGACCAUCUCCUCAAAGCUCAAGAUCGUCAUCUCCAACACGGCCUUCUCCAGGACCGUCAUCUCCACCACAACUUGCUCCAGAACCAUCAUCUCCAGCACAACCAGCUCCAGGACUGUCGUCACCACCGGGACCGUCUCUUCCUGCUCGAUCACGGUCUCCAUCUCCAGCACAUCCUAGUGGUGCGAGCGACGAUGACAAUAACACCCCUUCCCAAUCACCAUCUCCAGGACUAAGAGCUGCAUCGAGCAAGGAACCUGUAGCAACACUUAAGAAGUCGCAACCACCGCCUCCCAAGCCAAGACAGAGAAAGAAGAAAACAAACGAGCCUGAAUUGACUCCUGACAAAUGUAGGGAGGAGAAAAUGCAUGAGGAUUGCUGGCCCAAACCAAAGCAGAAUGCAGGGAGCGGUUCAAGAAAAUGGCCGAAGAAAGAAAAGCAAAGGCGAUGGAGCCACCGCCAGUAGAUUGAAGACAAUUAAAUUUUUUUAUAAAGAUGUCAGAAGAAGCCAAGAAGAUGCUGCCACCUUAAACUACGAUCGGGUGUUAGUCAAGGCUGAUGAGAGGAAAAAAUGGAAAGGAAAGUCGUCUUCAAGGGGUACUAUCCUCCACCUUAGACAUCUACCGAAAAAGACUCUCAAAAGAAAGCAUCAAUGCUAGCAAUGCCCUUGGAUCAAUAAGACCAAGUAGUGAAAUUCAUACAAGAAACAGGAAUGUCCUUUUCUGAAUGUCUAGGGCAAAGUGAGCCACCAGCUGCAUAGCCAGUUGAACCGAAAUGGACCUUUUGAGCUAGGCAAGUCUCUGGUAAGGCCUGAGUUGAUAUGGAAACUAUCAACAAAGAUGUACAAAUUCCAUGAAUGGUACAUCAAGCAGUCCAUCGUUGACAGGGAAAUAUUCGACCUUAAGGUCAAACCAAUAGCCUGGUUGACGUCUCUCUCAUCAGCGCUUGGGCUCUGCAAGUGUUCGUUUAUCUAUGUGUAAAUUUUGGCUCAUAUCAUUAUUUUUUGUGCAUGCAUCGCCCUGCUAACUUCGUCUUCCAUUUUAUGUAGGAUGCUAAUUCAGAUGUGCUGACGAGAAGUGUACUUCCAUGUUGGCUUCAUGGAUCCAUCCCUAGUUAACCAACACAAGAUAUGGGAUUUUCCAGAGAAAACGUUGAUGGAAGUAUACAAUUUCCUGGACAAACAAAAUUACAGCAAGGAAUACAUCCUACUUCUAUACAACUUCAAGUAAGUGUGUGUAUACCAUCUAUUUUUAUUUUCUUUUUCCUUACCUGAUUAAUGUUAGUUAGCUCUAAUAUGAACAAUUACGUACGCAGUUUCCACUGGAUCCUCCUAAUAAUUGAGCCUGAUAGAAGCCACAUCACUGUCUUCGAUUCAUUGAGGAAACCACCGAAGGAGUACCAAGAUGUUCAAGACAUGCUAAACUUAAUAAUUCUGGACUUUAUCUCUGUGCAAAAGUUUGUUUCCUAAAUUUUCACCUAACACUGUAUCAUUCAUUAACACAAAGGUCCAUUCAAAGAAAAACUUACAUGGAACACAAACUUCCUGGCAUGUAUGAAGUUUGCAUAUUUUGUACAUUAUAUAGCAUGAAUAUUUCAUAACUUGUUUUUCCCCACUGUAGUGCUUAAGACAGGAACUCAAAAAUAAUCUAUGUGGCUACUAUGUCUGUGAGCACAUGCAUAGUUUUUUGGGACACAAGGUACUAAAGAUGACGCCGCACAACUAUAACGUACGUAAAAGAAAACUAUUAAUAGUUAAAUAUUUUCUAGCUCCUUAUAUUUAAUUGUUCGUGUAACAUUCACAUAUUUCCAGAUUACAGAUGCAUAAUAUUCAACAAAAACUCUUGGAGAAGGAAAGAAUAAUGGCAAUAUAUGAAGGUCUCAUGGGAUUCCUGGUGGACGAGGGGGUACAUCAACAAGGAGAAUUUUAUUACAAUGGACGAAAAUUAGACGCACUGAGCAACACCACGACGGGAAGAUCCAAGGAAUGACUGAGGCAAAUUUUUGUAUAUAUAUAUAUACUAAUUGUAUAAAUACUAUGCUAAGAUUUGUAUAGUAUGCUAAGAAUUGUAUAUAUACUAAGAAUUGUAUAUAUAGUAAUUGUAUAAAUACUAGUUUGAUUUCAUAAUAAAAAAAGUCUUAACUAAACUAAAGGGUACGUGAUGCAUGAAAUUACAGGUGCCUGCCUGCAUGGCGCCUGUAAUUUCAUGCAUGCACUUUAGUCCCGGUAGAAAAAACCAACCGGGACUAAAGGGAGCACCCUUUACUCCCGGUUGGUAAAACCAAUGAGGACUAAAGGGGCCUGUCCCGCGCCUGGCGUGGCAGCCCCUUUAGUCCUGGUUGGUUUUACCAACCAGGAUUAAAGGGUGUCUUUAGUCCCAGUUGAGUGACCCGAGACUAAAGACCCCCCAUUCGUCUUGAUUGCUUUAUCCCGGAUGGAUUUUCGGGAAAUUUUAUCCCUACCAACCAGGACUAAAGGUGAGUUUUCUACCGGUGCCUGUUCUAUCUCACUCAUUUGUCCUGUAGCUACAAGCUAAGGCCCCAUGUCAUCUAUGGCUUCUGUCCUGUAGCUACUAGCUAAGCCCCCGUAUCAUCCAUGGCUUCUGGUGCCUCCACCACACUGAAGAUGGCCUCUAUCGCCCCUUGCAUCCUGCUGGUCCUGCUGUCCAAUGGCCACCCUACGAUGGUGGCCGUUGAUUGUGUUGCGGUUUGCAAAGACCCGUGCCAGAGCUUUUCUAACGGGUUCUGCGCGGGUGGAGCCACUGGCGGUUGCACAACUACGGCAGCAGCUACAGCAUGCCGCAAUUUGGCGUUCUCGCAGUGUGCGAACAACUGCUUCAUAGUUUGCACUGCCGAGAUCAUCACGCCUUGCACUUGAAGAUGCAUUUGUGUUCCUACUUCCAUGUUAUUGUUACUGCAGAAUAAUAUGGAUAAAUACGUGCAAGCAGGCCUGCCGUCCGCGGGAGGAGGUACGCAAGCACGCAUGAUGAGCCACUGUUGUUUUUCCAUUUUAUCAUUUACUUAUUGAAGGCAAUGUACGUGCCUAUCUCCUGUGUGGUUGAGCAUGUCAUGUUGGAAUUCUGUCCAAAGUUUUACAUACCAUCUUGUAUUGUUGUGUAUGCGUAUCAAUAUAAUUUAUGAACUAUUUUCCUUUACCAUAGACAUUUCUAUGUUUAUUUGCAAGCACUACUAGAGAACUGACUUUAGAUCCCACCCCCUUUAGUCUCGGUUUAAUUUCGGACCAGGAGAAAACGGGGUGCGCCACGGUAGGCUAGAAUGGGGUGCACCUUUACUCUCUAUUCUUUUUUUGCAACCGGGACUACAGGCCACCCUUUAGUCUCAGUUAAAACGGCUAGUUAUUGGGCACCGACGGCGUCACCCUUUACCCCCGGUUGGAGCCACCAACUAGGACAAAAGAUCCAACCUUUUGUCCCGGUUGGAAAAUCCAACCGGGAUAACAGGUUUACUCCCAGUUGGUAAUUCCAACCGGGACAAAAGGUUGGAGCUUUUGUCCCGGUUGGUGUUACGAACCGGGAGUAAACACCAACCGGGAGUAAAGCUCUAAUCUUUUGUUCCAGUUGGAUUUACCAACCGGGGUAAAAUCUUAUCUACAAGAGGCCUUUCUUCCUCCUCCACUCCUCCAGCCCGAGCCACUCCACUCCACAAAGACAGAGAACCUCAUCCUCUCCAUGGCGCCGAAGCAAGCCUAGGGGAGGUGCUGCUGAAAUUUUUUUUCCUUAUUUCCGUGGGGAUUUCAUUCAUCCAAAGUGUUGUGAAGGUUAGCUACUUCAUGCUCCGUUCAUUUAUUGUUGUUAAGCUUUGUUUUAUACUUUAAAGAGGGAGAAAAAUGAGUUUGUUUAUUGUUAAGCAUGUAGAGGAUUUGUAUUUAUACAUGUUUUUGAGCUACAAUGUGAUGGAUAGUUUGAAUGUGAGGGAGAAUGGACAGUAAAUGUGAGGUAGAAUUGAGAUUAUUUCAAUUUUAUGUAUUAGGGAAAAAUUAGAGCAAAUGUGUUUUUAAUACUUAUAAAUUAGCCAUAUAAAUUGUAGGUGUAAUUUCAUACUUUAGUACUUUUCAAAUAGAGGUAUGCAAUUUGCCAUUUUUAGAAUAAGUACAUUAUGUGGGAAAUAUUGAAUUUUUUAAUAGUUUAGUUAUUUCUAAAUUAAAUAUGAGCUAAAUAAUUUGUGUAUUUCUAUGUAAACUUUCAGCAAUAUUUGAGUUUGUCGUAGUGUAUCAUGUUGUUUGCUUCUGAAAUUUUAAUUUGUGUAUUUCUAUCUAAAAUUUUAGCAAUGUGAUGGAUAGUUUUAUUGUAAUACAUUUUAUUGAUGGCUUGCGUAAUACGAUGCAGAUGGACCAGCAAUGGAUGUAUAACGCGGACAGGCAGAGCAAGGUGUUUAUUGCUGGCAUGAAUAAUUUUCUUGAAGUGGCCAAAGCGAACAAACCAGGGAACGGGUUCAUAUCUUGUCCAUGUGCCCAAUGCAGUAACCAGAAGUGCUAUUCAAAGGCUUCCUAGGGGACUAUUCAUAGCCACUUGUUUAGAUACGGUUUCACGCCUAACUAUUUGGUUUGGACCCGUCACGGUGAAAGAGGGGUUGUAAUGGAAGAUGGUGAAGAGGAGGAGGAUGAUGACAACAUUCCGAACUGCGCUACAGUCUAAUCUUUUGUAGAUACUACUGUGGCGGAUCCACUUCGGAUCUACUGGGUUAAACAUGAUUUAGCCGCCUGAUAUGCGACGCUCAUGCCUAAGCUGAGUAAACACGAAGUGCCAUCGGAUUUUACUCCGAUUUAACCACUUGAACAGGACCGGUUUAGCAGACUCACACGAAGGUGAGCGGUUCCAGAGAGUACAACGAGUCCACCAAGUUAACAAAUUAACCACUGGAUUUAGUUACGAAAAGGACGUCAGAGUUUUACAAGAUUUCGGAAAACAACAGAAAGUAAAACACUAGCAGAAGCAUUCGUCGGGGUCGGAUGUCCUGGUGAGGCCGGCUGGGACAUCACUGAUCCCUCUCCUCGCCGUCCGAGGAGGGAUCCCACUCGACCGUCCAGCCCGGCGGGAGCUGGGGCAGCCAAGCGCCAGCAAGAGAGGGGUCGGGAGCAGCAGCUUCACCUGAAAAACAGGAGCCACAACAAGGCUGAGCUACUAAGCUCAACAAGACUUAACCGAUAGGAGUAAAACUACUCCUCCUAGACAUGCAGGGCUUUUUUGGCUGAGGGGUUUGGUUGCCGAAAGCUCUAAUUGAAAACCCUAUUUUCAAGUUUUAGCUCCGGUUCUAGGUUCAUUUACCAGUCUAGGUUUUGCAACCUAUUCUAAGCAAUCGUGGAACCAAACAAGAUGUGUAGAUAUAUCAACAAACAUGUCAUCAUCAGAUUCCUCAUUUACUCAGGGUGACAUAGCGAUCAAGCAAUCUCAAACUGUGAGAGGCAGACGAAUCGAUUCGAGUUCUUUAACCAUGCAUGGUGAACCUAGCCUCAUGACAUCCACGUACCCGGAGGUCGCUUCCUGUGUCGGCCUUCCCCAUCAAUCCCCUAACCCGUGUCGGGCCUAUUUCCUUUGGUGCAAGGUUCCACAGACCCGGCCUCUGCCGUUCUGGGGCCACGCAUGCCACCACGUGCGACAUCCAGCAGGGGAAACUCCGUUCCAAGAAUAAUGGGGCGACCGCUCACGUCUAGGUUCAAUCCGGUACUAGGCUUCCUCAUCCCAUACUAAGUAUGAGGCUAGUACUUUCAAACACUUGAUCACGAACACCACCACUGUCGGACCUUAGCAAGUUUUUCAUAGACAGACGGGGCAACCAUCCGUCCACCAAAGAGUUACCCAAACCCUGCCCCAUCCAUCGUCCUUAUAGUUGUAACAGAAAGGUAGACAUCCAACUCCUACAACUCGCGAGUGACAGGGAAUCACUCGACUUUUACCGUCUCCUAGUUAAGCAAUGCAACUACUCGGUCUAACAGCUAGUGCUCACAUCAUGGGGAUAACUAAGCCAUGUGUCUAGGGUUUCAAACAACUCCUAUACGUAAAUGCACAAACAUAUUACAGAAGGCAUGCGCAAGUUUGGUAAAACACACAGGGUUUUCAUGCAACUGGGGCUUGCCUUCGAGCAAGGAGGAAGAGAACUGCUCGAUUUCUAGGACGGCUUCGGCUUCAGCGGGCAAGAACUCAGCUACAGCUUCAUCUUCUGGCGCCGGGUGCAGCUCGUAGAAGCUGUCGGCGAGGCGCAGCUCUACACGAAUGCAAUGCAAGAGUUAGCAUAGAUGGUUAUUUCAACAGCAACACUUGCUCGCCUGAGCCCAGAAACUCGCGACAAAGAGCAGGGGGGUUGGGGAGGUUCAAGAGAGCGGGUGAGGAUCAAGAGGCAAGGGUCGGAAAGGAAACUUAGGAUCUGAUCCUUGAACUAGAGGAUGCGGUAUACUAGGGAUCCUCAGACGCAAGCGCUGAAGGGUUCCUAAGUUUUUGCACAUACACCCUCGGGUUGAAGAAAAGAUCACAGCCGAGCCCUUGGGCAAGGCGGAUAAGGGUCGGCGGGACAGAUAGGGUCGGGCGAGACGGAACCGGGGUCGGGCGGAUAAGAGGGGUCGGGCGAAGCGGACUGGGGUCGGUAGCUUACCUUCUUCCUGAAAGGAAGGCUUGGGGUCGGGAAGAGGCAGACUUGGGCGGAGGGACUAAAGCUUUGAACACGGCUAAGACUGGCAGUGCUCCGGCGGCGGCGGUGCUUCUUGCAGAUCACAAGAGAGCUUUUGCGCAGCACGGAGGAGCAAGCUGCUGGGUGACUUGGGGAAACUGAGGGGAGCUGAGGGGAGGGUUCCUCAAGAACAUAUGUCACUUUAGUAUUAGGCAAGGAUGUGAUUAUAUGAUUAUAUGGACUGAUACCGGUUAAAAGAUCAUUAUCUAAUCAACCAUUCACGUCGCCCAUAGUGUAGGCAACAGGCCAUUCUAUUGCGAUCCUCUGUCGCCUAUCGCUUCCCUUGAGAAUUUGAAGUCAGAAAUUCUUUUGUUUCAAUUUUGCUAGGUCCACUAGUUUUCUUAAAUCAGAAUCAAGUUGAAACCAGAAGAGCCUUGUUAGCUUGUUUGAUCUAUACUUCGUUGUAGCAAAUGUAAAAUGACAACUCAUAUAAUGGUUGUUUCAUAUUCGAUCUGCAAGUCUUCUUCUCAUUCACACGAUGGAUGGCCAUAGGCACAAAGAGAAUCGAAGUAGUAGACCAUAAUCACUAUAGUAAAAGCUUAAAAUCUCAAAAUAUGUCAUCAUUUAUUUUUCAUUAUGUUAUCCAUAGAACUAUAGUAUGAGUUAGAAUAUUGCAUGGACAUCAGAUCAGCUACAACAUUUCCUAGCUUCGCCCUUCGCCGCCCCUGCAGCAGCUAGCCCAAUCCAGGAAAUGUAUUUCCCAGGUGGGGGUGAGCAGACCCUGGAAAUAAGCUGGGGACGGACCAGCACGUCAACCGUCUCUGAAAAUAGCCCAUUUCAGAGGUGGGCAACUCCAUGGUCCGUCCUAGCAGAUUGAAUUACAGGAGCAGACGACACGAAGCAUCACCCUGCUGCUCAACCAAAUUUUGUAUGGACAACGCGCAAAUGAAAAGGCAAGCGGAAAGCAUAAGGUCCAUUCUGCUCCGCACAUAUAUCUUAUCUCAACCACAGCUUUCCAUGUCAUCUCCUUAGAGAAACUCCGACAGAUUGAUUUUCCACAUUCCCCUUUAUCCUCUUAUAGGGCAUUCCCUUUCACGAUUUCUGAAUUUUGAAGACUAGUGGGGCAAGAAAUUUUGUAUAGUAACAAAGAUAAUCUCAGCCCCACUUGCUACACAUACAUGCACGGUAAAUAGAAAGGGUUAUUUUCUAUGUCAAAGGCAUGCUCAGCUUCAAAGUCGUUCUGUUGUUAGCAUCGUUGUGUUGUUUCUGCUAACGUGCAGGAGGAAGCGAAAACACAGAGUAGAAAGAGGAUGAGAAAUUAAAGAAGACAAUGAAGCUCACGUUCACGUCUACAUGAGGGAGCUCUCACACAAGCAAGUCCAUUCAUCCUCUGUCUCCAUGCUGUUGAUGAUGACAUGUCACAUGUCCUUUGCCUUGACGUCGGCGGCAGGCCGGCAGCCCAAUGAACCCAUGACGAACAGCAUGAGCAUGACCAGCUAACUUCAUUGCUGAGUACGACAUGUGGUUAUCCUUGCUAUAACUAAUGUUGGUCAGAAGAAGAAGCUGCUAUAAAGUUGUUCUGAAGACGCUGAGUUCUAGGCGUACGCAAGCCCCGGUUGAUUGCCUGCGAAGUUUGGAUCCUUCGUUUCCAGGAUUAAGCUGUAAAUCUCCGAUAGACUCUCUUUAUAUCUCUUUAUGUGAUACUGUUACUGUUAUUCACUGAUGAUGUGACUAUAUGUAUGAAACUUGAUCAUGUCAUACAUACAGUUAGCACUUGGUUUUGCUGUUCUAAAAUCAGAUGUGACACCUAUGAACCCAUGACGAACAGCAUGAGCGUAACCAGCUAACUUCAUUGCUGCUGCCUUUCGUAGAUGUUGGUGAACAUGACGUGUCUUUCAUCUCCACGAUGGCGACGGAUCCAAAGAUCGAAGAACAUGCAUCAACGCGAUCCGUAUGGCGUGUUUUCUGGUAUUUCCACCCCAUGAUGUAACGCCGACCGGGUUCCAUACGAGGCCUACGGCCAGUCUGUUCACUUUCAUCAUGUGCUCCGAUGAGAGUUCAUCACCGUGAUAAAAGACGGAGACGAGGGCACACAGUCGUAGCUGCAAGUAAGGCCAACAGGCUGAAGGCCAUGGCUUUACAGCCAGCAGUCCACCCUUGCAUGCACUCACGGACUAUUACCGAACUAGCAAUUGGUACUUUGACGCGCUACAUGGACCCUUACAAAAUUAAAAAAAUGAACGUCAACAAGCAAAUGAAACUGCAUGAACUGAAGUAGGGAAAUGAAGACCACGUACAGUUCUUAUUGAAGCUGAAAUGUAUGUCAUAAAAGUAUUAUUGUUAGAUUGAAGUCAAUUUAAAUAUUUAAACGAGUAACGAGGGCUCGGAUUAGUAGAAGGUGUUAGUAAGGCCCUCCAAUAGACCACUCAAUGAUUUUUAGAUCCAACUGUUUAUAUAGUAAGUUCGGAUAUUUAAUUAAUAAAUUGAAGUUGCCUUAAGAUAUGCAUAGUAAAUCACAAGACCAAAGUGGAAUAACCAUUAGACAACUAAUAAAACCAUCAUUAAGUUUUUGUCUACUUUUAGCAAUAUUGCUUAGGUUUUCUAUUUCGUCUAAAUAUAUCUUAAGCGGCUCAUAUGUCCAAAUUACCCACACAGUGAAUAAAUGUCGUUCCAGUUCAAGGAUUCAUGUGGAGUUGUCACACACUAGUGUGAACCCAUCAAGUGUGUGUCUUGCUUCCCUUUUCAAUCAACAAGCUACCUCCCUGAUUUGAAUAUAAUAAACUUAAAUGCUUCAGUUUCUAUGGUCCAUUGUUAUGUGAUGGACAUGAAAAAUGAAAAAUAUAGCCUACAAUGUUCAAAAUGCAUCUGAAGUACUAGGGUAUAAAAUAAGCUCACUGCCAUCCAAGUACAAGGGUUAACAACUAGAAAUAUAACCUUUAUUGCUAUCUGUAAACAAAAUAUGCCUGUUGAAUUACAUGUCGGGAAAGGUGAAUGCACGGAUUAACGGCUAGUAUUAGCUAAUUUUGUUGUCUUUUUUGUUAAUAACUAGGUUUCCAAUGCCAAACUCUGCGUAAGGGUUCAGCAACUGGCUACAUAUUGGAAAGGAGUUACUGUUGGUGGCUAGCCCUCAUAAGAGAUAACUAUUUCAUUCCUGAUGCCUUCCAUGCCUAUGGAUGUACCGCGUGCUCGAGUAAGCUAUGCUUGCAGAUGGAUCUUAAACCUGAUGUCAAAUUGUUUAUAAUUGAAAGAGUUUGCUGUUUGUCUGCUUUAGGGAAGAUGGGUAGCACGUUUAUAUGCCAUUAAUUCUCAUGAAAGAGUGCAUAUACCAUGUUUGUCGCAGCAAGAUGAGGCUGUAGAGUAGUAGAAGUGUAGAACAAUGGUACAGGUUGUAUGAAUAAUUUAUUGAAGGGAAUCAUAGACGCCACAGCCACUGAAGCUGUCGGGGCAUGAUUAGCCAAUGGUCUAAUUCCUGAUAUCUCCGUAUCCUAAUUUUCUGAAGCCUUACGGACUCUACCCUCCUCACUUCAUAUAUAUUAGUGUUUAUAAUAGCGGUUUUAUAAGAAGUGCUGAAGGUAUUGGUCCUGCUAUAUCUUGCUUCCACUACCGGAUUUGUGUACGAAAUAUUAAUUCUUGAGAUUUGUCAAUGAUUUUAGGAAGCAAUGAUACCUUCAACUACCGGAUUGCAUAUAUAAGUUAGUCUUAGCCAGUUAUAUAUCAGAGGAGGAAGCACGCAUUAAAUAAUAAAUAACUCAUGUUGAUUCAAUUGGUAACCUGGCCUCUAAAAAGAAAAGGACUCUGUGCUCAAAAAAUGAAAAAAAGUAGCCUGCUAAUAACAAUGUCGACACUUUACAUCUGAGCAGCUAGCUCCGUGAUGCUUUAUCUGGCUAGUGAACUACCUACCUAUGUUAUUUAAACAUUUUUGCUGCCUAUAAAUUGGGCAUCAUUUCAGCAGACCACCACAGCACCUGAGCUUGCCAUCUUUUCCUGUUCUAUCUCACUCAUUUGUCCUGUAGCUACUAGCUAAGCCACCAUAUCAUCCAUGGCUUCCGGUGCCUCCACCACGUUGAAGAUUGCCUCUAUCGCCGCUUGCAUCCUGCUGGUUCUGCUGUCCAAUGGCCACCCUACAGUGGCGACCGUUGAUUGUACUGCGGCUUGCAAAGAGCCGUGCGAGAGCUUUUCUAAGGGAUUCUGCGCGGGUGGAGCCACCAGCGGUUGUGCGACUAAGGCAGCAGCUACAGCAUGCCGCAAUUCGGCGUUCUCGCAGUGUGCGAACAACUGCUACACAGUUUGCACCGCCGGGACCAUCGCGCCUUGCGCUUGAAGAUGCAUUUGUGUUCCUACUUCCACAUUAUUGUUACUGGUGAGUGUGUGCAAGCAGGCCUGCCGUCCACGGGAGGAGGCACGCAAGCACGCAUGAUAAGCCACUGUCAUUUUUCCACUUUAUCAUUUACUUAUUGAAGGCAAUGUACGUGCCUAGCUCCUGUGUGGUUGAGCAUGUCAUCUUGGAAUUUUGUCCAAAGUUUAACAUACCAUGUUGUAUUGUUGUGUAUGGGUAUCAAUAUAAUUUAUCAACUAUUUUGCGUUUACCAUAGACAUUUCUAUGUUUAUUUGCAAGGGUUAGGGAAAUUUGUCCUUGAUAGUGUACUAACCGCGUCUGCCAACUGAACAGAUCAACUUUCUCAACAGCCUAUCUCCUCCUUGAAAAAAUAUUCGUUUUAGAAAUGGUUUGUUUCUUUUCUGUAUAGCUCUAUCACCCAUCACCGUGAGGGUUACAAAACUCGGCGCAAGCGUUCCAAGCUGUGGCGCCACAAACCACAUAAGCUGUGGCGCAAGGGUUCUAGCUGGCUAGUCACAAAAAACUAUUUCAUCCCGGAUGUCUUCCAUGCCCAUGGACCUGCCGCUUUCUUGAUCGAGUAAUCUAUGCCCAUGAAAGGGUUCGGUAUUUGUCUGAUCGAGGAAGACGAGGUAGCACAUUUAUGUGAAAGCAGUACUGGCGGACAUGAUGGUCGGUGGCCUAUUGAUUAUCUUCCAACUCCUUUAUGCCAUUAUCAGUACUACAGAAAUCAUUUGUAGGGGUGAAGUGUUUUUUUUUAGGGUGGACCAAAAGGUCUGCCGCCCCCAGGGGCGGAGCUACAGUCAACCAUCGAUGAUUUGGUCGCGAGCUCUUAUAUCCUUCCCAGGAGAACUGCCCAUACGUUGCUACGGAUAAAAAUAAUGUAUAUAAUUACAUUAAUCAUGAUUUGUUAUUUCAAAUGUGUGACAUAUUAUCGAAUUUACGUAUCUUUCUAUGCAUUUUUCGAACAAAGAGAUAUUUUUAUAAUAAUUUUAUCAGAUUAACAUGAGACAUAAUCUUCUAUGGUAUAUUAUGUACUCUAGUAUGUAAAUCUUAUGUUUGUUUGUGUAGUCUUCUACGUUGCUCGCUUUUUAUAAUAAAAGUAGAGAGAGGUGUGCGCCUGUGAACAACAAAAACCCAAAAAUGUACACAAUAAUCAAUAAAUUAUAAUUAUUAUUUUUUCCUAGAAUAAAAAUAUGGACUCAUCGAGCCCAUGAAAAGCGCAAGGAGGUGGCCCGGCAGCCCCAUCCAUCCAUCCAUUGUUAUCCACACUUGCUAAACAAAUGAAUUAAAAACAUAAUUUUAUCAACACAAGAGACGGAUUAAUUGUUUGGUACUGAACUUUCUUGGACGUUGCUGUUGCUGGAUUCGGCAUUAGGAAGGCGUCGCUCGGCCGUGCAGAGGUGCCAUUGUGGCUUUGUGGAGGCACCCCUACGUUGUGUCGGAGCGGAGCUGCAGGCAGCGUAAGCGGCCGGGUAGCACGCCACAACAUGCUAGAGACAGCGCCGAGCCUUGAGCCUUCGACUGGGGCUGCUUAUAGAGCCAACACCGCUCUGUAUCUUGCUCAGUGGAUGCGCGGACGACGGCGAGCGGCGCCUAGGAGAACUGCAAAUGCUCCUGCACACAUGCCCCAUGGGCCGGAACUGCACACUAACCCCCGCGAACGAUGGUAGUAGGGCAACAAAGCUGGCCAUGGCGCUGCUCGUUGAGCUUUCCGUGUGCGCGAACAGGCAUUUGAUAUGUUCCCUACAAAAUUAAAGGUUGUUUGAUUCAACGGUCAAAUAGUGCGAGCAUGUUAAUUGAUGCGAGUGUAUUGUGGGAACUGCCAAGGAACUGCAGGGCAUCGAGCAAGCAGUGGUGUUGCUCGGAAGUACCAGCACUAACGCGCUUUCCGAUGUGUCUCCAGCGGGGGUGGCAGCGUCUGCCUGCUGGGCAGCAGUUUCACCCUAUUCUGGGCAUCUCCCCACCCGUCUUGGCCAUCAUUACCUCUAGCAUCGUUAAGGUAUGGCUUCCUUUCAGCCUCGGCCGUUUCUUUCUCCAAUGACCGGUUAAAAGAUCAUUAUCUAAUCAACCAUUCACGUCGCCCAUAGUGUAGGCAACAGGCCAUUCUAUUGCGAUCCUCUGUCGCCUAUCGCUUCCCUUGAGAAUUUGAAGUCAGAAAUUCUUUUGUUUCAAUUUUGCUAGGUCCACUAGUUUUCUUAAAUCAGAAUCAAGUUGAAACCAGAAGAGCCUUGUUAGCUUCUUUGAUCUAUACUUCGUUGUAGCAAAUGUACAAUGACAACUCAUAUAAUGGUUGUUUCAUAUUCGAUCUGCAAGUCUUCUUCUCAUUCACACGAUGGAUGGCCAUAGGCACAAAGAGAAUUGAAGUAGUAGACCAUAAUCACUAUAGUAAAAGCUUAAAAUCUCAAAAUAUGUCAUCAUUUAUUUUUCAUUAUGCUAAAAGAUGGAGAUGAGGGCACACAGUCGUAGCUGCAAGUAAGGCCAACAGGCUCAAGGCCAUGGCUUUACAGCCAGCAGUCUUGCCUUGCAUGCACUCACGGACUAUUACCGGACUAGCAAUUGGUACUUUGACGCACUAUAUGGACCCUUACAAAAUUAAAAAAAUGAACGUCAACAAGCAAAUGAAACUGCAUGAACUGAAGUAGGGAAAUGAAGACCACGUACAGUUCUUAUUGAAGCUGAAAUGUAUGUCAUAAAAGUAUUAUUGUUAGAUUAAAGUCAAUUUAAAUAUUUAAACGAGUAACGAGGGCUCGGAUUAGUAGAAGGUGUUAGUGAGGCCCUCCAAUAGACCACUCAAUGAUUUUUAGAUCCAACUGUUUAUAUAGUAAGUUCGGAUAUUUAAUUAAUAAAUUGAAGUUGCCUUAAGAUAUGCAUAGUAAAUCACAAGACCAAAGUGGAAUAACCAUUAGACAACUAAUAAAACCAUCAUUAAGUUUUUGUCUACUUUUAGCAAUAUUGCUUAGGUUUUCUAUUUCGUCUAAAUAUAUCUUAAGCGGCUCAUAUGUCCGAAUUACCCACACAGUGAAUAAAUGUCAUUCCAGUUCAAGGAUUCAUGUGCAGUUGUCACACACUAGUGUGAACCCAUCAAGUGUGUGUCUUGCUUCCCUUUUCAAUCAACAAGCUACCUCCCUGAUUUGAAUAUAAUGAACUUAAAUGCUUCAGUUUCUAUGGUCCAUUGUUAUGUGAUGGACAUGAAAAAUGAAAAAUAUAGCCUACAAUGUUCAAAAUGCAUCUGAAGUACUAGGGUAUAAAAUAAGCUCACUGCCAUCCAAGUACAAGGGUUAACAACUAGAAAUAUAACCUUUAUUGCUAUCUGUAAACAAAAUAUGCCUGUUGAAUUACAUGUCGGGAAAGGUGAAUGCACGGAUUAACGGCUAGUAUUAGCUAAUUUUGUUGUCUUUUUUGUUAAUAACUAGGUUUCCAAUGCCAAACUCUGCGUAAGGGUUCAGCAACUGGCUACAUAUUGGAAAGGAGUUACUGUUGGUGGCUAGACCUCAUUAGAGAUAACUAUUUCAUCCCUGAUGCCUUCCAUGCCUAUGGAUGUACCGCGUGCUCGAGUAAGCUAUGGUUGCAGAUGGAUCUUAAACCUGAUGUCAAAUUGUGGAUAAUUGAAAGAGUUUGCUGUUUGCCUGCUUUAGGGAAGAUGGGUAGCACGUUUAUAUGCCAUUAUUUCUCAUGAAAGCGUGCAUAUACCAUGUUUGUCGGAGCAAGAUGAGGCUGUAGAGUAGUAGACGUGUAGAACAAUGGUACAGGUUGUAUGAAUAAUUUAUCGAAGGGGAUCAUAGACGCCACAGCCACUGAAGCUGUUGGGGCAUGAUUAGUCAAUGGUCUAAUUCCUGAUAUCUCCGUAUCCUAAUUCUCUGAAGCCUUACGGACUCUACCCUCAUCACUUCAUGUAUAUUAGUGUUUAUAAUAGCGGUUUUAUAACAAGUGCUGAAGGUAUUGGUCCUGCUAUAUCUUGCUUCCACUACCGGAUUUGUGUACAAAAUAUUAAUUCUUGAGAUUUGUCAAUGAUUUUAGGAAGCAAUGAUACCUUCAACUACCGGAUUGCAUAUAUAAGUUAGUCUUAGCCAGUUAUAUAUCAGAGGAGGAAGCACGCAUUAAAUAAUAAAUAACUCAUGUUGAUUCAACUGGUAACCUGGCCUAUGUCACUCGGAUACACCGUUUCUCUGAGGUGUUCCAGGAGGCGUAAGUUGUGGAACAAUUCCGCAACUCUUUAGAUGAUUGCUAAACUCGUGGCUCAAAUACUCGCCUCCACGAUCAGAUCGUAAGGCUUUAAUUUUUUUGCCAUGCUGAUUUUCAACUUCAUUCUGAAAUUCCUUGAACUUUUCAAAGGUUUCGGACUUGUGCCUCAUCAAGUAGACAUAGCCAUAUCUACUAAAAUCAUCAGUGAAAGUUAUGAAGUAUUGGAAUCCUCCUCUAACCUUCGUGCUCAUUGGUCCGCAUACAUCACUAUGUACGAGUUUCAACAAGUCUACUGCUCUCUCAGAAAAUCCUGUGAAAGGUGUCUUGGUCAUCUUGCCUAGCAAGCAAGCCUCACAUAUCUCGUAUGAUUCAAAAUCAAACGAAGUUAGAAGUCCAUCAGAAUGGAGCUUCUUCAUGCGCUUUUCACUUAUAUGACCCAAACGACAAUGCCACAAGUAGGUAGGACUCAAAUCAUUAGGCCGAGGCCUUUUAGCACUUACGUUACAGACAGGUGAACCAUCAAGAUUUAAAACAAAUAAUCCAUUCACAAUGGGCGCAAAAGCCAUAAACAUAUCAUUCUUAGAGAUCACACAACCAUUGUUUUCACUCGCAAAUGAAUAACCAUCCUUCAUCAAGCAUGAAGGAGACAAAAUGUUUCGACUUAAACUAGGAAUGAAAUAACAAUUAUUCAACUCCAUAAUAAAUCCUGACGGGAGGUGGAGUUGCAUCGUCCCGACGGUCAACGCAGCAACUUCUUGCAUUAUUGCCCACGCGGAAAUCAACUUCUCCUCUUUCCACACUUCUACUUCUUAUCAUUCCCUGCAUCGAAUUGCAAAUAUGAGCAACCGAUCUGGUAUCAAAUACCCAAGAAUUAAUAAUUAUCUAUAACAUUAACAACAAGCGUACCUGAGGUAGAAGUAUUCUUACUUCCGCCAUUCUUCAACGAAGCUAGGUAUUGCUUGCAGUUUCUCUUCCAGUGACCAGGUUCGUGACAAUAAAAGCACUCUUUGUCUGGAGUAGGCCCAGCUUUAGCCUUGGGCGCUGGGUUUGGCUUAGACAGUCCAGCCUUACCCUUCUUCUUCCAAAAAUUGCCCUUCUUAUUGAAGGUAGGCUUGUUCUGUACAGCCAUCACAUGGUUGGUACUAGCGCUUUUCUUAAUGUCUACCUCUGCUGUCUUGAGCAUACCAUAUAGUAUAUUCAGACCCUUCUCCGUCCCAUGCAUAUGGUAGUUCGAGAUGAAGUUCCCAUAGCUAGGCGGAAGAGAUGAAAGAAUGAAGUCAGUGGCCAACUCUUUGCCCAUUGGGAAGCCCAUCUUCUCCAAUCGCUGAGUGUAACCAACCAUCUUGAUUACAUUUGGUCCUACUGUUGCGCCUUCUGCUAGCUUGCACUCCAGAAAGGCUUUGGACACAUUGAACCUUUCAGUCCUAGCCUGUGUCUAGAACAUGUCCUUGAGCGCCACGAUCAUAUCGUGUGCCUCAUGAUUUGUUUCGAACUGCAUCUGCAGCUCGGGUUCCAUGCAAGCAAGCAUAAGGCAGCUUACCUCAAGAUUAGCAUCAAAUGCCUUCUUGUAAGCAGCCUUAACGGCAGCAGAUGAAUCAUCAGCAGGUACUGGUGGUAGUGGGGUGUCUAGAACAUCUUCCUUUUUAUCGGCCCUGAGAACAAUUCUCAGGUUACGGAUCCAAUCCGAGUAGUUUGUUCCAUUCAACUUGUCCUCUCAAGGACCGAACGCAAAGCAAAUGGUGUGGUGUUGCUAGGUGCCAUUUAAUCUACAACAAAAGUAAUGCAAAAUACACUAAGACAAACAUAUCCAUGAUAGAGCAAAUCACAUUAAACUAUGUUAACAGAAUCUACUCCCACUAAAAUCAAUAUCCCUCUAUUGAUACUUAGUGAUUCAGGAUCCACAACUAACAAGUCUACUAGUGAGCUUUAGCAUCACCGCUAGCAAACAAAGUAGAUCGGUAAGCAACUUUUCCUAAUCAUAUCACAUAUGACUCCUGUUGUUGGGUGACAUCUCCAUGUCUCGGCGCCCAACCUUUAUGCCCCAAGGUCCUUAAACGUUAAGUUAACCUUGUUAAGCAAACCAACCCUUAUGCAUGUAAGUGUGCGACACAAACCCGUCUAAUCAAGAAAAACUAGUGGCACCCUAAUUUCAUAGACCCACCACUAAUUGUACAAGACAUGGGACGGUGCAAGUUUUAGUUGGGAGGGCAUACUAACUUAAAAUUUGUGAGGGAUCGUUCUACUUCUAACAUCACAGCAUGCAGAAAGUAAAACAUAAACAGAAUAGCAUUCACACAGUUGUGACACAGUAUGACCCGUUUUCUUAUGGUGAUCUUCAUCUCCAUAGAACCUGUUCACCAUGGUGAUCUCCAUCUCCAUGUUCCAUGUGCGCCAUCCUCUUGGUGAUGAGUCCUCCAAGAACUAGAACAUGCUAUUACGCCUAAUAGCUAGUAAAAAGCUAGUAAUGAAGAUUACAUAGUUGGUUGGAUCAUCACAGAUUGGUACGCAGACCAUUAAAUACAUUAAGGUAACAACACAUAUGGCUCCUGCCGUGUUGCCGUACGCACGACACGCAGGUCACGAAUGAGUUACACACAUGCAUCACAUACACAAAGGGGCCAUACUGAUCACAAGAUACAUACAUCUUGCAAAACAGAGUUAAGCGUCCUAACGUUCCAAACUUUGGAGGCCCGAAACUCCAUCUUCCAAGCCGAAUUUGGGAAAUCUAAUGUCGCCGAAAAUGGCGAAGCAGUCGAAUUUCAUGUGUAACUUUUUCUGUAGAUCAAUUUUUAUAUAAAAUUCGCCCCGAUCCGAGAUCGUAUCGAAAAGUUACGGCUGAUUUACCGAAGCAUACGCACACGGCAAAAUCCCGACCCCGGCAGUAGAUCCCAUCUACUAUUGCACAUCUCAUGUGCCUGGCGUAUGAACCUAGAUUUCGAUUCGACCAAUCACAUUGAUCUUCGCUCACUGCAACUGGAAUUACGUGUAUCACCUAACUCCGAUGGUGGAAACCCAACCGGUAGGAGUAUGUCGUUACACUACCAUAGCAGCAAGAACACGAAACCAGGACGGAGAUCAAAUUGAAAACUCGCAUAUCUCCAUAUGCACACAUCCCAAAUCCAAAACUAAACAGCUACGGCUCUGAUACCACUGUCGGGAUACGAGGUAGGCUACACUAGCGCAAAUAAAAAAUUUUCUACCGCGUAAACCAGGGAAACUGCCGUAUAAGGAUCACGGGAUUACCACUCGACACACUACUAGUGCGCAAGAUGUAGAUUCACGUCGAUGCAGCGAAGUCGAUCAACGUAGUCGUAUGUAGUCGAUCACGUCGACGUCCAACAGCUCCUCAGCAGCUCGUCCACGUGCAGCAAGAUCUCCCUCGUGCCGCGGCUUGUCGGCGGCUCGUCACGGCUCGUCGGCGGCUCGUCCAAGUGCUGCAGGCGCAACACCUCCAAGGUAUCCACACGUGCAGGGAGGAAGCGUCACAAGCCGGACUGCUAGAUCCGUAAGUUGCAACAGGCGUGGGAGGCGCGGCUGAUGAGUUUCGUCAAAAUGGUGUAAACCCUAGGGCGCCCCCACCCCUCUAUUUAUAGAGGUUCCUAACGGGCCUCUGGGUCCGAGGCCCAUUAGUACUUCUAAACCUAAUCCAACUCGGAUCACAUCCGAAUUGGGCUUCCAGCCCCUUAAGUGUAUGACCCUAUGGGUUCGGAUACGUAUAGACAUGGCCCGAGUACUCUUACUCGGCCCAAUAGUCGGUAGCGGCCUCUAGCAAGACAUGCCAACUCCUAGAUGCACACGAAGAUCAUAUCAGACGAACCAUCACAACAUUAUAUACAUGCUAUUCCCUUUGCCUCACGAUAUUUUGUCUAGCUUCAAGCCGACCGCUCUUUCUCGAUCCUGUGAUUCGGAAUCCCUUUGUAGGUUAACUCUUAACCGUACGUAGCAUGGCCAUGCAUUUUUGGAUCCGAUCACUCGAGGGGCCCAGAGAUAUCACUCUCAAUCAGAGAGGGGCAAAUCCCAUCUUGAUUAACCAUGUCUCAUAGCAUGCUUCUUGACAAAACCGAAAGCUACCUUUAUAACUACCCUGUUACGGCGUAGCGUUUGAUACCCUCUAAGUAGGUCGAUCCACAUCUUGAAUACAUGCGACAAUCUCAGGUCUAAGGACAAAGCGUAUAUGAUGUUUAAAGAGAGAACUACUUCUCAUGUUGGGUCAGUCCUAGCACAUGUCUCCACAUGAACCCACAUUAUUAGUUCAACAUCUCCAUGUCCAUGACUUGUGAAACAUAGUCAUCAACUAAUACAUGUGCUAGUCUAAUAUUCAUGUGUGUCCUCACAUGAACUCCGACUAGGGACAACUUUAGAAUAACCAUACAAGUAAAGAGUUUCACACACAAUUCAUGUAAUUGCAAAUCAAUUCAAGUAGUCUUUAAUGGAUAUUCAAGGAACACAACAUAAAUCAUGGAUACAAAUGGAAUAUCAUCAUCUCUAUGAUUGCCUCUAGGGCAUACCUCCAACAAUUUGCAGGGUCAUGCACCAUGCGUGCGGCGACCCAUCCAUCGGACAGCGCAUGGCAUUGCACAAGACGUACUGGGAGGAUAUGCAGUGGAAUGAGCCAGACAGGUACUACGCCCUCCUCGCUCUGCUGGUUGGUUUGGGGAACCUGGAGGCCUGCACCAUCAAAGGGAUUGUAGAUUUCUUCGCCGUCCCCCGGCCAUCCCUCCAAAAGCUUUCCCGCACCACACCGGGUGGGCAUGAUGUGAGGGCCUAUCUUUACGCCCUAAUGAUAUACAGGAACAACAGUGCAAUCAUGGACGAUGACAUUGCGAAGAGAUAAAUCUACCACGUCGAAUGCAAGGAUGGUUCGGCAGUGAGCGGGAGCACAAGCUCAAAGAAGCUGCGCAACGAUGCCUGUCAGGUGUGCCGCGAGGAGGCCGCCUACCUAGUCAAUAGAGUUACAUGGGGCGGGCAUGGUGAUCCGCUUUCACCGGCACCAGUUUGAGGCGACUUCCCUUGCACUGGAGGCGACUGCGGCAAGGUUAAGGGCUGGGAACAAGCUACGCUUUAUUGCAACGAGGACUAUAGGAUACGCCAUGAAAUUGUAGCGUUCAAAAGGAGAAUGGAGAUCGAUAACUAAUUGUAGGAUUUCUUUUGCUUUUGCCUAAUGUUGUCCAUGACUCGUUGGCUGAACUUGUAGUGCUGGAACUAUGUUUGUGGUUAAUUUGGAUCAACUUGUAGUCACUACAAGGUUUUGUCUAUCCAAUGGAGUUGUAUUUUCGCAAUGUGUUUUUGUGUCUAAGCACACCUUACACCUCCCUACAUAUAGGUGUUAUGAUGCACAUAUAAAAAGAACCCACACUUGGGUACCUUCAUUUGUCCUUGGAUUUCAAUUGUGGGACCCACUACAUCCCGCCAGGUUGUGCCUCAAAUUUUUAGUACUAGUGCAAUGUUUCCUCCAUUCUUUUUUUCCUAGACCCUCAAAUAUAUCUCAGCCUCUACCCCACUUGCCCCCAAAACUGCGCUGGCUGCGUUAGGGGGGGCAACGGUUCCUCUCUGCCCAAGCGACUCCAUCCAUGGCAACUCCUCCUUCCAUGGCGACUCCUUCCAUGGCCGGCGAUGGAGAACCCAGCACACGACCAAGUACGGUCAGAGUCGAGGAAGCCGAUAUUGAAAACAAAUGUUACAGGUUCGCAUCCACCUUUAACGCCUUCUAGGUUAGGGCAGAAAAUUUCUACACAUUAAUUGCGUACAAUCGAUUUGAUGCUGCCUCAUUGGCGCAUGCUUUUAUAAAUCACAGAUCUGAUUACUACUGAUUAGUUUUUCGCAUAGCACUAGUAGUACUACAUCUUCAUUCAUUGAUGCAAGGGUUUUGAUAUCUAUGUGCACAUACAGAUCAGAGGAGUUGACAGGCUAGAUGGAUGUGGCAGGUAAUGGUACAGUGCCUGGGGGCAGAAGGACAAGAUGUGCGCCUGGUUAAGGUAAUAUUGAUAGCGCACAAUUAGACUUUGUCAGCUUGUGGGAUUACAAAGAUCAACUUCGAUAUGGUGCGUGGGACUACUACUACUACAAGAAGAGAAUAGGAAAUGCUGAUGCAUCUGUUCAGUCAAUUGGUUACCCCAAAGAUGUAGAGUGUAUGUUUCAGUACAUGGAUUCAUCUGAAGAAAGGAAACUAAGGUUGAUACUAUCAAAACAAGAAUUGGUUGGAGCUGUCAACAUUACACCCCUGAAACAACCAAGGGUGAAUGAGUCUGAUGAUGUUACUGAUGCUGAUACUAGUAAUGAUGAAUCACUUGAUGAAUACAAAGAUUGUCUUCAAGACCAAGACCUAGAUUGUGGUAUGUAUGCUGUUUGUACUACACUAUGCACAUGUGUCUAUAACUGUACAAUGUACUCACAUAGUUGUGUUGGUAACUUGCAGAUCUAUACGAUAACUAUAGGGAAGAAAUAGUAAAAACAUACUCUAAAUGGUUAAGGCAGAAAGGCCUUAUGAGAGAUAUUUGUAAAUCCUUUUUCCUCUGAACUAAUUCUUAUUUUUGAUGAAAAUUGUACAAUCGUCUAAGUGCACUUGUUUUUUAUUUGUUCAGUGGCUUAUAAUAGAGGUCAAGCAAAGCUUACAGAAGUACGUGAUGAGAGCAAUGGUAGUAGCGCCACGCCACCAUCACAAUGGCCAGCACAUGCUAGGAAACCAAAGCAGACAAUAGGUUCUAAAAGCUAAAGCUUCACACCUUCUGUAGUUUUUUAUGCUCUUAUUGUGCACGACUUAAUGUAAGUUUCUAUUUUUUGAUUGUAAUUAGGUGGCAAGAAAAUGGACCGAGAAUGCUUGAAAGGGCUAGCUGUGGUGGCCAAGAGAUCGAAGUCUGGCUCAUAGAAACUGAAAAUCAAAUUUUCCAAAAAUGUGGGUGGUCCCUGUGGAGAUAACAGACGUACCUUUGUGGAUGAGGUUGUUCUGUUUACAAAGUAGAAGGCUCCAUUAAUUGGAGUUAGAAAUUGGAAAGAUGUGUGUCAGCAUGUCAAGGAUGAUAUCGUAGAAUCUGUAAUGGUAUGUCAAUGGCCACCUCAUCCUUCAUUAUAAUGUUAUAUAUUAGUCUUGUUCCCUCUAUUUUCUUGGAAACAUAUAUUUUGAAUGUAGCAUACAUAACAAGUUUUCUUUCCCACUAGGAUCAUUGGGACCUUGAGACCACUGAGAGUCCGAACAAAAAGAUAUGGAAGGUUGCCAAUGAACGCUACAAAAGUUGGCGAUCUGUUUUGCAUUCUACAUACAAGGCAUACAACAGUUAUGAUGAGAGAAGGAGACAUAAGCCUGAAGACAUAGACAUUGUGAAGUGGCACUAUUUGAACAUGUACUUUGGAACUAAGGACUUCAAGGUAGGCCCUCUUUUGUAAGUAAAAGAACACAAUCAUGAGUUCAACUUUUCAUCGCUAACCAUUACUUUACGGGAUGACUGUGUAGAGUAGGAGCAGCAUGAACUCUUUGAAUCGUAGCCAACUGAGAACAAAUCACUCGGGGGGUUCCAAACCUUUCUCGUAGUGGAGUUGGGAAAAGGUAAAGAUUUGUUUACUUAUUCUCAACUUUCAGUACAUUACACAAUGAUAUAUUAAUAGCGUUUAAUGUUGUAAUCAUAGAGAGAUCCAGUAACUGGCGAUGAGCCACCCCUUUUGGAACUUUGGAAGACUACUCAUACUAGGGAAGAAAGAUGGACAAAUCACCUAGCUGAAAGUAUUUAUGUGUGUACUGAGUGCUAAUUUGAUCAUAACAUUGAUUCGGCAUUACAAGCUAUUUUUUGGUAUGAAAACAUGACCAAAUUAAUGUUACAAUUAAUUGUUUCUUGCCAUCAGACAUGUACAUCUAGAAAAUUAUCUCAACACAAUCAGAUGAAGAAGACCAACAAGUCAUACUUCUGGACUUGCUAAGGAAGACCAAGUUUUCUAGGAAACGUACAGGGAAACAACAGGAGCCAAAUAUAGAAGGUCACGUGGCCAUGGUUACUUGUCGAAUCCAAAACGAAAGCAAGAAGCCCUUCAGGAGAGAAUGAUUCAGGAGAGAAUAGAGAGGCCCGAAGAACAAGAAUGUCAGUUACAGGAAAAAAUGCAAAAGCAUGAAGCUAAAAAGGAAGCAGAGAUCGAACAACUUAAAGUUGCACUUAGCCAAGAAUUGAUGGGGGAAGUUGCUAGAAUGAUCGCGCCUUAUCGUCAGGCUUUACUGCAAGAGGUAACCAGAAUAUAAUUUGUGCAUGUUGAUUUAUGUUGUGUUCUAAAUUUUCAUAAUGUCACUAAUGUCUAGCCUCCCCUCUUUUAAAAUCCGCAGCGUACCCCAGCAAACAACAAUAAUACAACUGAAGUUGAUGCUAGGACCACCGAGGAUAACAUUGAUGCAAGGCCAGUACUGGACAGCCAAGAAAUAAGGAACCAUGUAUCGACAAUAAUUGGUUGUGAUUGAAAAUAUAUAUACAUAUGUCGCUAAUCUCUUGCCUGCCCGCUUUUAAAUUGUGCAGCAUACCCCUCAAACCAACAAUAAAACAACUGAUGAUGAAGCUGGGAGCACUGAGGAAAACCUUGCUGCAACACAAGUAGUGCAUAGUCAAGAAACAUCAAACCAGGUAACAAUAUCGAACAAGCAUUCCAAUCAUGAUGGUUUUUUGCAUUAAAUUUCAGCUAAAAUUGUUCCAAAAACUUUAUUAUGAUCCAGAAUGCUCCAAGAACCAUUGUCACAACCGAAAAAAGCACUUUGGCACCAACCAGAAAUGCUAAAACUGCCAACGUUGCAAAGAGUCUGUUCAAUGAGAAUCACGGUAAAGGUGUAGGAGUUGUUGCAGGAUCCAGAUUCAUUAGUACACAUCAGCUUAUAUCUGGUGCUAAAACUCGAGCAGGCAUAAAGAAAGUACAACAGGUACAAACUGGAAGUGUGCUUUCAAUAUUGCUGCAUAUUGAUUCCAAGACAAAGUAGCUUCAUAAGUUUUAAUUCACUUGUUUGUUUCUCUUUGCUUCAGCAGGCUAGUGAAGCUACGGAGGGGCAAUAAGACUCAAGGUUGCCUACAGGUUACAAGCAGAACUUCAAGCAAAGUUGAUCAUCAUGAAUGCUGGGAGUGAUCAAGAUUAUAGAUGUGUACGAAUAAUAUAGGUGUUCUACAUACUUUAUUAUUGGGAGUCAUGUGGAUGAAUGGACAAGAAUAUUUUCCGUUGUAUUAAAAAAUAUGAUGACGACAUAUUUUCCGUUGCGAUAUCCAUUGAGCGUAUAACCACGACCCGUAUUGUGUUGCACUAUCCUGUACGCAUAUAACCACGACAUAUUUUGAUGCGAUAUGGUUGAUGCAUAUAACGACGGCACAUACCUCGUUGUGAUACCUCGUGAGCAUAUUACAACGCUUUCUCAUCAUUGCGAUAUCCAUUGAGCGUAUAACCAUGACCCGUAUUGUGUUGCAAUAUCCUGUAUGCAUAUAACCAUGAUAUAUUUUGUUGCGAUAUGGUUGAAGCAUAUAACGACAGCACAUACCUCGUUGCGAUACCUUGUAAGCAUAUUACAAUGCUUUCUCGUCGUUGCGAUAUAAUUUAAGCAUAUAACGAUGACCCAUAUUUCGUUGCGAUACCCUUUAAGCAUGUUGCAAUGUCAUAUUUUGUUGGAAUAUGGUUGACGCAUAUAGCCAUGACUAGUAUUUUGUUGAGAUAUCCUCUUAGCAUAUUGCAAUAGGAUAAGUCUUGUAUUGCAACAACAUUCUUGUGUUGCAUUAACGCUUGUUUGCAACAGCGCAAUGUCGUUGCAAUAGCCACUAUAGCAACGACGCCUGCCAUUGCAAUUAACAAAAUUGCAACGACAAUGGACGUUGUAAUAUCCACUUAUUACUACGACACACAUCGUUGCAACAACUCACCCUUAUGCCCACGGCUUCCUGUGUCAUUGUAAUACCCUAUUACAACGCAAGUUUACGCAACGACAUGAAUUUUAAGGCAACGACACAAAAUUAUCGCAAUAGCUCGCUAUUGCAAUGAAAUGACCCCUAUUGCAAUGAUUUCGUGCUGUGGUGCUAGUGACAAAACCUUGUAGUGAAUGAUUUGGCUGCUAGCGUCACUUGGCCUACCCAACUCCCUCCGGGUUGGACGGUUGAGUGGGAUUCCUCCUCAGACGGCGAGGAUAGGGGUCAUUGAUGUCAUGAUCGGCUUCGUCAUGAUAUCGUGUAUCGACGUUUAGUUUCCGCAUGUUUUACUUCUUUGUUGUUUGAAACCGUGCAAACUCUGAUCUAAUAAAUUAUUGAUCUUUCUAUAAUAUGAACGGAAUGUUUUAAUCUCUGUAAGCACUAACCUUUGUGUGAGCAAUGCUUAUCGAUCCUGUAUAUGUGGUUUAUCAGAGGAAAUCCAACGGUCGACUAAGUUGACUUGUUUAAGGUGCUUGAUCGCGUGUUAGGUGACUUAAGUGCACUUUAGCUAGGUUAAUUUUAGACCAUUCCGCCACAACAUGGAUACUUUUUCCUCUUGGUUGCAUCAACACCUUAUAGGUAACUCUGAGAUUCACCCACAACUCGCUUGGUUAGCUAAGGGACCUUCUAGCACAAUCGUGAAAUUCCAAGGCUACAAGAUAAAUGAUUAUACAUUUUACACGAGAGCCCAAGACCAAAAAAGCACGAACCAAAAUAGUGGUGUCCGCAUAGAUGUCAUACACAGCACCGGUAGCAAGGACUCCUAUUAUGGUUUCAUAGAGGAGAUAUGGGAACUCGAAUACAGACCGCUGAACAUCCCUCUGUUUUGUUGCUAAUGGGUGAAGCUAACUGGCGUAACCAAAGAUCAGCAUGGAAUAACAAUAGUGGACCUAACCAAGACUGGAUACAAUGAUGAACCAUUCAUACUUGCCAAUGAUGUGCAUCAAGUUUUCUAUGUGAAGGACAUGUCUAGCAAACCAAAAAAAAUUCAGAAGAGCCAUGGAAGCCAAAGCGCCACAUAGUGCUUCUAGGUAAGAGAAAAAUCAUGGGAGUCAAAGAACAAAAUAGAGCAAUCAGAUCAUUAUGAUUAGUUUGAUGGCAUGCCUCCAUUCGCUAUUGAAGUUGACCCAAGCAUCAUGCCAAAGAAGAGGCUCCGUACUUACGCCAUGAUCAUGACCAAGGAACUUUCAUGAAGAAGUUUCUUAACGUUACAUUGUAAUGCACUAAAUAUGCUUCACCUUUAUGUAAAGUUACAUUGUAAAGUUCUAUGAUUUCAUGUACUACUUGAUACAAUUUUUAAUUUAAUGUAUCUAUGAUUUCAUGUGUGUUUAAAUUAGGUGAGGUGAAGAAUUAUUCAAAAUAUGUUUUUUGAUAUAUUUUUGCAUGUUUGAAAAAUAUAAAGUUUUUAUUUUUUUCUAUAACAAAGCCAGUUCAAAACAUAUAUUAAUUUGUAUGUUUAAAUUAGUUGAGGUAAAGAUUUAUUCGAUCAAUAUGAACAAUGUUAACCACAUACAUCAAUUGAAUUUUUCACAUGUUGAAAUUAUUUAAUUGAAUAAUUUCUUGAUGAUAGUGAUGUAGUAAAAUAAUUAUUUUAUAAACUAAAAGAACUAGUAUAGAAUUAAUGACUCAUUCAAACUUAUUGUUAAUAUACUUGCUAAUUUAAUAUAGUUUUGCAUGUUCCAAAUAUGUAAAGUUUUUAUUUUUUCCUUCCUAAAAUCCAGUGAAAACAUAUAUAAAAUCUAUUUGCAAAAAAUAGGCGAGAACUGAAAAAUGGAAAACGAAUCUUUAUCCUAGAUGCAAAUUGCAUCUAGGACAAAAUGUCCCCCCUUUAGGCCCGGUUGCAAUUUGCCACUAGGAUAAAAGGGUAAUUUUCGCCUCCCACGCGAACGUACCCUUUUGUCCUGGUUGUAAAUUGCAACCGGGACUAAAGGGGGGGCCUUUUGUCCGGUUGCAAUUGGCACCCAGGACAAAAGGACCCUUUAGUCCAGGUUGCAAUUUGCAACCGGGAUAAAAAGGGUCGUAAAAGUAACAUUCAUCUUCUCCACCCUCCACCCUUCAACACUUAGCGAAAUUUUCACCACUCUCCAGGAUCUACCGCGCCCGUCCGCCUCUGAUGCCGCUGGUCUCUCAUCCCCGCCCGUCCGCCUCCAUCGCCGGCCGCCGUGCUACUCAUCACCCGCCUCCAUCCCACUGUCGCCUCCUCCAUCGCCCGACCCGCCACCGCCUCCUCCGUCGCACCCUCUCGUCGCCACCGCCUCCGGUGCGCCCCCUCAUUGUCACCUCCCUCCGCGCCGCCUCUGUGGUGAAACCGCCCAACUUAAGCUGGUUUAAGUGCACCUAAUCGCUGUCGGGACAACAAUUAUUCGAAACACACCUAAAACAGCAUAAGUCCGGUAGUCCGUCGAGUGUCCCUAGGACUCCUCGAAAGAUCCACGACGUGUCUCAUAGCCAUACACCAGGAUCGCUUCCUCGAUGGGAAGGCAUCAACAAACAUUACAUUUUUACAUACAUACCGGGGUACGAAUUAUUACAUACCAUAGUUUGAAACAAACUUAAUAGUGCAGGUUAGCGCGGUUCUAAGAGUUCAAAACAUGAACCAGUCUAGGUGAAAGAUAAACAUUUAAGUUUUAUUUCUAGGGUAUUUCGAGACUCGUAAAAUACCCUAGUUCUUCGGAGCUUCUUCCUCAGCGGACUCCUGUUGUGGCUCUGAAAUAGCAACGAGGGAUAACCCUGAGUAUAGGGUACUCAGCAAGACUAACCCGACUAACCAAUAUAAUAGCUUUUCUGGAAUUGCAUGAAAGCCUUUCAGUGUACUGGCUGACUCAUAUUUUUGCCAAAAGAGCUUACUAAAGUGAAACCUUAACUUUGUCUUUUACUUCAAUUGAGUUAUUACCUAUCCAAUCUAGAUAAUGAAAAAGAAAUACUUUUGCAAACAGUAGGAAAUUAAGUCAUACAACAAAUUAAUUGGAAAGACAUUGCAUUCAUGAGAUUACACUACGAUGCUUAACAGCGAUCUAGCGCAUUCAUAACCGAGAAUUGCGGCGAUCCGGAUCAAUUACAUCCUAUAGGAGAGCACCCUGAUCACCAGCUAUGUACAACUGUCCGGGUCGUACAUAACGACCUUUCGAUUAGCAUACCCAAAGAUUGGGAAUAAGACUACCCGAACCCAGGGACGCACCCCCACAUGGGACCCCAUGUCUGGCCCGAUCUCCAUGUGAGUUUUUAGGCUAUGCCCCUGCCAAUCUCCAGCACGUCAAGCACGGGUACGAAAUAUUCCGGAUCAGAGAGUUUACUAACCUACCGGGCUUUACUGGUCCCAUACCCAGUAAGCAACCAGGUGACAUUCACUUGAUCAAAGGUUAAGACAACGAUCGGGCCUUAACCAAAUUAAUCUAGCAGACAGAACUAACAUCUCUAGCUUCUAUCGGCUUUCCAAAUUUCCAAGCUAACUUUCCAUAUCUAGCAUGUAUGACCCAACAAUUUACCUUAAGGUUCGGUAACCAAGUUACUUUCAGUAUCUAAGCAUUGCUAAGCAUGGGUUAAUUACUAAUUAUUGAACAAGUGGCAAAGAUGUCCUUAAAACAAGGCAGGAUCAUGCACAAGAAUAGGUUUCAAUCAACUCCUAGACUUAAUGCAUUGAUAAAAGAAAUAACCAAUAAUUGAACACAUGAAAUAAUAACUCCAAAACAGAUAGGUAUAGAUGCACCGGGGCUUGCCUGGGAUCAACAAAUGUUAGUUCUUCGGAAAACCCCUUUAGUAAAAGAGGCACUUCAACAUUUCUCGGACUCUGUCAAUCUUCAGAUGAAUUCCACGAAUUCCACUUCAGAAGCUUCGAUGUCUAUGAUUUAGUACAUGCAGGAGUUAGAGAUGCAAACUUUUGAAUACAUGACUAUACAACUUUCCUUCAUGAUAAAGUUGCAAGCCAACAAGUGACUAUACAACCUAUCUUCACAAUAAAGUUGCAAGCCAACACUAAUCUACCCAUAACAUCUAACCCACGAUUUUUUAAUCUCUUUACUAACCUGCCUUAAGCCCUUUCUUUUAUUUUAGAAAAGCAUUACAAAUAUUUUCUAAUCUCAAAAGUUAUUUCCUAUGAUUUAAUAAUAAUUUGUGAAUAAGAAAACAUUAUUCAAUAUUUUAUGCAUUUAAUAAAGGUUAAGCAUUUAUUUAAAUAACUUAAUGACGCAUUAAAUAAAUACCUAAAUUUUAUUAUUUUUCCUAGGGUAUAAAAAUUUGAAUGCAUAAAGGAAAAUAAAAUAAUCCUAACAAAAUUGGUCUCACUAAUUUUGGACACUCCUAGAAAUUUCUGUGAUUUAAACGGUGUAAACCGAAUUUUAAUGUUCUUUAUCUAUAAAAGGAAAACCUAAUGUUUAUCCAAAUAACCCCGGCCUAACCUUUCUCACUCGUACUAGGCCCGUUAAGCUGGUCCACCUACUCCCGGUCUCUACCUUAUUCUACUCGCCGGCCCAACGAGCGCCCAAACUCUAACGAGCCUCCUCACGACCGGCCUGCUCUCCGCACAGGCCAACAGCCCAACUUCCUCCUCCCUACCCAUGCCUGACGCAAGGGCCUUUUUUUUUUGGGGCCAGCCCACCCCGUUUCUUUCCCCCUUCACUUCCACCUGGGCCUCCAACCGACAAGCCCCUCUCAACUCCCCUGGCGCAUAGGCCAGAACAGGGGCGCGACAGGCAGGGGGCGGGGCUCGCCGACGGCGCCUCCCCGGCGGCGUGGCCGGGCUGGGGGCAUCCCGAAACCGGGGCACACCCACGGGCGGUGGCGGCCCUCCAGGAGGCGGCCUGUGCCGAGCCCUCCACGGUGGCGGCGGCAAAGGCCGGCGGCCGGCCGGCGCAAAGCCCGACGGUGGCGCAAAAACGGCCUUCGGUGCCCCCCCUAUGGACCCUAUUCGACUCAGCAAGCUCUGCAACCCAAGGAAUCGAGCAAAAGGGGCAGCACGGAGAGGCUCACCAAAGAACUAUGGUGGCGGCUGGCGGAUUAAAAUGGUGGCGAUUCGGAGCUUUGACGAUGAGGAAACAGAAAUCGGAGGGGCGUGGACGUUGCGGUGGGGCUAGCGAAGCGUCUGGCGGGCGGAUUCGCGAAGAGAAGCGAAAGCGACGGAGCGAGGGUGUUGGCCAGCGGCGGCGUUGCUUUCCCGAGCUUUGGCUCGCAUGGCAGUAGAAAUGGCAAAGGGUUAAAUGGGAUGAGGGUGAGGUGGUAAAGAUACAUAACUUUUACCGUGCAUGUGUGCCACCUCGAUGACCUGCAGGCCUGCGUGGGCGCGGACGUGGUUGUUGCGCUGGUCGACGGGCAGAGGUGCCGGCGGCGGCACGGCUCUGUCCCCUAUUUCUUCUUUCUCUUCUUCGAAAUUCAGACCUCCACAUCGACCAAUUUCAAAUCCAAUCUCUCGAAGAUCCCUUCAGCAGUCUUGUAGAGUAAUCCAUGUACUUCAAUUGAUAGAUUGGCCGCUACCUGAAAUGAGCACCCUAACACCGAGAUUUUGAAGCUCAAAGUUUGACCAGAACCUUUUGUAACUGAACCUCGGUCAUUCAGUCUCGUCAAGAUCCAAAACAGCGACUUCUUCCCUACUUUGAGCUCAAUUUAAAUUGCUUAAACUCCUUCCAUACAGCUUGAACCUUGCCUAUCCUUGUUCUACUACUGUUGGCGCUAGAAAUUGGCUGAUCGAAUUCCCAGCGUCAGACACACGACCCGGGAGAAUCUGCUUAGCUCCUGUUCGAGUGAUCACCCUAGUGCGGUUCGUGCAGCGUGCCAGCCAAUCUGACCUGUUGAUUGGCAAGGAAAGAAACGUGUCAGAUCCCAGAGGUUGCGAUCGGCUAAGGUUCCGAUCUCGAGAUAGCUUAUCAGUGAAUCGGCCGAUUUGCUGUAAUAAGGAAAUCGGCUAUAAUGCAGCCGAUUACCGGGCAGCGUUAAUAAAGAAGACUGCUGGAGUAAUCUAAACAAUGCUUAUAGUAACAACACUAGGAAUAGAUCUAAAUCGGCUAUGCGUAAAAUAAUAGAUUGAAUAACAAGGCACAGGAAAGCCGAAAGUUCCAAUUCCUAGCUGGAUAACUGGUGAUAAAACUAGAACUACAGGUAAAACCUAGAAUUCUAGUGGAUAUCGAUAACUGGUGAAUAAAUCUAAAUGAAACGACAGCGAUGCGCCCGAAGUUAAAGCUUAGAUAUUACUCGGUAAACGAAACUUACAGAAUCAGCCGGAGGUCAAGUUGAUGCAGCCUAGCCAACUCGUAUGAACUCGUGAAAAAGAAGAAAAGUAUUGGCGAAAUCGCCUGCUUGAAAGUAAGUGUGAGGAAAUAGUAGUUUGUUGUAUUGAUUUGAUGAUGAUUACAGAUCUACAAGGGUGGCUAUUUAUAGCCUGUUACAAACGACUUCUUAACCGACUAGAACUCUAUCUCUAAUUUUAAACAAAAAAUGAAUAUUUACAAGUACGACUCGUACUGGGUCAAUCAUCAUGCUGUCAUGGGCUGACUCCCUUUUUACCUUCAUAAUCCACUUCAAGCCCACACCGGCCCAAUUCCUCCAGCCUCCUAAUCGGCCGAUUUCUACCAACUCCAUUGGCAAGGGACAGCCGAUUACGGCCCACAUGUUUGGGGUUCUGACUACUCCGACCCUGGGACCUAAGGUCGGGCGAGGUGGAGUCCCUCCCUCAGAGGGUCGGGCGCAUCCGACCCCAGGACUCAGGGGUCGGGCGAGGCGGAGUUGCACCCUUAAAGGGCAAUCGGCCAAUCCUUGACUGUAGCACCAAUCGGCCGAUUUCCAACCAUGACCUCUGUGUCUUGCCGCAUCUCCUGAGUUCUUCCUUUCCUGACGCCGAUUUCAUACGAGUCAAAAUAUGGCGUCAACAACUACUAACAAAGAUUCCAUUUUGCGCAUGAACUCAUAUACCUUUUACAUUGGAUUUUUCUUAAAUUUGCUCCAAACAUUGCUAAUCAAUGCCGUUUUUCAGACAACAUUAUUUCGGCAAGAAGCCUGAAAUCUGUGCAUUUGCUGAAUUUUGGGCUUCGCUUUAAAUUCGAACCUUCCACUUUCUCUGGCCAACAACAUUUCAUUUACCUUCUCUAUAGUCCAUAUUUCACUAAUGUCCAAAAACAUCUGCUCACUUACAAGAACAAUUCUCCAGAAAUUGGCUCCAAAGUUGUGUACUCAAUAUUAAUUUCAGAGUUACGCGUUUUCGGAUGACUAAGUGACUUUGUUGAUUCCAUAUUCGAUUGUAUUUAUGAGAGCUUUAUAACUUGAUUUAGACUUCAAGAUUCAUUCCUUUGAGUUAUGAAUACUCUCAAGACUCUAUUUCCUAUUUUUGCCAAAUUUAUCCAAAUUUGAAACUCCAAAUUGCAAAUUUGGUUGAACUCGGCUCAAAUUCGAUUUUGGCUCAAAUUACCUUCCUUUAAUCCAACUUCACCAUUAGCUUCUUAAUGUGAUACUUAAGUUGUCAUUAACACUGGGUGUUACAGCCUCCUUGUCGCCCACCUCCGUCCCCGCCGCCUCCGUGCCCGCCAUUGCCCGCCGCUCCAGCCGCCGUUGCCUGCCGCCUGGCCCACCGCCACCUCCUCCGUCGCGCCCCCUCAUUGCCACCUCCCUCUGCACUGCCUCCUCAUCGUCGCUCUCCAUCGCCACCUCCGUCGUCUGUGCCAGCUCCGACCCCGCUGCCACCGGCAUGCGCCGCCCCGACCUCCUCGUCUUCUGCAUUGCCACUCCGUCGCCCCGUCCGCCGUAGCUCGCCGCCAAACCUCUGCCACCUGCCAGCCCGGUGACGUGCGGCGCCACCCCCAUCGCGACCCCCGGCCCUCUCCACACGUACAAUGGGGCCCUUGCUGAUGCUAGGGCCCUUUUUUAUUUUUUUAGUUAGAAAAUCAGUAUGAUUAGUACAAAAUCAGUAGGAAAUUACUAUUAUUAGUUGAAAAUCAGUAGGAAAUUACAAUAAUUUAGUUCAGAUGCUUAGUAUAAUUUUGUAUACAUUUUGUAUAACUUUGAGAAAUUACUACCUUUUAUUAUAAAUGAUUCGAAAAUUAGUAGAAAUUUGUAGCAAUGCUUAAGAUUUAUUCAGGAUAAGUUCUUAGUAUGAUUUUGUACACAUUUAGUAUAAUUUUUAGUACAUUACUAUUAUUUAGUACAAAUGCUUCGAAAAUUAGUAAAAAUUAGUAGAAAUUUGGUAGAAAUUCUUAGAAAUCAGUAGAAGUUUGUAGAAAUUUGGUAGACAUUCUUAGAAAUCAUUAGAAAUUUGUAGAAACACUUCAAAUUUGGUACAAAUUCUUAGAAAUUAGUAGAAAUUUGAAGAAACACUUCAAAUUUGGUAGAAUUGCUUAAAAUUAGUAGGAAUUAGUAGAAAUUUGGUAGAAAUUCUUAGAAAUUAGUAGAAACACUUCAUGUAGGAUUCGUUCAAGACAUUUCAUGUAAGUUUCAUUCAAGACUUUCAUGUAACUUUCUUGUAAGUUUUCAUGUAAGUUUCAUUAAAGACAUUUCAUGUAUGUUUCAUUCAAGAUAUUCAUGUAAAUUUCUUUUAGGUUUUCAUGUAAGUUUCAUUAAAGACAUUUUAUGCAAGUUUCAUUCAAGACAUUCAUGUAAAUUUCUUGUAAGUUUCAUGUAAGUUUCAUUUCGUGUAUGGUUUCAUGUGUAGAUUUCAAUCAGUUUGUUUUUUUUCAUGGUUGUUCUAUGAUUUCAUGUAUAUACCUUAACGUACAUGUAACUAUAAUUUCAUGUGUGUUUAACGUAGUUGAGAUGGCAGACGACAAGACCGCAAGCUAUCUAAUGGAGCAGAUUAUUGCUGGUGGUAGUGGCUCCAACCUUCCCGUAACGUACAUCGAUAAAGAGGGUACCUAGGCGAACAUGUUCCUCAACAUGUCCAGCGAUGGCAAUGAAGAGCCUCAGCCCUAGCAAAACCUUGUCGUGAUGGAAGGUUCCAGCGAGGUAUAUAUCAUUUCCAUUGUUUUACCCCAUCUAUAAUGUCUUAUUCAUUAUUAUUAUAUACUAAUUAACGAAUCUUGAACUGUUAGCCCUCUGGAUCGAUGAACCGUCAUAAGCCCUGAGGCCGUACAAAGGUGAUGGAUGGAGGGCUUAUCAUCAUGGAAGUCACAGAAGAGGGCAAGCCGGUUGCUCCCGAAAACAUGGCAAAAAAGUACGUGAGCCAGAUCGAGGCAAUCGUAAGGGACAACGUGCCCAUCAACAUCAUGGAAUGGAGGGGUGAAAGUACUAAUGGAUACGCGCUCUCGGAUACAGAAAAGGAAAUGUUGUGGUUAGAUGUUAAGAAACAUUUCACAUUUUUCCCGAAGGAUGUAAUGAAGAUUAUGUGAAAUCGUGGAUGCUGAAGAAGAUGGCCACACAAGAAGGGCUGAUGUCCAGAUUUCAAUGAGUGGUCAGGGACCACUGGGAGUCAUUUGUUGAAUACAAGACGAGCGAAACGGUGCGAACAAGGUUCGCACCAACUUUGUAAAUGCUGGCAAGAAGGAGUACCAUCAUUGUCUAGGGCGAGGUGGUUACAACACUACAAUUUCUAGAUGGCGCAAGAUGGAAAAAGACCUGAUUGAUUGGGGUAUCCUACCAGCAACUCUUGAAUAGCCUGAUCGAUCGAAAAAUUGGUAUUACGCUCAUGGAGGCAACAUGAGCCAAGAGGAUGGGACAUUGAUCUUCAAUGAGACAAUAUGUCAGAAGGCCAAAAGGCUUAUCAAGAACAUUGAAGAUGACACGGCUGGGAGUUGAAGGUGGACCGAGAGAAUAAUGAGCUAACAUUGGCCCAAGAAUCCCGAGCACCUAGGAUAUUGCCGAGGGUACGGGGUCAUUCUGUGGAAGUUCGCUUUUCGAGGCGACAUGGACUCAUACAGAAGCCGCAAGCGAAGAAAGGAAUAGCAAGAGGAGAGCUGGCGGCGCAUGUUAGAAUCCAAAGUGCAUUCACAUGAAGUAAGAAUGCAGGAGGAAAUCAAUCAUCGAGUGGCCCUAGCAGUUGCGAAGUUGGCCCAAUCUAGAGCACUGCCGGAUCCAAACGUUAGAUGAGCAACGGUUCUUUGUGGCUGUGAUCACGCAACGCACCUCAUGUGAAUGGCAUAAACUGGUCGGCAACGUCACCAUUAAGGUAUACUUAUACAUAAUAAUUAUGCAAUCUUCUCAAUCCAUCCACGCCUCAGGAGUUUAAUAACUUCUUUAUUUCUACUAUAUGUACAAGUGGCAUACGAGAGUGCCUUACCAAUCCUGCCAGGGUAGACAAGCGAUGCCAUGGAGGUUCUACCUGGCUAUGCUAGCGUCAGCCUAGAGCAGCUCGUUGAUAGCCAAUAUGAAGGCCUAGAGCUCGACCUCCUGGGAGGCGAUGGGGAAAGGACACUAGGAGAUGCGCUUCACGGGAUCAUUCUAUGGUGCAAAUGUUACAUCAUCAUCCCCGGCAUGGAGGCAUCAUUGCUCCCCGUAGAUCCCCAGCAGCGACCAUCUCCUCAAAGCUCUCGUCAUCUCCACCACGGCCUUCUCCAGGACCGUCAUCUCCACCACAACUUGCUCCAGAACCAUCAUCUCCAGCACAACCAGCUCCAGGACUGUCGUCACCACCGGGACCGUCUCUUCCUGCUCGAUCACGGUCUCCAUCUCCAGCACAUCCUAGUGGUGCGAGCGACGAUGACAAUAACACCCCUUCCCAAUCACCAUCGCCAGGACUAAGAGCUGCAUCGAGCAAGGAACCUGUAGCAACACUUAAGAAGUCGCAACCACCGCCUCCCAAGCCAAGACAGAGAAAGAAGAAAACAAACAAGCCUGAAUUGACUCCUGACAAAUGUAGGGAGGAGAAAAUGCAUGAGGAUUGCUGGCCCAAACCAAAGCAGAAUGCAGGGAGCGGUUCAAGAAAAUGGCCGAAGAAAGAAAAGCAAAGGCGAUGGAGCCACCGCCAGUAGAUCGAAGACAAUUAAAUUUUUUUAUAAAGAUGUCAGAAGAAGCCAAGAAGAUGCUGCCACCUUAAACUACGAUCGGGUGUUAGUCAAGGCUGAUGAGAGGAAAAAAUGGAAAGGAAAGUCGUCUUCAAGGGGUACUAUCCUCCACCUUAGACAUCUACCAAAAAAGACUCUCAAAAGAAAGCAUCAAUGCUAGCAAUGCCCUUGGAUCAAUAAGAACAAGUAGUGAAAUUCAUACAAGAAACAGGAAUGUCCUUUUCUGAAUGUCUAGGGCAAAGUGAGCCACCAGCUGCAUAGCCAGUUGAACCGAAAUGGACCUUUUGAGCUAGGCAAGUCUCUGGUAAGGCCUGAGUUGAUAUGGAAACUAUCAACAAAGAUGUACAAAUUCCAUGAAUGGUACAUCAAGCAGUCCAUCGUUGACAGGGAAAUAUUCGACCUUAAGGUCAAACCAAUAGCCUGGUUGACGUCUCUCUCAUCAGCGCCUGGGCUUUGCAAGUGUUCGUUUAUCUAUAUGUAAAUUUUGGCUCAUAUCAUUAUUUUUUGUGCAUGCAUCGCCCUGCUAACUUCGUCUUCCAUUUUAUGUAGGAUGCUAAUUCAGAUGUGCUGAUGGGAAGUGUACUUCCAUGUUGGCUUCAUGGAUCCAUCCCUAGUUAACCAACACAAGAUAUGGGAUUUUGCAGAGAAAACGUUGAUGGAAGUAUACAAUUUCCUGGACAAACAAAAUUACAGCAAGGAAUACAUCCUACUUCUAUACAACUUCAAGUAAGUGUGUGUAUACCAUCUAUUUUUAUUUUCUUUUUCCUUACCUGAUUAAUGUUAGUUAGCUCUAAUAUGAACAAUUACGUACGCAGUUUCCACUGGAUCCUCCUAAUAAUUGAGCCUGAUAGAAGCCACAUCACUGUCUUCGAUUCAUUGAGGAAACCACCGAAGGAGUACCAAGACGUUCAAGACAUGCUAAACUUAAUAAUUCUGGACUUUAUCUCUGUGCAAAAGUUUGUUUCCUAAAUUUUCACCUAACACUGUAUCAUUCAUUAACACAAAGGUCCAUUCAAAGAAAAACUUACAUGGAACACAAACUUCCUGGCAUGUAUGAAGUUUGCAUAUUUUGUACAUUAUAUAGCAUGAAUAUUUCAUAACUUGUUUUUCCCCACUGUAGUGCUUAAGACAGGAACUCAAAAAUAAUCUAUGUGGCUACUAUGUCUCUGAGCACAUGCAUAGUUUUUUGGGACACAAGGUACUAAAGAUGACGCCGCACAACUAUAAAGUACGUAAAAGAAAACUAUUAAUAGUUAAAUAUUUUCUAGCUCCUUAUAUUUAAUUGUUCGUGUAACAUUCACAUAUUUCCAGAUUACAGAUGCAUAAUAUUCAACAAAAACUCUUGGAGAAGGAAAGAAUAAGGGCAAUAUGUGAAGGUCUCAUGGGAUUCCUGGUGGACGAGGGGGUACAUCAACAAGGAGAAUUUUAUUACAAUGGAUGAAAAUUAGACGCACCGAGCAACACCACGACGGGAAGAUCCAAGGAAUGACUGGGGCAAAUUUUUGUAGAUAUAUAUACUAAUUGUAUAAAUACUAUGCUAAGAAUUGUAUAUAUACUAAGAAUUGUAUAUAUAGUAAUUGUAUAAAUACUAGUUUGAUUUCAUAAUAAAAAAAGUCUUAACUAAACUAAAGGGUACGUGAUGCAUGAAAUUACAGGCGCCUGCCUGCAUGGCGCCUGUAAUUUCAUGCAUGCACUUUAGUCCCGGUAGAAAAAACCAACCGGGACUAAAGGGAGCACCCUUUACUCCCGGUUGGUAAAACCAAGGAGGACUAAAGGGGCCUGUCCCGCGCCUAGCGUGGCAGCCCCUUUAGUCCUGGUUGGUUUUACCAACCAGGAUUAAAGGGUGUCUUUAGUCCCAGUUGAGUGACCCGGGACUAAAGACCCCCCAUUCGUCUUGAUUGCUUUAUCCCGGAUGGAUUUUCGGGAAAUUUUAUCCCUACCAACCAGGACUAAAGGUGAGUUUUCUACCGGUGCCUGUUCUAUCUCACUCAUUUGUCCUGUAGCUACAAGCUAAGGCCCCAUGUCAUCUAUGGCUUUUGUCCUGUAGCUACUAGCUAAGCCCCCGUAUCAUCCAUGGCUUCUGGUGCCUCCACCACACUGAAGAUGGCCUCUAUCACCCCUUGCAUCCUGCUGGUCCUGCUGUCCAAUGGCCACCCUACGAUGGUGGCCGUUGAUUGUGUUGCGGCUUGCAAAGACCCGUGCCAGAGCUUUUCUAACGGGUUCUGCGCGGGUGGAGCCACUGGCGGUUGCACAACUACGGCAGCAGCUACAACAUGCCGCAAUUUGGCGUUCUCGCAGUGUGCGAACAACUGCUUCAUAGUUUGCACUGCCGAGAUCAUCACGCCUUGCACUUGAAGAUGCAUUUGUGUUCCUACUUCCAUGUUAUUAUUAAUGCAGAAUAAUAUGGAUAAAUACGUGCAAGCAGGCCUGCCGUCCGCGGGAGGAGGUACGCAAGCACGCAUGAUGAGCCACUGUUGUUUUUCCAUUUUAUCAUUUACUUAUUGAAGGCAAUGUACGUGCCUAUCUCCUGUGUGGUUGAGCAUGUCAUGUUGGAAUUCUGUCCAAAGUUUUACAUACCAUCUUGUAUUGUUGUGUAUGCGUAUCAAUAUAAUUUAUGAACUAUUUU
This 115791-nucleotide long non-coding RNA is filed under the name Setaria viridis. RNAcentral describes it as "long non-coding RNA (SVIR_LNC003547)". The record is from RNAcentral. Lineage: Eukaryota; Viridiplantae; Streptophyta; Magnoliopsida; Poales; Poaceae.